GAAAUUCAAAAACUGAUUAAACCACCAGUUUGGUUUUUUUUUUUUUUUUUUUUUUUUUUUGGGGUCUGAUCCAACCGAUUAACAUUGGUACUGUUUGGAUUUUGUCAAGUAUGUUAAAGGUUAACCAACCAACCUCUAAUAUGUCCUUCUCUUUUUCUUUUGGGUGGGUGGGGGGAGAGAUUGGAGUACUAUAAAUUAGAAAAUAAUUAUGAAGGCAAGUACAUUACUUUUAUAGGAAAGGCAUGCACAUUAACUGGAAAUAUUUCAAAGAAAAGAAAAAUAUGACUGAUAAACUCACAUCAUUACGGUCCACCAAAUCAGCGAGAUGGCCUCCGCUAGCCCAUAUUCUAUCUACAACACUAAGUACCCUCUUAUUAACUCUCCAUCUGGUAUUCCCAAGAGCGUCCAGGGCCUGGCCAGGAGAUACACAAAAUUUACACAUAUGAGAAUCAGCACAGAAGGCACCACACUCUUCAUGUUGGUCGAGUUCAAUAAAAGUUUUCAUGAGGACAAAAUUUCUAUGUAUAUAAACCUUAAAAACUGGUUCCAGUUGCUCCCUUGGGGUCCUCUUAAUUGCUUCACGCUGCUGUCUCGCUCCAUGAAUGCGCAUGACAUAGGAUGGUAGGAAAAAGUACCCUCCUUUGUCAUAACUGCAAAAAUACCCAAAAUAAGGGGAGUUAGAUGAAUUUACAAAAACACAAAAGAGGAUAAAAACAGGCUAACAUCUCAAAAAUGUAAAUCAGAAAUUAUGUCUCAUAAAGAUCUAAACAACAGUAGGAAACCUAAAAAUGGGUUUUUUUUUUUAAUCAUUGGUCCUGACUGGUUAGCCAACCAAACAGAACUCUGAUGAAGUUGAAUUCCCAUUCUCUAUGUCCAGAUGCACUAAGAAAGUUGAAUCAUGCCACCUUUAAAGUUUGAAUUUAUUGGAGUCACCCUACUCUAUUUCUAUAUCAAAUCCUAUUGUCCAUCUACAUCUCAAAUCCACAAUAAUAAAAGUUCUCUCCAGAAAAAAAGUGAGGGUAAAAUGGUGGAAACUUUUCAUGAAAAAGGUAUUUGUGAAUAGUUUAGUGGAUGAAAAUAGAAACAUCUCUCCCCAUGCUAGUUUGAAAAUAAUUAAGAUAACCUGAACUUUAACAUCUACGAUGGUGAAAGCACUUGAUUCAUUAAGCUCAUUCUUCUAUAAUGUUGGAUUUGUUAGCAGCUCUUAAGUGAGAUUAUAAUUUUUUAUCUAGUGAGCAUGUUCUAUUGUACAUCCUUUUGAGUUGUAAUUUCUUGUUUUACUUGUUCUUUCCACAUAGUGGAUACCUUAUCCGCUCUUUGUAUGCAGCUUUCCUACUUUAAUAAAAACUAUGUUUCUUUUCCAGAAGGGAAAAAAAAAAGAAAAGGAACUGCAGAUUUAGUUUCUUACUUGUAUCUUGUAUCUGAUGAUCUUAGCAAGAAGGGAGGGAAGGCUAGUGGGGACGAUACUGAGGAAAUAUUAGAAUAACUUCUACACAUCCCAUCCCAUCCAUUACCAAUUUUCUAAAUUUACGAAGCCUCAAUCUGAUCAUAUAUGAUCUUCGAAUAAAAGAUUUUAAAAAAUGAACAAUUAUAAAAUAGGGCAAAACUGGUAAAACAGAACUGAUUUUUCCAUACCCAGUCCAGUUCAAUGGUGGUACCAACAUCGGCAUAUAAGGAAUCACCAUGUGCCUUGCCUGUUUAAACAGUAACAAUUAUUAAUAUAUCAUGCACUAAAGAAGGAAAUAAAAUUCCUGCAAGAAUUUCUUGACGUGUGUCCUUUGGCAGGAAAUGAGAAACCUUAUACACAAGUAGUUUAGCCAACACUGCAUCACCUGCCAGGGACAAGUGAACAAUGCUCUACAGACGAUGUUAUUAGCCUUGAAUCAAUUUCAAUACUAUCAAACUAUCUUAUCUAUAUAACAUUCCUAGAUCGUGAAAAGAAGAAACUAUUAAAUUUAAAUAUAUAUAGUUGCAUAGUUCCAAGUGUCAACAGAAAACUUCAAUUGUUUCAAGAAUAACAGAACGGAAAAAGGAUCAGAUUUGCUUACUGUUUUCUCAAGGCCUUUGAGAACAAGAGGGUCACAUUCAAUAACCCCAUAUCUUCUGCUGGCAUUCCUGUUGAGAGAAAAUUCCACAUCAUUAUUCAAAAUUAUCCGGAGGGAAGGGGGAGGUAUAGAGUUAUCAAUAGGACAGACUAAUAAAUACUUUGCAUCUUUCGCAACAGUCCUAAAUGUGUGUACAAAUGCAGGUCGUAUAUCCGGUGGACCAUCUGCUAACUGGUCAGCUGGAGGCUGUAUAAAAGCUGUUUGAGUCAACAAUUCAAUCAAACGACUGCCGACCUAAAAAUGUACAAAGGGAAAAAAGCACCCCUUUAGAAUGCAUGUGAAUAAAAUGCUGAUAACGUUUUACCAGUAAAAGAAAUAAUCCAUGCAAACCUUAGCCCUGGCUUCCAGGCUCCAUGAUUUUGAAGCAUCAUGUUUGCUCACUAUCCCUCUCACUGCUUUCAGUUUUUGUUUUUUCAUCAAAUUAGUGACUUUUUUAUUCAACUUCUCUCGUUCCUUCUUUGCAGCAUCAGACUCCCCAUUUUCCUGAUCUUUGUCAACCUUUUUCUUUCUCGUCAUUUCCAAGAACUUGUGUAUUCUAACCUGAUGCAUUGAAGCAGUGACACAUCAGUGCUCAUCUAGGAGAGAUGGGCGGGAUGACACUGUGUAGAGUAAGAAAACCAAGCCUUAGGAAUACUGCUUUACUUAGUCCAGCUAGAGAACAAUAAGAAACAAAGAGCAAUGCACUAAGGUUUAGAGUUUUAGAACGUGCCUCAAGCCAACGUCCACACAAACUUGACAUGCUUUGAAACAAAGGCAAAAAAAGGAAUUUCACUACGGCAUCACCAUUAAAUGGAUUCCAGCAAAGACAAAUUAAACUAAACGGAUAAAUAAAUAAGUAAAUGACCGCAAUUCUACUCAUGAAUGGAAGAGCAUGGACUAUUAACCAAGUAGAUGAAACCGAAUCAAAAUGUCCAUGAAGAAUAUGAGUAAAGCAAAGUUCAAACCUCCUGCUCAAUGGCUUCACCUAUCGUGCAAGCAGCCGCUACCACCCUGCAAGUUCCAUGUUCGCCUCCAGUCAUCAGCAAUCCCAUCAACUUAUGCAUUGUAAUAACUGACAUCAUAUCAGCUGGUAACUGAUCAAUAUACGGUGCGUAAGCUGUCUUAUUCUUUCCUUUCCGACACAGGUCCUGCUCUUUGUCAAUGGCAUUGCGCAAAGGCUCAAACCAACCAAGAAACAAAGACUUCAUGUAUGGCAAAUUGGGUGCUAACUUCUGCUCACACAUGUCCAUCAUAAGCUCCCUGUACUCCUUGGCCGCCCGUUCCCAUGCUUCAGUUUCAAUCUUUAUCUGUCUUCUCUUAAGCAUGUGGUACUUCCCUUGCCCCAUUCCUCUCGCUCUAUUCUGCCUAGUCCGCUGCUUAUAUUGGGCCUCCCUCUUCUCCUCUAUACUCAUUUGUUGCAAUAAUUCUUGAACUUCAUCAACAACAGACACUUCUUCCUCAACAUCAGUGGAAGAUACAGCCUCAGCUACGCUCGCAUACCCUUUGGGACAAAACCCAUUAAACCAAAUUGGAUUCCUCACAGACCAGAAACUGGGCUUACACAUACAAUCCUCAGGUGAAGAAAUAGCACCUUUCCCGCGAAAACCCACCUCAGAAAACCUCAAGCUUGAGCAAGAACUCAGCUCAAAAGGCUUGAAAUUUCCCGGGAAAACCGAUUCCUGGCAAAUACCCAGAAGGCUAUAAGCUCGUGAAAAAGACUGCGAAUUGAUGUGAAACCUCUGCUUCCUAGAAAUGGCUUGCUUAGCAAAAUUUCUCCACACAGUUGUUGAUAUCAUUGAUGGGUUUUUGUGGAAAAUUAAGGGGCUAUGAAAUGUAAAAUUCUUGCUGAUAUUUGCAGGGGACAGUGGGGUUUGGCUUCUGGACAUCAAAUUAAAAUCAAAUUUUUUUGGAGUAAAUUAAUUGAUGAAACUGGGAUCAGAGGAAAUGGGUCGAUGAAUGAAUUUGCAGAAACAAUGGAAUUCAUAGAGACUGAGAAAGGGGGGUAGUAACCAGUAAGCUAGCAGCCGCCUUAAGCCCUUAACCCUUUCUUAAACCCUGUCUUUGAUAUUUUAUUGAUCGAACGCAAAGCCUCGCACUUCGGAUUUUUGCUUGCCUUGGUGACUGACGGAGUCUUAGGGAUUUGGCUGGGGUUUCUACAAUAUUUUAAAUCUUUGCACCCUAUAUGUAAUUUGACGAUUGAUGAUGUGUCGGUUUUUGUUUUUUUUUUAAUUUUUUUUUUUUGAGAUGAUGUCGACUAAUUAAAACUUCGUCCAUGAUUAAAUUAAUAGAGAAAUGGACUUGUACAUUUUCAGAUAGGGAAGAGAAUCAAAGGCUUACUUUUUGUUGUAAUUUUUUGGGAAAGGCCCAUCUACUUCUUAUUUUCUGGAUAUAAAUUCAACCAUUUUUUAAAUGUUUAUAAAAAUUCAAAUUUGAAAUGUGCUAUUAUGUAAGAUAAUAUUUGUUCUAAUAAUAAUUUACUUAUUAUCUUUUAUUGAUAAUAGGUAAAUUACUUUUAUAAAUUAUUAGGUACAUUAUUUUCAAAAUACGUUAAAAGUUGGGUAUAUUAUUUAAUAAAUAAAUAAAUUCAUACUAAGUAAAUUAUUUUUUGAUGUGACACUCACAAUGUCAUGUAAUAUUGCUAAAUUACUUAUGUUGUAACACGUGUACGAAUUUAUUAAUUUUAUACACAAAGUCUAUGACACAUAAACAUUGUCAUUUGCUCACAUUUUAGUACUUUAAUUCAUAACGCCACAUGAUAAUGUGAUAAUAACACCCUAAGGGCUAGUUUGGCAUUACUGUGCUGUGAAAAUAAUCGCUUCCAAAUUUGCUGUGAGAAAAAUCAGUUGUAAGAGAAAACAAUUUGGCGUUUGGUAAACUUUUUUUUUAAAAAUGUUGUUGGUACUGAUUCAAGCAUAAUCAGAAAAUAAUUCUCGUAUAAUCAUUAAACCCAGCACCUCUUCGAAACUAAUUUCUAGCAUAAUCUGAAAAUGAAAGCACAUCAUUAGUUGAUUUCCCUUAUAACUUUCUCUCACAGCAAUUUUGAACAAUAAGUGAUUUUCUCAUAGUUUACCAAACGGACUGGGCUUUCCAAAAUUUAAAAAAAAAUCACUUAUCACUCCAAAUAAGCAAUGUCAAACGGGCACUAAGUCUAUGAUUUAAGUUCGAGAGACACCAUAUUCCAAAUUUACAAUGGUUCUUUUUUGUCACUAUAAUAGGGUUUCUGACCACUAACGAAAAUGAUGGUAAGAGCAUGCUCACGGGCUCAAAGCAAGACGUGAAGAAGUUAGUGCUAAAUCCUGGCUUCAAUUUACAACAAUAUGACAUUUUAGAGUAUCGGCAAAAAUCAUUGAUCUCAAAUUGAGCCAAAAUUCUUGUACUAACUUUUGCCUGUCAUUUCUUGUCAUAUUUUCAUAUUACUACAUCGAAAGUGAAAAGUAUUCGUAGCAUUCUGGGGUUUGACAAGUCUAACAAAGAGCAAUCAGAAAAUUUGGCAUAUCCAUGAGAGAGAGAGUGAGUGAGAGAAAGAGGGGCUAGAUUUAUUAAGUUGGAGAAUUAACUGAGAUACAUAAUUUGCCUGGUCUAAUAAACUUCCUAUUUUUUCCUCUAAGAAAGAGAAACAAUGACAUUUAUCCUAUCAUUCAAGCCCCCAUCCAUGAUGAGUACAUCUUUCUUGACGUAUACAAUACUUGAAUUCUCAAUGCAGAUGCUACAUAGUUGGUUCUCAUCCUCUAGAGACUUUUAUCCUAUCACCAACGACCCAAUUAACCAAUCAAAUAAAUAGAAGCGGGGUAGAAUACAGAUUCAAUUUGUGAACUGAUCUCGUCUCUUCAUGCACUAGUAGCUGUGGGCUUAAAACAAUCAAUAUUGCACAAUCCGACUGAUCUGAACAUCUCUCCAAAGCUGCCACCAAGGUUAAAUUUCAACAAUCAGAACAACCAGAGUUGUAUGUGUCUGUGCUACAUUGUGGAUGAUUGAACUUUGAACAACAAAGCAAGUAUGGAUAGAAAAGAAAAAAAUAGUUAAUGAAUAGCUAACCGGUCAAUGCUAUUUCGUGCUUUCUCUGGCUGAUCCAUGCUAUUACUUGCUUUUUCUGGGUGAUCCGUACUCUUUCUUGAUCUCUCUCUCUUAUCAGUGCUGGCCCUUGACUUCUCUCUGUGAUCUGUGCUUAGCCUAGGGUUUUCUCUAUGGUCGGUACUUGGUCUAGAAUGCUCUUGUUGAUCUGUAGUGGAACAAGAUUUCUCCCUAGUGUCAGUGCUUCUCCGUGGAUUUUCUGGUUGAUCCGUAAUUGGCCCAAAUCCAUUUCUAAGAUGUGGAUAUUUCUCAACAGCUGAUACAAACUUCUUGACAUGCUUUAUGUAUUGUGGGUAGAGCUCCAAGUCACAAUGAUUCCCUCCUUUUAUCCAUAAUGGCUCAUACUUCUCCUUACAAUGUUCCCAAAGCUGCUUGCCAUGGGACCAAUCCACAACAUCAUCAGCCGUCCCCUGCACAGAACAAAACAACCUGGAAAAUAAGCAUGCUUCUGAAAACUAAGCCAUACAUUUAAUGAUACCAUAAGACAAUCAUUGCACUCUAUAUGCUAUGCAAUCGGAGUAAUCAACAAGUACACUGGCAAUUGGAAAAGAAAGACAGCCGAGGCAUGUGUGUUUGACACCAAAAGAGCAUCCCUUUUUCAGACCUUACCUUUAAUGUGGAUGAAAUGAGAAAGAAAAAAAAUUUUAAAAAUAGUUUUUUAAUUUCAUACCAAAAUAAAUCUCAUGCCUUCUUUUAAGGAAAAAAAGAGGCAAAAGCCAUCAUCCUGCGUAAGAUCAUUUACAGCCCAUAUGGUGCUUCAUGUCCACAUUCACUUAUUUUCUGGAGAACUUAGUACCAAAUGGCACAAUGAGUUUAAAAAAUAUAUCUAUCCUAGUAUCCAAUUAGACGCAUUAAAUGGCUGUUCAAACUUGUUAACAAGCAGCAGACAUGAAAUGUUAGUGCAUCAGUGCACACAUAAGUCCAAUUUGCUAUGCCAUCAAUGUACAUUAUUAGCUUGCCAUGUUUUUUGAAAAGAAUAACUUGCCACAUUUAGAUUCACAAAAUUCUAGGGAAAUAGAGCAUACAAUUUAAAGAACAAGAGGUACUCACAUGAAUCACCAGAACAGGACAACUGACCAAGGGUAUUUUGUCAAUGUUCUGCACCAUGAAUAGGCCAAACUCUCAUUAGCAUGCAUUCACUUCAAAUAUUAUGAGAAAAUUGAACCAAAUCGUCUAAAACUGAGCAAUCAAUAAAGAUUAAAAACCUUAUAAAUGUCAAACCAGUAUGUCCGCUUCACCGGAUACAUGACACGAAGACCAGACAUGAUCGGACUGUGAAGAACCACCGCCCUCAAUCUUGGUAACCGGGUUGCUAGAUCUAGAGUGGGCCCACUACCAACUGAUUGCCCAUAUAAGAUAACAUCUUCCUCCUUCGCACCGUACCUCUCCACAAGGCAUCUAUAUGCAGCUUCUAUGUCUGCAUAAGUGUUUUGCUCACUUGGCUGUCCAUAAAGGAAAAGAUAUAUAUCUCAUUUUGAACAUUCUCCUAAGCAAAUUAUAGCUAAGACUUGUUUGCAUUUAUCAAAUGCUCAAUUUGGUCUGUAGGAAAGAAGAAAUGUGUCUAAUUAAAAAACGAAUUAAGCAGGAUGAAAAACUCAACAAAGGGGGUGCAUCAGGCGUUUUAAGUGUCUUUAACCCCAAGUAACAAAACCAAAUUGAAGUUUCAUUUCCUCUGACAAAAGAAACCCUACUGAAAUCAAAUAUAGAGAAUUGUAACGAUAAAAUUAACAUUUUCCAGUUUCGCUUCCCCUCCUCUAUGGAGCUACGUUUUCUGGGCAUCCAAACAAAUUAAUACAAAUCCAAAUCCCAUACCUUCCCAGUAGAUUGUCCGUACCCCGAAUAGUCAUACCUACAAAACACGCACAGAGCCCCAUAAGUUCAAAACUUUUCAAAGUACACACAUAUAUUUAUGCAAAAAUAGAAACACACACACACUACUAAGCUAUAUAUAAUUAAACAGUGAAAUCAUAGAUGCACUUGACUGACCCCAACAAGUUGACUCGGAGAUGAAGACUGAGCUCGCUGAACAACUCGUACAUCUGACCCAGAUCAGCUGCGUUCCCGUGCGAGUGUAAAACUGUGAGCUUCGCCGACGGAUUCCUUAUGUACACCGCCACGACGUCGUUCCCUCUCUUGGUCUUCAGCUUCAAAACGUCCACGUUUUCCCUGGUCCCUACCCCAGUCAUCUUCAGCUUCCCACUCUCCUCCUCCUUCUCCAGUCCGUACGACGGCGGGUUCGGUGGGAAAAACGCGAACUUGGCUGCCAUUGACGACGUGACUGCUCCCAUCUCAAGCCCGCCCAACCCCACUCCCCCCAAUAAUAAAUUAUAUAAACAAACGGAACUUUAAUUUAAAUUAAACGAAUCCAGUCGUGGAAGAACUUGAUUAAAGCUCAUUUGAAUCCGGGUGGAUUGUUCCCGAAAACGUCAAAAUCUGGAUAAUAAUUUGGUGACUGGUUAGUGAGAAAGUGAUUGGUUAGUAAGAAAGUGAGAGAGAAAAUGAGAUUCUAGGGUUUGAAAUCACCGUAAGGGGGAAGUAAAGAGGGUUUUUGAGCUGUGACAGAGAAAGAACGGAGGAUAUUCCGGCGUGGAAAUGGAGGGCACCACGUGUGAAAUGAUUAAAGUUUAAGAGGGGGUUGUGGUCCGGUGAUGGUGAUAUGAGAGAAAAGUAACUGCAAGCGCUAUUCUGCCCCGCCACGUGUCCUCUCGGGGCAGCCGUGGUCCACUGAUCCUUUGAAGGGCCAGAUUGGCAACAUAAUCUUCUUCUUUUUCUUGUUUUUUUUGGUUUUUUAUGUCUUGGGAAUUAGUAUAAAAAUGUUUUUAUUUCUUUUCCUUUUUGUUUGGGUUCUGUUGUAAUGGCUGGAAAAUGGUUGUGACUUAUGUCUUUGGACAGGUCCGUCAAAAACACCAAAACAAGAGCUGUUUUUUUGUGUAUUUUGUGUGUGUUUCUUUUCUCACAUGCCCUAGUCAAAUUAGGCGUUUUAGAGAAAAAUUUGCGUAAGUUGUUUGUUUACGUGAAUUAUUAACAGUUGUCGGUUAUUUAUGCAUUAUGUUCGAUCUACGGUUAACGUUAAUUUCUCUUUGACCUAUAAUUAGAUCCCAAAUCUUCUAGAUUUUGUAGCUUGAAAUAAAUUUUGUGGUUAGGGCUCAUCUUGUUAUGGUAGUUUAUUUAAAUUUGAAUUCAAAGUUUUAGUCUGACGCCAGUUUUUUCUUACUAUCAUAAAUCACAAAUUAAUACUAUGCAAUCGCAGUCGUUUCUCUUCCUUUCUUUCUUUUUUUUCUCCUUUUUUUAGGGAUCCUUUCUUAUUUAUUUGAUUUUAUUCAUGCCUUCUAGAUUCAUAGGGAAAUUAUACAUAAUAAUGGAGGCUGAUCUGUUUCUUUGACUCAUUGAUUCUUAUGCCAAUUGCCAUAAGUUUAGACUGUUUCAAAUAUGGAAAUUUUAAGACUUUUGAUUUAAGCUUGAGCAACAACCCGAAUUUUUUUUAUAAAACUAAAAAGGAAAAAGUUUGGCUCCUUAAGAUUAUGGAGUAGCUCCUUCUUACGACCAAUGUGGUUUUGACAAGUGUCAAAUUAUUUUAAUUUUUCUUUUCUUUUUUAUUGAAACUUUGCCAAUAUUGCUGGAAUUUGACAAAUGUCAAAACUCCAUUAAUUUGAAGAAGGAGCUUCUCCUCAAUUUUAAGGAGCCAAACUCAACUAAAAUGGGCACCAUUGGCCAAAUUUGAUAAUCAAAAGUAGUAUGUCGUUUGACAAUUUGGUCUAGGCCCAUAUUGAAGUGUUGACCAAACCAUAGUGGGGUCAAUAAUCGAAGGAGUUGUUUCGUUUGCUGAUGACAUAAUAAACUCAUGUAAAUAUAGGUUAAGUCAGUUCGCUAAAAUAGUAUACUCCGUCUCUUUUAUCCGAGUUCAAAUCUAUUUUCUGUACAUAUAAUAGUUUAAAAUAUUACUCUUGUCAAAGAAAAAAACAAGCCAAUAAACCCGUGAAUCGACUGUAAUUUGGCCAUGAAUCACAAAUAGAGUUUCAACUUUGAACCUCUUUUCCGGUUAGAGUUUGCAACUCUAACAUUUUGACAUUUAGUAAGGGUUUUAAGAUUAUCUUUUGAAGGUUGGCCCCCCAAAAAAAAGAUUAACUUUUGAAGAACGGCACCACAUAUAUAAAACAUGAAAAUGACGGUCAUCUCAUCUCUUUAUUUUCAGGUUGUUGUACCUUUCAUGGGCCAUCCUUCAUACCUACCAUUUUUCAAUAAGAAUUGAACAUAUUCAAAGUAUGUACACCAUAUUUCAGGUCCACUGGAGACUUUGAGUAAUUAUUUGGGUACCGAAUUUUCUGUCCAUUGAUCAUUAAAUUUUCAGAGAAACAUGCAUAAAAUGCAAUAAAGAAAAGCAGUGAAGUUCUCAACCAUUAGUAGGCUAUUGGGCAUGCUGCAUACAUAGCAAUCAGUUCAUAUAAGGUAUCGGACUUGUAUUGGAUUAUUUUUUAUCUUUUUUGUUUUGUUUGAAGUUAUAUAUAUAAUCCAUAUUAAAGAAGAGGAGAAUCGAACACGUGACUUUGGAUGCAAUGAUUAACGGUCUUAAUUACUUGAAUUAGUUUUGAAUCUUGAAUGUGGUAGCAUGACAAAUUUUUAGCCUUUUUAUAGCCUUUGGCUGUUCCCUUUGUGUUUUUGUGGUUGAUCUUGUGACCUUGUUGUACUUUAUGUGCUUAGAGUUUUGCCCUCUUUUUGGUUAAUAAGUUCAUCUUUAAACGUUGGUCAUCAUCAACCGCAAUUCAUAUGGACAUUGGACAUGCACAAUUCGGAUCCAAAAGAUGAAAGAAAAGAAGCAAAAAAAAAGGAAAUCUAUCUUAACCCACAACUUAUAAAGAAAUGGUUGUCAAACAAAAAUCCUUUUGAAGUUUUCAAAGGUGGAAAAGGAAACCAAACCAAACCAAUCCAAUUCAACAAAGGAGAGGUCCCCAAUUGUUGUCAAAAAGAGUACUUGUAUUUGAACUUUAAAGAACACUAGAAAAGGAGGAAAAGAAAAAGGGGAAAUGGCAAUUCUCUUUCUGUGUGACAAUUCAAACCAUCUCUUAUAGAAGACAUCCUUCUUCUUUUUUCCUCCUUUUGGUUUGUAUCAGAUUAUGAACUUACUCAAUCAUUCCUAAAUGAAGUUGGAAUUGAACUUAGGAUAUUUCACUUACGUUUGCAAAUAUAUAAGCCUUGAUCGACAGCCAUCGCAAUAAAUUGUGGAACUAUUUAGACUUUCAUCCUCUAUGAAAUAUGAAUUUUCCUGCACACAUCAAUUUGGGGGUGUCCUUUCCUAUUUGCAUUUAUUUUGGUGCAACAAUUCACAGGAACAUGCUUUGGUACAAAGAACUAAACAAAAGAAGAUUGAAAAUAUUAUAUGCAUUGAUUAUAAGCAUAUUUACGAGAUUAAAAAGAAUAAAUUUCGUCCGUAACUUAUGCACAAAAUUUUCUAUUGCUUCCUUUAACAUGCCUUAAACUUUAAAUCUAGUGAAUUGAUGUCUUUUAUAUAGAAAGGGACCUUAAACAGAAACUAUAAUUAUAUAUUUUUUUUAGUAACAACCAUAAUUAUAUAUUACUUUCUAUUAACUAUUAAGAUAUGAAGGUUGGAUCAAACCUCUCUCAGCUACCCCAUAACACAGACAGAGAGACACUUGCACCUUGCCUAUAGUUGACAUGUGGUAAAGAACAAUGCUUUUGUUUGGUGCAUUCUGUAGAUUAAACCUUCAAGCUCAACAACCACCAGAAAAUAAGUGGAGCCCAGCAACAACAAUUUAGUGGAGCCCAAUAAUCUAUACCAAAGGUAAUUCAUAUUUUGGGGAAAAAAAUACAGUGCUUCUCUGCUCUUUAUACAACCACACCUAACCAUCAAUCAUUGCCGUCCACUAUGUCUGAUGAUAACUCAUUAGUCAAACAACUUUAUCAACUACUAUUAACACAGAAAAUCAGCCCCUUGACCCAUUUCUUCUUUGACGUGGCAUCCUCUAGUUGGCUGGACAUCAGCACUAUGCAAAUUACUUCGCACCAGAUUACAACUGCAAAGACAUAUGUGGAUUCUUCCUUGUCCAUUUUGUCAAAUAGUGACAAAGUAAAUCAAACACCAAUGUAAAGAAAGAGUCUUUGAAGUUAGGCCCUAGGUUUUUCCCUCAUUUCGAUGCCAGAAUUUGCUCAUAUCUGUUCCAGCAAGCUUCCUUCACCAAGCAGAGCCAUGGAAGAUUGCUCAGUCCGAAGGUAACCCAUCUCAAUUCACAAGGUACAAGGAGGCUUGUAUUUGUAAUGGUAAUUGAUCUGUGCUCAACAAAAUUCUAUCUUUAACUUGAGCCAUCUUACAAUCUACAAGAUUAUCAAUUUUGGAUCUGACUAAAGAUUCGAGCUUUUUGUAUUAAUCUCAACUGUAAUGUUGGUUCUAUGCUAUGAUUCUUAGAGCUGUUGGUAUUUGAAUUAUGGGUUUUCUUAUUUUGUGCUGGAAAUUAGUAGUUGAAAUUGAAAGUUCUGAUCUUUUGGGGUUAAGAGUCAGCAAUUGGGUACUAGGGUAGAGCCGUCAGAGUAAUAUUGGGUUAGUUUGGGAAUUGCCACUAUGGAUGGUGCUGGGGAAUCUUCUGAAUCUGGGUCUGCAGUAUCAAGUCUGAAAUCUAUGGAAAAUGGGUGUUCUGGUAAAGAUGAUGGGUGCCCAAAGCAAGUGUCGCCUCUUAGAGGUGGUGGGUCGAGGAAUACGAGUCCUUUGGGUUGUGUAAGAUCAAGAAACACUAGCCCUUCGAGGCAGAAGGUGGUUAAGACAAAACCGCGAGGGCUAGAUGAGGAAACGGCUUCUACUUUUGGCAAAGCAAUUCAUCCUGAUGUUCAAAUGGAGGAUAAUAUAUGGGCAAUGUUGCCAGAGGACUUGUUGAAUGAGAUAUUAGCUAGGGUUCCACCAUUUAUGAUAUUUAGGCUCCGGUGUGUUUGUAAACGGUGGAAUACAAUUCUACAAGAUAGAAGUUUUCUUAAGUUCCACUCGCAAGUGCCAUCUCACGGGCCUUGUCUUCUCACAUUCUGGAAGAACUCUCAGACCCCACAAUGCUCAGUCUUCAGCUUACCAUUAAAAACAUGGUACAGAAUUCCGUUCACAUUUUUGCCACAGUGGGCAUUCUGGUUGGUGGGCUCUUCUGCUGGUCUAGUUUGCUUUUCUGGGCUUGAUGGCUUAAGUUUUAAAACCUUGGUUUGUAACCCUCUUACACAAACUUGGAGGACAUUGCCAAGUAUGCAUUAUAAUCAGCAAAGGCAGCUGAUAAUGGUUGUUGAUAAGAAGGACCGGUCAUUUAAAAUUAUAGCCACUAGUGAUAUUUAUGGUGACAACAAGUCGUUGCCCACUGAAGUAUAUGAUUCAAAGCUAAAUAGUUGGUCAAUUCACCAGAUAAUGCCUGCAGUUAAUCUUUGCUCCUCAAAGAUGGCAUAUUGCGACUCCAGACUAUAUUUGGAAACUCUUUCUCCACUUGGCCUAAUGAUGUACCGGUUGGACACAGGAUACUGGGAACACAUUCCAGCUAAGUUCCCACGGUCUCUAUUGGAUGGUUAUUUGGUAGCUGGCACCCAAAAGCGUCUGUUUCUAGUUGGAAGGAUUGGUCUUUAUAGUACUCUUCAGAGUAUGAGAAUAUGGGAAUUGGAUCAUACAAAAUUUAUAUGGGUGGAGAUUAGCAGGAUGCCUCCAAAGUAUUUUCGAUCUUUGUUAAGGUUAUCAGCUGAGAGAUUCGAGUGCUCUGGACAGGAUAACUUGAUUUGCUUCACAUCGUGGAACCAAGGGAAGGGCCUUCUCUAUGACGUGGAUAAGAAGGCGUGGUCCUGGAUUGCAGGCUGUGCUCUUCAGUCGUACAACAGCCAGGUUUGUUUCUAUGAGCCGAGAUUUGAUGCUUCCAUCUACUGAGAAGAAAGUUUUGCUUUGCAGUUCUUGUUUUAUUUACUAGCCAGAGAAUUAUCAGUGGACAGCAUCUCCAGUUAGCAUUUUUCCCUUGAUCCAUUCUUUGCUUCUUCUCCAUAUGGUGCUGAAGGGAUUUGACACUGGGCUUGGUGGCUAAUCAUGUGAGUUUGAGGGAUGCGUGGAUUUGGCAAUAUGAGUGCAUCCCAGAAAACCAAUUUUUGUCAUUGAGAUUUUGUAGACUUUAAUUGGUGAUAUUACCUCAUAUUAGGUCUCUGUGAUGCCUAAUGAUUGAGCAAAGGCUGGUUGUUAGAGAAAGAACGUGGUCAGGGGGAAGAACUGUAAGAAGGCAAUUUUUUCCAAAUCUUGUACACAUUUUGAAACUAUUAACACAUCCAACCUGUACAUUUAAAAGUUUACCGUGCCUUGCUAAUUUUAUUAAGUCAUUAUCUGAGAAUUUAUUUGAUAUGCUUUUUGCUCUUGAUCCAAGGUCGCAUCACAAGCUGCAAUUUGUUACUGGAGAUGUGUAAAUAUGGUGGUGUCUUUUGCUUGGUGAUACAAGUUUUUUUUCUUUGAUCAGAUGCAUUUCCCCAGGCUAAAGUCUUAGCAAUUUUCUUUAUUUGAACCAUAAUAGAUUCAUUACACUGUUUUGGAGUUCUGAAGCUUUUGAUUUUUCAAUGGAUACAAGUGGUAGAACCUUUGCUAGUCUACUAGUUACUUCAUCGAAGUGAGUAAAGUUGCUAUGGGAGUCGGGGCUUGUUGCAGUGCACUUCUCAGUCCAAUCUCUAUGGUUGUGGUUGUGCUAGCUGAGCUGGCCCUGAUAGGGUGACAUCUCCGAGAAAAACUUACCUAUACCGGGGUGUAUGUACUUGAAGGAGAUUCCUCAACCUUAACUUGGCUAAAUGGACCCUUCGCUUUCAAUUGGUUAAAGAUUCAAUCCAAGUCCACUGACCUUUCAGCUCUCAACUUAGCAACAUGGGGCUUUUUGCUUUGGAAUGGUUUUGAUAGGCAUAGGGAAGAGAUUUCCUUUGCCAUAAAAAAAAAAAAAAAAAAAAAUUAUUAUUAAAAAAAAAAAAGAAGAAGAAAAAGAAAAUGUUGUUCAUGUGUACAUGUUCCAAAAAAGAAAGCUAACUAAAGGGAAUCUUUUUCUUGGGUUCGCUAAUCAGAUGGAUCCCUGGACACUUUUCACAUAUUCCAUAGACUCAGCCUGCUUCUAAUCACAAUAUCAUGAGGUGUGUUAUAUCAAGUUUGUAGCAUAUACACAAACACAAGCACGCGACAUGCAUAUACAACUUCCUAAACCUCAAAAGCUUCACUUCACUUGGCACAUACAUACCUGGGUCCAAAUUUUAAUUGGUCUUGUUCGGAAAACUAUCAAAACAAAUGGUGGAGACAAGACAAUAUUGGUAACAGGAGCCGGCUUUCUCCAUGUCCAUUCGUUUUGGUUACUUCGUUCAAAAGUUUGCGAUGAGAAUUAUAGUUUUAGAAGGUGAUAAUUAAGGCAAUAUUUGCUAAAUAUAUAUAUGUGCUAUGCUGGCCAGUAUAAAAUAUGUCUGGGACCGACUUGCAUAGAAAUGACACAUGUUAACACAUUUCUCAAGGUGAAAGCACUAGCAUAUAGUUGGAGGUCACGCCCUCGUGUUCUAAAAUUGCAACUCACACAAACACACUCAGGAACUCUAACCCCCCUUGUUUGUUUAAUUGAUUAAUAUCUUCAUAUAUUGUUAAAAGCUGAAAUGUUUUGAGUAAUUCUAUGUGAAAUCACUUGUAAAUGUCCUGCAGGCUCUUAAUUUGAUGCAUUCUCGCGAUGCCCUUCAUGCCUCGAAAAAAACUAUCCCUUGCAUGCUAAGUUCUAACCCUCUUUAUAGUAAGUAUCGAAAAUAGAUAUAUCAAAUUAUCACGUGAUUAUAAAAUAAUAAGAAAUAAAAAAGAAAAUUUUGUGACAAUCGAAUAGUCAAAUUCUACAUAACUUUGAAGACAUGAAAUUUGAUAUUAAAAUUGACAUCCCAUAAAGCAAAGGAUCAAUGAUUCAAGAUCCUGAUCAUAUUGAAGUGUUUGAUGUCUGAAUAUUCUGCUGUACAAAGACAAAUUUUUGUUUUUGGCGGAACCCUUAAAAUUUAUAUUGAAGGUGAGGACCGAAUCUCUGACUGAUCAGCAGAUCUUUGCAGCUCGGAUUGACCCUAUUAAUUAUGUGAUGAUAUUUUCACUUACUGUAUGUGUUGGCUUGUUUUGGUAACAUUUAAAUAAAAAAUAACAGCUAAUAUCUGACUAUUCAACUUGAUCUUUUUACUGUUCAACUUGGUUAAGCUUGAAAGUAUAAGAUUUCCAUAUCUACCUUGCAACAUGCCAACAAAAAAGAGUACAAUUAUAAUUGAUUUUAGUACUGCUGAAGCUGAAUAGUACUGUAUGAUCUUUUGACCUUCCUUUCACUUAAACAUAUCUCAUAGUGAUCCUGAACUAAUUAAACUUUGCAAUUAAUAAUUUAUAGUCCGGAUAUAAGUACUCUAGAUUGUUCUCUAUACUCUGAUCAUAUACUACAAACAAUAUCUAAACUGCUCUAAUUAAUUUACGAGAUGGGAGAAUCGAACUCGAGUGCAAGAGGUGUGAUAUGCACACACUGCCGUGGCCAAACUAGCCUAUUCUACAUAUGCAGAAAGAGUAAUGUUAAUGACUCAUCUUUGAGCACCUUAUUUAGUGACUUCGUUGCAUGCAUGCCAGUAGAGAUAUAUCAUACACAAAAAUCAAAAACCCAAAUUCAUGUUUCACAUUUCAUAUAUCAUAUUUGAUGAAGUUUCAUUUAAUAUGCAUCAACGUACGAUUUUAGGCCUGCUAACCUCUACAGAUUCAGUUUAAUUAACUCGAAAAACCACAUUCAAAGUUUUGAAAACCGAAAACGCUGUCUUCCUUUGAAUAGUUUAUUCAUUAGAUUAUUUUGAGUUUUGUGUUCUUCCAAGUCCUGUCUGUACCCACGAGAAAUAUUUUAUGCAGGUAGUCUGAACCCUAGCUUUGACUUGGGUUUGAACUCUGUCUAUAAAGCCCACAUUAUUCUCUCCAACUUUCCUCUCUUUUUGUUGUCAAUCUAAAGAUCACUACACUUUCUCUAGCUAGAAAUUAAGAAGGAAACUACACAAAGAUGCUACAGCUUACAAGCUUCAUACUAGGGCUUCUUUUUGUUAUGCAUGCACUAGGGCACUUUACUACUGCUGCACAUGCUCAUCAGGGUAGAUAUACUAGUAGAUAUAUAUAGCCUUCUCUCAUAUUAUAGCUAGGGCUAGGGAUUUCUAAUAAAAUUUUGGGAGGAUUUUCUAAUGAUUAAUCUUGUUUUUUUGUAGGUAAAGAAGAGCUUUCUAUGACUGAGAAACCUGUAAUACUCUCUGGUCAUAAGGUAGAGUACUUAUUAUUCCAUGAUUUGUUUGUGCUAUUAUUGAAGUUUAGUCCUCAGGAAGCUUCUUGCACUCGUCAAGUAACACUGCGCUAUAAUCGCGUUGUUAUUUGCACUUCUCCACAAUAGUGCAAGAAGCUUUUCGAGGAGUGUGAAUAGCGUUUCUCUUUCUUCUAUAUAUGAUUAAGUAUAAUUUUCGAUAUAUAAGCUAAUUACCGUAUGAGUAUGCAGGAACCAAAUACGGAUGGGGUUUCAAUAGCUGGGUCUAGGAUGAUAGGGCUUGGAGGAAGAAAAAUGGCGGCACACAAAGUGUUGAGGAAAUUAGAGCCUGCAAGACCAGCUAGCCAGCUGAAUGGAGAGACUACUUCAUCAAAGAAUUCAGGUGCAACCCGUAGUUCUGAGGGAAAUUGUGACUUCGAAGGAAAGGGAGAUCUAAAUGAAAAAUGUAAACACGGAGAUUAUAAAAGUAAAACUAGCCCUUCUAGUGCUAAGAAGUACUUCAAAGCAGCACAUGAUUUUGUAGCUUUUGGUGCUGAUUAUCACGGGCCUGCACACCAUCCUCCAAAACACAAUUGAGAAAAUCAUUGAAACCCAAGUUCGAUCUUAGAUCAGUCUUCACGGUCUUGUUGUUGCCAGAUGCUCUAGUGAAAACAUAUGUGUGUGAUAGAUAUAUAUCACGUAGUAGCUAGCUAGCUAGUGUAGUUGUAUGUAUUAGUAUUCAGAAAAAGAUAUAUACAUAUAUGUUGGAAGGGAUUUCUCGCUCUGAUGCUUAAUGGAUGCAAAUAUUGCUUUUGUGUUCUUGGAACUAAAUUUUGAGAUGUUGAUUUUGAUGAGGAAGAAGGUUAAUAAUAAUAAUGGUUCAUGUUAGACAUUUCUUGUCUGAUUGCAGGUAAGGACAGUAAAGCUUCAAGCAACUCCCAUGGAAAACCUCAAAACAUACUGAACCAGCAGGUCUCCUCUCUCUCUCUCUCUCUCUCUCUCUCUCUCUCUCUCUCUCUCUCUCUCAUACACACACACACACAAACUUUCAUAAAUCAAAUUUUGAUAUGCAUGUAGUAGCUAGUACACUUAAACAAAGAGGAUUUUCUUUACCAUCAGAAAAGCCCCACCUUUUGCCUUUUAAUUUGGUGCUAAUUUGGUUAUGUUCAUACACAUUUUCCAGGCCGAUAUCAAGAUAUUGGAGCCAACAACACUGAAGGCUGCUGCCAAUAGUUUUGGAAUUCCCAGAGUUCUUAAGCCAAAGCACUCUCAAGAUUCCAAGACAAAGCAGCCAAUUAUCAGAGCUCAUCAAAAGACUAUUAAUUAUGAUGAUACUGAUGAUCAUCAUAAGUUGACAGAUGAAGCAAGAAGGCUUCUUAAGGCAACAAGAGAGAUAGUAAACCUGAUGCAUAAAGAUUAUCAUGGAAUGGGUCGCCGCAAGCCGCCCAUAAACAAUCAUGAGCCACAACAUUGAGAUUGAGUCUGUCUAAUACUGGUUUAGCUAUAUAUCUAGGCUCACAAUUUUGCCCCCUUCCCCCACUAGGAAUAUUUAGUGAUCAGUCCCUUAUAGCUAGCCUAUACAGAAUAUGGUGUGUGCUUGUUUAAUUUAUUUGUUUUCUUUUUUUGAUCAAGCAUAGGAACUUUAACAAGUAGUGAACUGCUGUGUACAUUAAGUUUGCCUUCAUACACCUAGCCUCUGUGAAGUAAUGAUAUAUAUAUAUAUAUAUAUCAUAAUUUUGUGCCCUCUUCCUCCUUUAUAUAAUCUAAUUUAUUGUUUUUUCCUUAUGCAAAACAUGGUAAAAGGUAAAACAAGUCUUUAUCUCAGCCUUAAAACUCCACCAAAUGAAUUUGGCAAUUGUGUGUUUGGAUCAACUUCAGUUGCUCCUCCUAAAAUAUUAAUGGAUGGUCUCAUGCUUGUGGGCUCUGGAUCUUCAAUAUUUAUUUAUCAAUUCACUGGCAAGUUUAAACAUUUAGUUUAUAAGCUCUGCUGCAGGAGAGUACAAUAUUAUUAUUUCCAUGAUUUCCAUUAACCAAGAGCCUUGACAGAGCUAGCUUGAGAGGUAAUCAAUCUUAAUCAGUACAAAUUAAUAUGACAAUUAAAAAAGGACAAACUAAUCCCAUUUUUUAAAUUGACCUUGCUGAUGGGCUGAUGCAUAAUGGAUUAUGUUAUACAAUUACAUUUCUACAAGUUGCUUGAUGUUUAAGGGGGUGCAAACAGUUGAACCAUUGAAGCAGCCUGUAGCUAUAACGGAGGAUACAGAUUCAGUAAGGUGGAAAGCAUCCCAGAAGAAGUAAUUGUUUGGUUCUAAGCAUGGUGCAAGCAAUGGAAUGCUCUCUGAAGUCCCAUCUGCCCAAGUAGUGCAGCAUGGAUUGCUUCCAUCGAUUAGCCCUGCUCGAUUGAUACAUAUCUCAUUAACAUCGAAUCGAUUAACAACAAGAAAAAUCAGAGAAAAAAUGAGACAACUUGGUUUUUGAAGUUUACCAUAUUUAACAGGACUUGUGAUUGCAUCAUAGCCGAUCCAAUUAGCUCGACCAAGAACAAAGAAAGAACCUUGGAAAGUGUUUGUCAAAUUUGCCAGCGUCACACGAAGAUUUUCAUUAAAAAUUGUGGCUAGCACGUUUGUAUCUUCCACACAGUUUCCACUGUGGUUAUGUGUCUUUGCAAUUGAUGGAAUGCAUCCAAGGGGACCAAUUUCAAACGUGACUAUUUUCCUGGCUCCCAAAUUGUACAUCCUCUGCACUUUUGCAAUAAGAACAACAAGCUUAUCAUCCAUUUUAACAUUGAAUGAGCAGAGAAGGAAGGGAUGAGAGUUUGGUACCUCCAAAUGGUUAGCAAGCGCAUCCAUUAAGAGUUGUGCAAAUUGUUGAGGAGAGUAGCGUUGACUUGUAUCGAACGCUUUGAUGUAAAGGUAGUUAUUGAUGAAAUCAUUGCUACCAAUAGAAAACAGAAAUAUAGAUUUGGAUAGGUAGUGCAGAAGAUCAUGGGGAUUUUGGAACUGUCCUGGCAAGUCUGACUUCACCGUUCUUUGAAACAAAUCUAUCUGGUCUUUUAGAUUCAAGCAUUUCCCCUGUAAAAGAACACCAAAUAAAAAAAGAAAGAAACUCAUAGUAUAAAACUAUAUAUAGCUGCCCUACUAUAGAAAAUUCAUGCAUGGUGGGUGCAUGAACAAUAAAGAUUGGCAGGAUUGAAUAUCUAGAACUGGUUCUUCACAGACUCAUGGGUCAUGACUAUCUUACAAAUUGGCUUCCGGUUUCAGGUAGAAUGCCACAAGAACCAGAUGCAUAAUUCAGGCCUUUAAGUGCUGUGUUUGAUCCACGUAUGCUCAUGUAUGGUGGAGGAUAUGGUAGCUCAAGAAAUUCAGCUUAACAAAAAAGACAACACAGAAACCAUAGGUACUAAGUUAGAGUCAAUAAUAUUCAUGAACUGAAACCAAACCAAAGUUACAAGUAUUUGUUUUGGGCAAUAAUAAUAUCACCUAUAAAAUCUGCCACUGUUCUGCCAUUGGUAAAUCUUCCAGUGACUCCCUUGACAAAAUUCACCCCAUAAGGCAAGUAAUCUGCCUUACAAACAGUUGGUAAAAAAUUAUUGUUACCACUGUCAAACAAAGAAUCCCCAAACACAUACAAUGCUGGUGCAAUUGGCAAACCAUGAAUCUGCAGUGAAUGAAAGUGCAAGGAAAUUGUGAACAAGAAAAUAAGUGACAUUGGUUUCAUUCUCAUGUUCUGCAACAUUGCUUUGAUGCAAAUGCUGAAUUUGCUGCUAGUGCUUUGUGUGUGUGUGUGUGUGUGUGUGUGUGUAUACAAUUUGUUGGGAGGAAAAUGCUGAUUGUCCAGUCACAUGGAAGAUCAAUUGGUGUGAGCUUUUAAUGAGGUGGAAAAUUUCGGUUGAGCUUAUAGUGAGGUGGGGAUUUCGGUUUGGGGUACAUGUAUAGGUAACUGAUAUGAGAUGAGUUGUUUCAACUCUUUUGGAAAGUGAUUGAAUCAAGGCAGCGGCCUAAUUGUACAACCCUUUUUUUUUUUUUUUCUGGGGUUGAAAGUUACUUUAUGAAUUUAAGGGGUCCAACUUCACAUUUCAUGUGACCACUGCAGCUCCAAAGCUAACUGAUGCUGCAAAUUUUGGUUUUGGGGUCAUGGAUUGCGCCUACUGAUCAGUGCUGAUCAUUAGUUUUGAUAUAUGGUGCAAUAAUUGGGCAACAUUUACACAAGGGAAUGAAACUAAGGUAAUGAGCAUGAAAAAUGGUGAUCAUUAUCUGAUUAGAAACCACUUGAUUGGGUUUCCAUGUGAAAGUUUAGACUACAUCCAUCUUUAUGAUUAGGCUUCCAACCACGAAAGCCCCAUUUUUUGAAGCGUGCUUUGCUGGGCUACUAGCAUGGGCCCAAAGCACUCACAUUGGGGCAUUGAAGCUACAAAGUGGAUCAUAAACCAUUUGUGAAUAAAAAAUAGUCCAAGUAGGGUUUGUGGCUUGGAAUCAUUUUAUAAUGAGAGCCUUAAGAUGAAGCCCUAUCUAUUAACCGUGCAGUACCGUCUAACCAAUCCUCUUUUCAGCUCUACCUAACCCUGCCAAGGAUAUUAGUCUAUGUAGCUCUAACCAAUCCUCCUCAAUAGUUGAAUAUUUGUUUGGGACAAUAUAUAUGCCAAGUCAUGAUACUCUUCUUGAUUAGCAAAAACCAGUUCAAGUGGAUGAUGACAAUAUAUAAAUUAUAUAAAAUAUGUAAGAGAAUAGAAAAACAACUCAAAAUUCACAUUAUUUUCUUUAGCUGUAUUUCUCUUUGUAUUUACAAUUAUUUUCAUCUCUCUUCUUAUCUUCGUUUUCUUGGUUCAAACAGAUUACAGAUUUGCGAAAGAAAGAACAACAAUAAAUUAUGGAUUUGUUGGAAAAGAGAGAAAGAAAAAAAGAAGGAAAAAAAUCGAAUGAAUUAUUGAAGUUAAGGGACCGCAGAGAAUAUUUCUUCCCAUGAUCCUACUUAGACCGUGUCAACCCACCCCAAAAAAUAUCGUUUUGAUUGAGCAUAUUUGGUUGACCCACAAGGAUGAAUAUUUGCAUUAAGUAGCAUGACACAACCCACUUGCUAACCUAAGUUGAAGCAGCCAAGGAUGGAGGCUUACACAUGCAAGCAUGUAAGGCAUUUUUCUUCAUUAUCACUAACACUAUUACCAUUAUUAUUAUUUUAAAAAACGCAAUUAAGGUAUGUAUGUCAGUGUAUCAGUAUUUUAAAUUAAUCACACAUUGUCAUACAUUGUCAUAUAUUUUAAUUGUAUCAUAUUGUAAUUCGUAAUUGACUUGAAAUAUUAUUGGCAUUUUAACUUUCCACCAAGACCAUGGAAUUUAUUCCGUGGACCAUGAGCUCAAAGCGACAAAUUGACCCAACCAAACAAAGAGAAAGCAUAAGAAUUAAAGGCGUCCUGCAUCUACAUUAACGAGGCAUUGGUAUUUGGUACGGCUGAAUAAGACCCAUAUGUAGUUUACAACUUUACCGGCUUUUGCUUUGCAUUAUGUGAUAUAAUUCAAUUUAAUUUUCCUAGGCCUACCAUUAUAUUAUUAUCUUUCCCUUUAACGCCUCAACAGAACACUUCUACCAGUUAACGUUAAGCCCAUAAAAAAACCGCGUCUUCUUUUUAUUCCAUCAACUCCCAGUCCAACUCAGCCACCAGUGUUUUUCCUUCAGUUUCUUCUCUGGCUGUUUACAGUUUCUUUUCUUCAACUGGGUCUCUGUAACAACAAUCAGCAGAAGAGUCAACGAAACUGAUCCCAUCAACUUCUCUUUGGGUUUUCAGCUGGUUAGGUAUGUGUGCUCUUCAUCAAUUCAUCGGUCUUUCUUGAUUUUGAGAAUUUCUGCUUAUUUGUGUCUUUUGGUUGGUUCUGAUGCCUGGGCUCAUGCGUUCUGGUUUUGAUUAUAGAGCAUGAUAUAUAAGGUUGUGGGAAUUUGGAAGGUUGAUAGUUAAUUUCAAUAUAUCUAUGUUGAAUUAUUGCUUCUUCUUUUUUAUAUGCAAAUAAGAGUCUACCAUUUAUGCCAACUUCUGCGUCAAGUCUUGGUUGGCGGUACCCAUACAAAGAAAGAAAGCAUCUUAACAUGUAGUAAUAAUUUAGUAGAAAACCAAAAAAAAAAAAAAAAGGUUCUUUUGCAGUUUUUGAGUUUCUCUACUUAUGCCCAGUUGAUAGUAUGCUUAUCCUAUGGCUCUAUCUUUAGAGAAGCAAGCAAGACACAAUUUUUAUGGAUAAAAAUGGUGGAUAUAUUAUGUCUACUAAACGAGUUACACAAUUUAUAUCUGGAAAGUGCACUGAGUUCGUUGUGAAUCAGGCAAUGUGAGGAAGUAACAGAUCGUACAUUUAUUUCAGAAAGAUAUGUAGCACUCUAACUAUUGUGGUUUUCAUAUUGUUAAUCAAAUAUUAUCAUGUUUCCAUUAUCAAUAACCCAAUCAGAUUUUGAAUUUCACUUGUCAUGCUAAUCCAUCAUUUCUGGAACAAGCUUACAUAAUGUGUUUUGCCCAUCUUAUGACAGAUAACCUGCGGCAAUUUUGCCCUGCAAGAUGUUCUCAUUGCCUGAAUCUCAUAAGAGACCAAAGAAUGGUUCAUCAAACUGAUCUUGUUAUCAUCGGCGUCUCUGUUGGCGUAGCCCUUGGAAUUUUGAUAGCUUCACUCAUAUUUUUUGGCAUAAGGUGGUAUAGAAAGCGUGCUCAUCUUCGGCGAUGUGCUAAUGAGCGUAGUUUGACAACUCUUCCGAUACAGGCAAAUGGCUUAGGUACAAGCACUGACUAUAGCGCAUCUCUUUCAACUUCCAAAGCUAUUCAAGGAUCCGAGAACCUUCAAAAAAAUUCUCCGCUCUCUUGGUGGAAUCAUCAAAACAAAGAUCGAUUUGUUUCUGCGCCAGGCGUACUUAGAUACUCUUACAAGUAUGUUGAACCUUCUGCGCUAUAGAAAAAUUACAUAAUGCUGUUACAGUUUAUAUUUCUCCAUUUUGUGGGUACUAAAAAAUAUUCUAUUAGGUUAAUAGUAGAACCUAUACUUGGACCUUGUGAGGUAUUGAGUUGAUAUGCUAUGAUAUAUGGUGCAUCCAAUGUAUGUUAUACUUUUCAGGGAUAUACAGAAAGCUACUCAAAAUUUUACUACCCUUCUGGGACAAGGUUCUUUUGGUCCGGUGUAUAAAGCAAAAAUGGCUGCUGGAGAGGUAGUAGCUGUGAAGGUGCUUGCUUCCAAUUCUAAGCAGGGAGAGAAAGAGUUCCAAACAGAGGUAAACGCUACAUCAAGUAAAUCCUGUGAGAAACCAUCUUCCUUCAUGCCCAUAGAAUUGAUACAAAAAUACUCACGUAUGUUGUAGAAUUCACAACCAAAAAUGAUUUCUUUGCUCUUAUGGUCCAAAGAAUACAUAAAAUGGAAUGUAACAUUUUCAAUAUUUUACUCAAAAGCUUGGAACAAUAAUAAAAAACAAUGCAAUUCUGGACAUGAACGCAACAAGACAGUCCUCAGGAGUCCGGUUUCUGGUUUCCAAAUUGACAAUCUGACCAGUUAUCACUGGUUAACUUAUGAUUGGCCGUCUCAAUGUUUAUAUCCCACAAAACAGGUUGAGUUUCCAUUAAUUUAUGUGGUCUUGCUGCAGGUAUCUCUGCUAGGAAGACUGCAUCAUCGCAAUCUAGUGAAUCUACUAGGAUAUUGUGUAGAUAAGGGGCAGCAUAUGUUAAUCUACGAGUUCAUGCGUAAUGGCAGCUUAUCAAAUCUUCUGUACAGUAAGUUCAGAAGCUCCUGUUUUUAUCCAUAUCAAAAAUCAAGAUUUCUCUUUGUUGUAGUAACUAGAAGCUAGGUGAUAUCUAAUUCAAAUGGAAGGUGGAAAAAUUUACUGAGUCUAUGUUGCUUGGUAGUUCCAAAUCGUGUAUUUCACCUAGAGACAUCUCUGUAUCUUUUUUUUGUUUCAGUAACUGAGAACUUGACUAAAACUUCUUUUCGGAAGCCUUUUGGGUUGAUUUAAGAAUCAUCUUCACGUAGGUGAAGAACAACAGGUCUUGAGCUGGGAUGAAAGGCUACAAAUUGCUCUGGAUAUUUCACAUGGAAUUGAGUACCUUCAUGAAGGGGUAGGAUAUAUAUCUGUAUCCUUGUUUUGUUAGUGAACAAUUAAUUUUGUUCACCUCUCUCAUAUGAAGUUUAUUUGAACAGGCAGUCCCACCAGUCAUACAUCGUGAUUUAAAGUCUGCUAAUAUACUUUUAGACCAGUCAAUGAGAGCUAAGGUAAGAAAAUAACCGUAUAUGAUGCAUGCUAGGCAGCUGGCACAUGCAUGGUAGUUAAUAGUGAAUGUUAUCAUAUUUAUGUUUUCAUUUCAAUCUGUCCUCACCUUCUCCUGUGCAUUAGGUUGCUGAUUUUGGAUUGUCUAAGGAAGAGGUUUUUGAUGGCCGGAAUUCUGGCCUGAAAGGUACUUAUGGCUACAUAGACCCAGUCUACAUAUCUACAAACCAGUUCACAAUGAAGAGCGACAUCUACAGUUUUGGAAUUAUCAUAUUUGAGCUAAUAACAGCCAUCCACCCUCACCAAAACCUAAUGGAAUAUGUUAAUCUUGUGAGUUUCAUGCACUCUGCAACAUAAACAUAUUGUUUACACAUAAUUCUGUUGCGAAGCUUUUUAACUUUUUUCUCUUUUUCCUUUAAGGCUGCUAUGGCCCCAGAUGGUGUAGAUGAAAUACUUGAUAAGCAACUAGUUGGAGAGUGCAAACUUGACGAAGUGAGGAGGCUAGCUAGAAUCGCACACAAAUGCUUAGAGCAAUUACCAAGAAAGAGACCUUCCAUAGGAGAAGUUUCACAGGGUAUAUUGAAGAUAAAACAGAGGCGUCUUGCCAAAGAAGAUACCAUGUCUUUCGCAGGCGAAGAAUUUUCAAGGGCUGUAAGCCGAAUAGAGAUUCAGCAGGUGGAGCUGAGUAGGAUAGCUAGCAUGAAAGAUAGAGCGACUGAAUGACCAAUAAGAAUUUUGUUUCCUUUUUGAGCUUAUAUUGGUUUUUCUGGUUUCGAAUUCGAUCCUUUGAGACGUUUUUGGGUGAAUACAAUGCAAGGCAAAAUCAAGUUUUUAAAUUUAAGCCCAUCGUUCAAUUUUAUUGUUGUUAACAUAUGCAAAUUAACCAUAAUAACGGAGGAGAAAGCACUUAAGUCAUCACCUAAUAACAAGGGGUCAAAACAUGCAUUGCAUCUUUAACCUCAUAAGAUAGUUUAUAUAUACACAACGCUGUUCCUUCUGCCAUUUGGCAUGGCAGAUUUAUUCACUCUCAACACAGUCGACACAAUGUGGAAGACAAAAAAGACAAAGGAAUUGAAACAUACGGUUCUCGCCUCCAUUGGCCGACUCCCAAGGGUAAGACUCAGGAUGCCAGCAGUCCCAUAAAUAAACUUGUGAAAGGAGGGAAAAAAAAAAAAACAAAUAACACCCCGACCCCGGUGUCAAACCCUACAACAAGUACUCUAAUAACUCCAAUUUAUUUAUCUAACAAUAUUCCCUCAAAACUGGCAUGAAGUCCCCAACCUCUGUCUCUGCCUCUGACCCACAUUCCCUGCAUUGCGAUUUGCAAAAGCAGGGCGCAGCAAUCUCUGGAAAUUCUCAAGAAACCGCAUCCAUUCCUCUUCAUUCAUAUCUGCCAAAAUCACAAAAUUACUGCUCAUAGGCCGCUGCUCAUUCACGCUCCUAUUUCCUGAGGAUGUGCCAGCCAAAUAGCCGUUCUUCUGCAUUGAGCCUAGGUGUCGCCAACUCUUCUCACCAAAGCUGAUGUUUUUCAAUGAUGUUGACAGCUUUGAAACGUUUGGAAUCCGAUCCUGCACUACACUAACACAGUCAUCUGACCUUGGAGGUAACUCAUUUCCCUCGUGCCCUUCCAUACCCUCCUCCACACUCUCCUCUAGUUUGGAUAGUAAAUAUCUUCCAUUUCCACCUUUUGAUCCAAAACGGAAAGUCCUUUCAGUUUUCAUUUUCUCUUCAGUAGUUGGAGCCAAAUCCAGCUCCUCCUCCUUCCCACAGUCUAGCUCAAACUGGAACUCCUCCCUGCCUGCUUUUGGCUCAAAAUAAGAUAUUUCCUCAUCCAACAGUGUCUUUGCUUCAAUGCAUAUUAUCUCGAGUUCACUCGGCUCCUCCUCAUGGCCCCGAUAUUCCCUACUCAUCAUCUCACCAAUCUCAGAAAGACAGAGGCCAAAGGCUGCAGCUUCCUUGAGAAAAAUCGUGCACAGAACCAAGACUCGGAGGCAUGCCUCUCGAAUCAUGGGCAGCUCCAUUCUGAGCAUAUCAGAGUCCUUAAAAGGGUCAAGUUUAUUUAUAUAUGCAAGCUCAUCAUCUGAGAAAGGAAUUGAUGCCUGCGGCCAGUGUAUCCACUCAAAGUAUGGAUCCUCUAAGCUUUCAGGUAGACAAAGGCCAUGAUCAAUGGGUACAAGCUCUAUCCGACCAAACCUCCCACCACCAUCAAGCUUCCUAACCAGAAGGUUCCCUGCAUGCCUGUCUGUGUUAAGAAUCCGAAUAUCUAGAAUCCCUAUUCUAUGCACAGCAGCAACUGGGAAGCUGGAAGUCCCAUGAUCACUGGCAUCAAAAUCAUGAGGAAUGAAUUGCUGCAGUGAUGCAAUCUUACUUGCUUGCUUUCCGUUUCGAUGCACAUUACCCUUCACUCCAUCAUUCACAUUAAAAACUGAAUGUGUGAUCUUCACAAGAGCAGUGUCAGGCACAUUAGCAAAAUUAUUGUAAUCAAGAAGGAAAGCUGCAACUUCUCUGAAACCUGUCUCCCCAACCCGUACUGAACGUUUGAGACCUGGCUGUCCAAGUACUUUCCCAACAAAACCUUUUGGGUUGUUUGGAGCAUAAGGUUCCUCAUCCGUCGGUUUCACAAUGGCAAUAUUUUCACCACUGCAAUUUCUAAAGUAAUAUGCACCUCCAAGCCCACCGUGAACAGGAACUGGAUCAAUGCCAUUUCUUAUUGCCUUCACAAUAUCCACAACUAAUUGUUUUGUUCUGGAAAAUUGAUCCGAGUACCCCAGUACCUCAAUUGGACCACUCUGAUCCCUCUGCUGAAGAUCCUUCCCAGUUGGCGAGAGACAGGGGGUAGACAAGCUUCUGUGCAAGAAGUUCCGGGUGAGAAGAAGCGGAGAAUCAUUUCGAACAAUGCUGAGAUCAUUCUUCAACACCAUGUCACCACAUACCAAUGAACUCUCAUCAGUUGGGACAUCAAGUGCAAGCCGUAAUUUCCUCUUCACUGUGUGGACAUUGUCACCCCUAUCUAGCUCUAUGCCCAAAACAGAACCACUUUCCGUCUGCACAAACACACGUCUCUUGCCAGAAUUUUUUCUUUCCAAUGUCUUUUUCCCAUGGUACUCACCAUUAAGAGGUCCUUUGAAGGUUGCAACUGCCAUCUGGUUAUGUACAGGUUUACCCAAUUCAGGAGACAUGAAAGGAAGCAGAGAAGUGGCAAGUUCCAACGCCGGCAGCAGAGGCAGCGGCAGCAGAGAGCUUCUCUCUCACGCAGACGCCAAACUCAAAUGCCGGCACUAAUUGAAGGAAAAUGUUUGUAAUGUAAACAAUCAUAAUCAAACUAGUAGAAGACAACUGAUUUUCACACUGGAAAAGCUAUAACGAAGAAGUCACCCACUUUGCCAAUUUGCUACAUUGCAGAGGCCACCUGAUAAUGACACUGGCAGGCUAGCUAUUCCAGAAUAACACAUUCAUUAGAUAAUCUUUUAAAGAAUAGUGAUUUACAAAGAAAUAAAAGUAUAAGAUAAAUCUUCUUUUUACAUCUGUUUCUUCCAAUCCCUAAUACUUGAAGAGUUUGAAAGGAAACAAAUAGACGUCCUUAUCUGAAAACGAUUCACUCAUUUGGUGACCCGGUACAUACAUCCAUAUUUACAAUCAUGCAUGCAUGCAUACACACACACACACACAGACAGGUAUAUAUGUGUGAAAAAAAGGGAAUCUUUUUCUCUGAAAAUUCUUAUGACAAAAAGCAGUCUGAUCAUCAACUUGAAACCCAAAUUACAACGCCAAGAAUCAACUUUAAAUUUCUUGUCCAUUCAAAUCUCCUACUCAAAGCUCUUCACUUUUUUUUUUCUUCAAAAUUUCUCCUCCGAAUCAGUAAUUUAAAAAGUGCUGGGAAUUUUUUAACUUGUCUAAUACAUAAAACUUAACGAAGAAAGCACAAAACAUAAAUAAAAAAAAACAAUGCCAUAAGAAUAAUACAAAUAAUCGAAAUUGAUCCCAAACUCUACCGUAACAAUAGGACACAAACCUGAGAUUCAAAUGGAAGCGAAAUCGAAGCUAAUCGCGGUCUGAAAAUUGUAAAAACUCACUAAACAAUAGUGUUUUCUAAUGGAGAGCUCAGACAAAAACGAAAGAGUGAGACUCACCGGAGACCGCGAUGCAGGGCAACCGGACGGCGGAGCUUACCGGAGAUCCACCGCCGUUGAGACAAGACUGAAUCGAAGACCGAGGGCGGGGAUUGGAUGAAAGAGAUAUCAACGGCCAGAUUUGAUUUGAUCGGACCUCAAAAUCAAUGCUGUUAACAGUUCUUCUCUCUCCCGCUUUUGGAGUUUUUCGUCUCUAACUCCCAUUCGCGAGAAGCGGAAGGGGGUUUAACGAAUAAUUUAACUUUCUCUUUUUUAAAUUCGAAAUAAAGGAAGAAAAUUACGGGCAGUAAUAAUAUGUGCGCGUUAUUUUGCCACGUGGGUGUGCGUCGUUCGUUCAACGGUAACGUGGCGGGUUUUCAUCUGAUUUGGGUUGUGUGACGUUACUGGGCCCUGAGAUGUCCAAUGGCAGUGAAGGAUGUGACUCCAUGAGAGUUCGCCGUUACGGACACGUGGUGGUUUCUCUUGACGAUGGUGGUGGGAAAGAAAGAUCUAGAACUUGAAAUUUCCAAAUCAUUGUUGGGCCUCAUUUACUUACUGGUCUUUUAGUCUUUAACCCCGUCGACGGCGGUCCAUUAAUGGAUUGAACGAUGGUCUAAAUGUUGGGCUUAAAACCAGUCCAUUUCUCAAUUUUUGAUAUAUAAAAAUGUGUGUAUGAAAUGUGCGCUAAAUUUGAACUUUUAUUGUUAACACUAUAUAUGAGAUUUAGUGUUCGAAUUUCCCUCCUUCAAUGUCGUUUAUAUCCAAAAAAAAAAUUUACCUACUAACAGAAGGUAAUGAGUUACGAGUGACGGAGAGUUAAUAAUUAUUUAUUGGUAAUGUUAUAUUGGAGUUAGAAAAACGGUGGAGGUGCGUCCACUCAAUCUACACCAAAGUGGUAAAAAAUGGGUUACCACCUUUCCCCUUGCGUUACCUUUUUCUAUUGUCCACAACCUUGUCCUAACACCUAACUCAAAAGAAAAAGCACAAAAAAAAAAAAACAAAGUUACCAACUAACAAAAAAUUGAACUUUCCACCCUUGUUUUUUGCCCUAGCAUAACGAAAAGGUAGUCAAGCCUUGAUGUACUUUACAGCAACUGUCUUCUGAUUAAAGAGAAGGUCUUUACAUAGAAUCCAAGUCCCCAUGGAGUAAAUAAUUGACCAUAAUAAAGUUAAAAGUGUGUGCAUUGUCAUUUAGAAGAAAUAAACAUAUGACAAAAGGAAAAAAAUAUUAUUGUGAAAUUAUGGGAAAAAGACAUAAACACCAUCAGUCCCUUUUAUUUGUUUAUUUAUUGUUUUCAAUACAAUUUUUUUCCUUCCUCAUUUUGUAAGUGGCACCGACUUCGUGUCUAUUUAAUAAAGAAAAAUCAUUUGAAUUUGAAAUCUAUUCUAAUAUUAGAAAUAGAAAUACCACUAGUACAUCGAUUCUCAAUUAGGGCAAUAUUAGAAAGAGUCAAAUGCUGGUCAACAACAAUAACUCAUGCAAGCAGUUUCUUCUUCACAGUCAACUUUCAUUGAUUCUUCUGCCCCAACCCAAAACAGUUCCCACUCUUUCUUUAAACACUCCUCAUCACCCAAAAGUUUCUCUCUUUUAUAUUUGAUUCCUCCUUUCAGAUUCUCAUCUCCUACAAAAAAAAAAAAAAAAAAAGAAAAAAAGAAAAAAAAACCCUUCGGUCUUUAUAGAGAGUCACACAACACAACCAUACAAAGCCCCCAAAAAGCCAAACUCAUCCAAUCCAACCAAAGACAUAUAAAGCCACAACCUUCACCAUUGGACCCCAAAAAAAAAAAGACACGACCUUUACCUCACGUGACCAAACUCAAACUCCAUCCCAUUGCUUUCAAUCAACAACUUUACCAAAUCUUGGAAAAUAUUAGCCAACGCUUAAUCUACACCUCUGCCCAACACCCCUCACAUGUCCCAUUUCAUUGGGUCGUCUUAUCCACUCUCUGGAGUGGAGAGUGGGCUUUCAUGAGACAAAGAUUUAUGAAAAACAUAAAAAUACUUAAAUGUAAUAAAAUACCAUGUCUGCUCCAUCCAACUCAAACACUCAAAUGUUGUGUGCAUCUCACUCGCACGUGCCGCCCCCCUCUCUCUCUCUCUCUCUCUCUCUCUCUCUCUCUCUCUCUCUCUGUGACAUCCCUUUCUACUAACCACUGCAGUCCUCUCUCUGUUCAUCUUUGCUUCUGCAAUCUAGUAGGAGACAGAUUCUUUUAGGUGGGUUUUAAUGAAAGGAUGGGAAAGAUGGUGUUUAAGUCCAAAAUGAAAUGGGUUGGUUUGCUUGGUCUGGUUCUCUCAGCUAUAUCUCUCUUUGUUCACUUUUUGCUGGCUAGAUUCACAGAAGGGGGUGUUUCAGAGUACCACUCCUCAAUCACAAUCUUCCCCAGGCGAACCAUUGGUGAAAGCUUGAAUUUUUCGAAGACUGUAAUUGCACUAUCCCAACUAAGAUCUCAUUUUUCUUUUUCUUUUUUUACAUUUGCUAUGUUUGCUCUGUCCUUAAGUGCUCUCUCUCUCUCUCUCUCUCUCUCCCUCUCUCUCUCUCUCUCUCAUAGAGAUUCAUGUUUUUCUUAAAUUUGAUUCUCUUUAUAGCUUUGCUUAUUGUCCAAAGUGUUAUCUGUCUCUGGGUUUCAAGUACUCGUUUCUGCUGGGCAAGACUUGUUCUUGCUCUAAAGAGUGGGAAUCAGUGUUUUUCUGGUGAAAUUGGUUUUGGGGACAAUAUUGCAUUGGGAUUUUGCUGGUUUUCUGAAACCCGCCUUUUACAUGAAUUAUUUUGUUAGUUUGAGUGUGAAUUAGUGUGGAUCCGUUUUUGUUCAUUUAUCUAUUAUUAUUUUCCAGUUAACAUUGGAAGAUUUUGGAUAUUAUCUGGACUGUUUAGUUUCACUAUUGUCUGUCUGUUGUCUAUGAUGGCUACUUAUCCCUCUACUUUCGGGUGCAGAGUCCAAUGUAUAGAAGGCUAUGGGGACCCGUUAGACAUCUGGAAUCUUUGCAUCCCAAUGCAAAUCCCAGAGGACACUAUGCUGGUUAGGCCACUUUUCAUCUUGCUAGUGAUUUCUGUAUAGGUGUAGUGCGCCCGGGAGGCUUAUGUUAGAUAAUUAUUAGUUAAAGGUUUCCUAUGCAAAAUUAAUGCUACCAAAAGGUUGAUGAUAACCCUUCUUUCUCUGUAUUUAUCUAUUUAAAAUCUUACUUUAGGAGAGUGCUGCCUUCCAUGUUGGGGUCAUCGAUUUAAUCUGGCCAGUGAGCAUAUUAUAGUAGAGUUUCCUACAAGCCUACAAGGAAAUGUUUCAUGUCUUAACUUCGGAUAUUGAAACCCUGAAAUUUUGGGUUCAAACUGUUAUUUAUUAAUGUAUAAUUACCAUAGCUAAGUCUUGGGGUAGGGAUAGAAGAUACUUUUCCAAUUUUCUUACAGUCGAUACCUGCAGAGUCAAAAUUAUGUUAUCGUCUAUUUUUUGGUAGUAUUAAUUCUAUAGAUGCCUUCUAAAGUUAAAUAUGUGUCACAGAUCCUGGUUCCGAUACCAGCGGGUUUAUCUUUGUAAGGAUACAAGGCGGGUUUCAUGAGAUCAGGAAUUCGGUAAGGGUGUCAUGCUUGAAUAGCCUGUUCUCCGUUAUAUUUAAAUGUCAUAUAAGUUUACAACCAGAGAAUCUUAUUGAUUUUUCAGAUAUGUGAUGUAGUUGUGGUUGCUCGGUUUCUUAAUGCAACAUUAGUCAUUCCUGAGAUACAAUCAACCACAAGCAGCAAAGGCAUCAGGUUUCUUUUCGGACAAUCAUUACAAGGCUUUGUUUGUUUAUGACCUAAUAUUGAUGUGUUGAGUACUUAUUUCUUUGUUGAUUUAUUGUGUCUAAUGUUUUCAUGUAGCUCUCAGUUUAAGAGUUUUGCCUAUCUCUACAAUGAGGACCAAUUCAUGGCGGCUUUAUCAAAAGAUGUCAAAGUUGUGAAGACCCUUCCUAAAAAUCUGAAAGGGCUGAGGAGAAAAAAGAACAUUCCAGUUUUUAAAGUGCCUUACUCUGCUUCACCGUAUUACUAUAAGCACCAUGUUCUUCCAAUUUUAAAGAAGCAUUUAGUAGUUGAACUAGUUGUGUCUGAUGGAGGAUGCUUGCAGGUACCAAUGUCUGUUCUCUCUAUUGCAUUGUACUCAUAAAUGCAGAUUCCUGCACUGAGUAUAUCUUGGUUUGAUGAUAUAAUUGUUACUAGCAAUAAUCUCCUUUUCAUUUUGUGACGUUACUACUUUGUUUGGAUUUAAUGCAGGCUAUCCUGCCACCUGAUCUUGAAGAAUAUCAGAGGCUGAGAUGUAGGGUUGCUUUUCAUGCCCUUCGGUUCCGGGAGGAGGUCCAAGAACUUGCCACUAAAAUUUUACACAGGUCAAUUACCAGCCGUCAUUACUCUUCUCUCUUCACCCUCUAUUUAUACAUAUCUAAUGUUUUUCUCAUCUGGAUGGCUUUUAACAUAUAUUUACUAUUGCUUUAGAUUAAGGGCUCCUGGACAGCCAUUUAUAGCAUUUGACCCUGGAAUGACCAGGGAAGCUUUGGCAUAUCAUGGUUGUGCUGAACUCUUCCAGGUAAUUGCUUCAAACCUGGAUUGCAUGAUGAACUCUCUUUUUGGAAUGCUUUCACAGCAUUUGAUUUGCAUAUGUUUGAAACUCUUCCCAAGGAUGUGCACACUGAACUCAUUCAGCACAAAAGACAUUGGAUGAUAAAACGUGGAAUUGUCAAGGGGAAGCUUUCGGUGAAUUCUGCAGAACAACGCCUUAAUGGUUCUUGCCCACUAAUGCCAGAAGAGGUAAGAUACAACAUGCCUACAAUACAAAAGUAGUGUUCAUAAUCAUACCAACCCCCUUAGUUCUUAUAUAUACUACCAAGUCUUUUUAGUGUUAAAUUCACUAGAGAAAAAUACUGCCCACAUCCUUUGAUAAGAAAUGACUUCUCAUGGAGCCUUUUAUUUUUAUUCCUUGGAUUGCUACAGAUUGGUAUUGUUCUUCGUGCAUAUGGGUACUUGUGGGACACAAUAAUAUAUGUCUCUGGGGGAGAAAUUUUUGGUGGCCAAAGGACAUUGAUCCCUCUUCGUGCAAUGUUUGAAAAUGUUGUUGAUAGGACUUCCCUCAGCAUGCCUUGGGAGCUCAGUAGGAUUUAUGGUCGUGAGGCUAACCUUGUUGAUCGCAAUCCUGGGAGUCCACCUAUGAUUGAGGAAGAGAUGAAGAUUGAAGCAUGGAAAACUGCAGGGCCACGUCCUCGCCCGCUUCCACCACCUCCAGCUAGGCCCAAAUCCUAUAACAUUGAAGGUUGGUGGGGUUGGGUAGCUGAGAGUGAUAAUGAGCCUGAUAGUACAGUUAUGGAAUUGAGGACCAACGCCCAUAAACUACUGUGGGAAGCAAUUGAUUACGUGAUAUGUGUUGAAGCUGAUGUAUUCAUCCCUGGAUUCGAUCUUGAUGGUAAGGGGCAUCCAAAUUUUGCAAGCUUAGUCAUGGGACACCGACUCUAUCAGUCAGCUGCAUCAAAGACAUACAGGCCAGACAGGUAUGUUGCUUUAUCCGGACAUAUGUGUGUGCACAUGAUUAAUAAGUCGAAGAUAUUUUACUGUUUGCUGCUUUUCUUUGACAUAAACUAUGAAAAGUAAAUUUUUUCUUGAAUCAGGAUUACGAUGUAGGAUUUAUUGAUUUGAAGCAUUUGAGCUGUUAGUUUAUUCACAGUCAAGGUGUUCUGAUCCAAUACUUCUACUUUCUUGGUUCUUUUUCUUUCAAAGUUUGAUGUGUUUAUGGACACAGAUAUGGCAAGUGGCUAGUAAUCUCAAUGCUACCUAUCUGCGUCUCUUUGCUUGUUUUUUUUUGUUUUUUGUAUUUUUUGCAAAUUAACUGACAAGUCUUGUUUGUAGCCUGGUUUUUUUUUGGUUUUUUUUUUUUUGUAUUCUUGAUAGCAUGGAAAUAGGGACUAAAUGAAGUUGUGAUCAUGGACUGCUAGGUCUAAAAUUACUCUAUGUAUACUUAAAAAUUAUGAGAAAUUGUUAUGUUCAUUUGCUUUCUCGUAGAUUAUGGUUGACUAUGUUUUCUAUAAAAUUAUUUCUUGUGCUUUUAUGAACACAGAAAAGAAGUCACCAAGCUUUUAGAAGAAAUUAGUGACCACCUUUACCAUGCAAAUCAUACUUGGCUGAUGUCAGUGCGCAAGAAUUUGAGGAAGAGAUUAGUUGAUGGACUAAUAGAAGCUUCCGCAAGAUCAAAACCACUGUCUUUUAUCUCUCAUCCUGUCCCAGAAUGCUCUUGCUUGAGGCAUGAUCCUGCGGGAAAAUCAAUUAAUGCUACAACAUCAGCUCAUGCUUCAACUUCUACUAGUCAUUCUCAAGUACUUGCUGCUCUUGGAGUUGUGCACUAUUGCCCUGCUUGGAUGGAGAAUGAUUUGAUACUGCAGUCAAAAGACAAGGAAAAUGAAGAAACUCUAGAUGAAGACGACUCCACGUCAUCAGGAUUGUUUUUCCGGAAAAAUAAUGGAUAUCAUGAAGGUGUUAAUGGAGACUUAAGCAACAAAGAAGAGACUCAGUUGGAUGAUCAAGAAGAGCUUGAGGGUGGAGAAAGGUAGUGAGGCUGAUUAACGACAUGGUCAUCCUACACGGCAGUUCUGUACAUAAAAGAUAUCUUCACUAGUAUGAUCCAAGCAAAUUUGGAAUCAUCUUCAGCUCCAACUUCAUAAGGGGAAAUGCCAGUUUUCUAACUGUGGUUCAAGAACACAAGACUCUGGGCUGAUUUGACUCUCGUUGAAGCAUUUACUCAUUUUUGUUGGGUUGUUUAAGCCCUUUUUACAAUUAUAUAGGUCAUUAUUUAACCCCACAACCAGUUUUGAUGUAAACUCGUAUGUUCUCCAUGAAAUUGUAGCUUUAGCUUAACCUCUCUAAUUUUGUAGGGAGUUUUGUUUGUUAGACUUGUUGAUUGAAUUAAAUUCUUUGCAGUGGUCCUCGUCAGAAAUUAUGCCACCAUUUGGUUGUUGUACUCGUUCAAACAUGAAUCCACCAUUUUGUGUGGGCGCCUUGUGAACAUAGAUAAUUGGAGUUUGAAGUUCAUGUUGAUUAAUCUUUUUUGCCCCUCACGUGUCUGGCAGAAGAAUAUGAAAGAAGACUGCACUAUGUAGUAAAAAUAUACAAAUUCCAUAUCCUUAUGAUUUUCAACAAGCCCAUCACAUAAGCAGAAACUGACUAAAAACACCUCUCUUUUUUAGUGAAACUCCCUCAUAUUCUUCAACAUGCAUGUUUAUAUACAACAGUUAUCAUUUGAGUGACUGCUGCCUAAUGUGACUAUUCUUGACUAAAGUAACAUGAUGACCAUCCUUGACAAAAUCAGGUGCUCAUGUUGUCUUUUGUCUAUGUUUAGAAGCCUUUUGAAGCUCUAAUGGCAAAUCAAACGAAUUGUACAUCCAUCAUAAUGUAGAAACUGGAAAGAACAUAUACAAACUCGCAUUUAACAAACUGUAGAAAAUAUAAACUCAAAAUUCUACUUCAAACUCGAGGAAGGAAUUUCGUCCAUAUUAUCUAAUGCAGAAAACAUCUCAUUCAUGAGAAACUAAAACAUAGAGCAAGGGUAUUGGGUACUUGUGUGCACACACUCCAAGAUCUUGUCAAUAACACAAUGACAUGUGAAAAUUUAUUUUACAUUUCGUUGCGUUAUUGACUGGAGAUAGCAAAAAAUGUUGUUCCCAUUGCGUGAGAGUUUCUCUCCAGGUCAGGUCCCACUCCUCGAUGCGACAACAUGAUAGCUGUGGACUGAUCAUGUUGUAGGGUAGGGUCCAUCAGGAAUCAUGGGAUGCAUCUCUAAGCCCAAGCCCACGUGGUCACAAGAAGAACAAUUAGCCCAAAUUAUGCCCUGGUGGCUGGCGGGUCACAUUAGUUCCAGUGGUGGCCACUACCAGAAUGAAUAAAUCAGUUAAUUAAGGUUUAAUAGUGGAAUUAAUUAAUAUUAAAAAUAAUUAAAUAUUUGUUAAGGUCUUUGGUUUUUAAGUUACUCGUUUAAAGAAUAGAAACAGUGCCACCUAGGGCUCCAAUUCCAUGGUUGUCUUUACUGUAACAACUGUCUGUACAAAAUCCAAAAUCCAAAGCUCCGCCAACAAGACCACACCUUUUUAACUAUUUCCAGACCCGUCGGACCCAAUUCGGGCACUCCCCUUCGACCAGGACCUCCCGCAUUUCACUACCGCCACCGCUCACACUCGCCGCACUCUCUUACAAACUCCUCCUAAGUACUCUCUCUCUCUCUCUCUCUCUCUCUCUCUCUCUCUCUCUCUGUGUAUCGUCAUAUUGGCUUCAUUUUAUUUAUUUAUUUAGGGAUAAAUUUAUUAUAUUUGUGGCAGUUACAGUAUAUAUCGGAGAUGGCGAAAGCUUCCAAGGGCCACCACGAUGAAUUUGAAGACGAUGAUGAAGAGUCUCAUGGAGGUAUCUCUCUCUCUCUCUCUCUCUCUAUGUGAGCUAGUUGUGGCUGCCUUGAGAAAUGAUUUUUUUGUUGUUGCUGUAAAGGAAUGAAGCUAAUAAUGAAUUGAUAGGGAAUUUGGCAGUGAAGGUAGAAGGGCAAGGCAGGGAAAAGAACCGGUCCAAGCAUUCCGAGACUGAGCAGCGUAGGAGGAGCAAGAUUAAUGAGAGGCAAGCUCAAAGCCUAAGCCUUUUUUUUUUUUUCCUCUUUGCAUUAAAUCACUCCUUCAAUUUUUCUUUUUCAAUUCUGCUUUGUACGUGUUUCCAGAGCUCGAAAAUUAUAGUUAGAAUAAGUAGAGGGAAAUUGGUUUUGCGUUGGAUAUGUUAUAGUUGCAGUAAAAGGUCUCUGUGUUUUCAUUUUCUUUUUUCCUUUCAUUUUUCAGACAAAAUGGGGCCUUACCAAUUGCCACAAUGUACCUACAGGAAAAGUUGGCAUUAUAUUUUCGUAGAUGUCGUACUUCAGUUGUGUGUUUUGUUGAAUUUUGUAUUAGGAAGAGAAAAAGAAGAGAGUUCAGGGUGGUAAAGGAGGACUUCUAAGCUGUAGAAAAUUCUCUUACAAGUAUUAAAAACUUUAAAAGUUCAAAAAUUUACAAAAUGUUUGACCUUGUGGGUACACAAUUUCAAGCCUAUUUGGCUAUCCAAAAUUGAAUUUGUCUAUUAGUCAUGCAGGUUAGCAAAUUUGAGGAUCGAAUGUUUAUUUAUUUAUUUAUUUAUAUUCAAUGAAAGCAUUAUGUGUUGACUUUUAAUUGUAGUCUUUGAUCCUUUUCUUUUUUGGUAUUAAGUUAGAUUGUUGGCGAUAUGAAGAUUUUAUCUUUCUGUUACUGUUGUAACUCUGUUUGCUGCUCUUUUAUGCUAUGCGGGUCUUUCUUUUUAAUAGCAUGGGCAUAAACUCUUCACUCACCUGGGCAAUACAUAUUUCUGAGGCAGAUUUCAGAUGUUGAGAGAUCUCAUACCCAAAAAUGAUCAGAAAAGGGAUAAGGCCUCAUUCUUGUUGGAGGUACACAUUCCAUUUGCACUCUGCUUAUGUGUUGAUAAUACUUUACCCUCAUUGUCAUAUUAUUUUGAUAGAACAUGCUCUGUAUCAUAUUCAAAUAUAUUGUAUCUAUAUGCAGGUUAUAGAGUAUAUACAAUUUUUACAGGAGAAGGUAAAUUUGUAUGAGGGAUACCAAGGAUGGAGUCCAGAGCCCACAAAAUUGAUGCCAUGGGUAUACUCUAAUGCUUGAUAUCUGUGUCUGUGUGCGAGAGUGUUGGCUUGGUUAGAUAUGCAUGUGUUAUGGUCUUGGAGUCAUUAUCCUUUAUCACUUUUGUAUGGCAUUGUCAAUUUCAAUAGGUGUUACUUUGACACUUGAAAAAAGUGUAAGUGCUGGGCCUGAGUAUGUGCAUUUUGAAUAUCUGCAUGUGUUAGAGGUACUUCUUAUUGGCAUGCACUAAGAGGCAUGUCCAACUAGAGACAGAAGAACCUUGCCUUUAUACCAAGAAAGUUAGUGUCAGACUUUAUCUUUUGCUAUAUGUUUUUUUGUGUGUAUUUUUCAAAUUAAUAGCUGGAAGGUGCAAUUUAUGCCCUUUAUUUCACCUUAUGGGUGGAAAAAGAAAAUUGGAAACUAUGAAACUCUGUUGUUCCCUUAAAUCAUAGCAUGUAUAUGGUACAUGAACCAACACCAAAUAGACGCCUGCACACAACAGUUGCAACUUGCACCAAAAUCCAGGUAGAGAGGAUUUUUACUGUUACUGAAGAACAAGAUCAUACCUGAGACAACUGCAACCCUAUAUAUUUGUAUGUGGGCGUAUUUAGGAUUUUCGGAGGUUACUUCUGAUAUUAAGAAUUAGUAUGACUCGUAACAGCCCGCCCAGUGGAAACUUACCAACCUACCAUUUAUUUGUUUGCCACAGAAAAAUCAUAAUAGGCCUGGAGAAAAUUUUGUAGAUCAGUCUCAAGUUAUGAACAAUGGUUCUGGUCAUGAGAAUAAUGCAGUUGUCUCUCCAGCAAUGCUCCCCAACACCCAGAACUCAGUGGAAUCUGACUUGGGCUCUGGCGUUGUUUACAAAGCAUUGGAUCACAUACCUGGGUUAGCUACUCGAUCAGUUCCUAAUGUGCAACAACAAAACAUCUUUGACCCAAUUGGGAGUGUUGGACUACCCACACAACCUCUGCAGGAAUCUAUUUCUGAUGCUGAGAACAUGACUUCCAAUCCUCCAUACCAAUUGUGGCAGGGUAUAACAUCUACAACUGCUUCAGACGAUAAACUGAAGAAACAGGAUGAAAAUAGUGGAUCUGGUAGCAUCUCAAGUGCCUACUCUCAAGGGUGAGCUUCCACAAAGAUCUCUUGAUAACUUUAUUGUACCAGAUGCCAAGCUAUUGUUAAACAUGUUUAUUGUGUUGGAAUAAAUUUCCCUGGUUGUAUUCUAUGGCAAUCAUGCUUAUCCUAGGUUGAGAUUUUGAGUUCAAAUUUUGAAAGCGUUACCAGUGGAGACUAGGAAUAGGAAUUUCAUAAUUGCCUGAAAAUAUUGUCAAAAUGUUCAAAUAAGUUUCCAGGAGAAGCCAUAUAUCAAUGAUUAGUACUGAUAAUAUGGACAGUAAGGCAAUAAGUUUCCAGGAGAAGCCAUAUAUCCUUUCAUUCUUCAAAAUUGGCUUUAAGAUGGGUUAGCUUUUAACAUUUAAGCCAUGAUGGCUGUUUCUUUUAUUUAUGUUGUUGUAGGAUAUGUUGGAUCGUGAAAUCUGUAAUGGUAUCACAAACUAUUGUUUUCAAUGCUUACGUAUUCUAUCAAUUUUGUAUUUUGAAGUACUCGAUUUGCAUAAUAUAACAGGACUCUUAUAAUCUACUUCAUUAUGGAGAGAUAUCAUUUUGCUGUUACUGAGUUAGCUUUUGUGCUGAGCAGGGUUUUGAACAAUCUGACACAGGCACUGCAAUCUUCUGGUGUGGAUUUGUCCCAGGCCAGCAUCUCGGUUCAAAUUAAUGUCGGGAGUCGAGUAGACAGUGGACUGACAUCCAUGGCAUCUAGUUCAAAGGUUGGUUUAGAAUCUUCAACCGUUGCGUUAAACCCCAUCCUAAAUGUGACUGCUGCAUCAGCUACUGAUGUGUUUUUUUACUAUUAAAUGUGAAAUCCCGUAGGCAUUUUAGCACAUUGGCGGACAGCAUGUCUCCUAUUUUAGUCUUGCCAUAUGGACUAGUGUACUGGCCUCUGAAUUUUUUUCCCCUUAUUUUUUUAUAUUUGUUCAGGCACAAUUGAACCAAUCCUUGAACAAUCAAAUGACACAGACCCAAGUAAGCAGUUGUGAUGAGGACUUUGAACCGGCUCAUAAGCGGUUCAGAACAGGAGAAAGCUAGAGUAUCUGGGUUCCAGUUUUUCUUAAUUUCCUUGUUUUAUUGAGGGUGAAAGGGGGUUGCUCUUGGGCAGGUCACUUUUUGUUACAAAAUUUCAUGGUCCACAGACAACUAGGUCGAAGUUCAAAUUGUAUAUGGUUUGUGCUCCUUGUGCAUGAAUUUUCCUAGAUAGACGUGUUAGAUAUUCUUUUGUUUGUAGUUUGAAGUUUCAGAUGAAUGAUUCCAUGCAUUGUAACAAGAAGCGGCUCUUAUGUUCUUUUCUGCCUUUUAAUGAAUUUUUUUACAUAUGAAUUUCAUCGCCAUGUUCUCUUUUCUUGCCUCCUCCUUCAAUUAAACCUUAAUUGCUUAUUAAAUGGAUAAUGGAGUUUUGGAAUUAGCAGCAGCUAAUUGUGAUUUAGAAUUUGAGUAAUGUGGCAGGGUAAAAUUGAGAUAGUCUUGUGAUCUGAGAAUAAAAUUUGGUGAAAUUUUCAGCGGCUCUAGCGUUUGCUUGUUGAAAUUCUAUAUGCUUGGGGAAUCUAUUUCCAAUCCCAAUACCCAUAAUUAAAGCUGCAACGUUAUCAAAAUGUGAAUUAAUCGAAGAAUGAAAUAACAUCAAAUGGGACAAAUGGAUGGCUUUUCACCAACUUCCUUCUCCCCAAGUUUAAAUGGACAUUCAUGAGGGACUUUGAGCUUUCAGUCUUUCACCUUUUUGGAAAUGGUUGUGUGCUGCGAAAGCCAAGUUUAAAGUGCAUGAAUGGCAGCACCCAUAUUCAUUGAGUGGAAGUAGAACAACACCAUAAGUGCGUGUCCAUGUAUUGACUAGAUACUCUAGUUUCUCAGUGGACGGUAGCUUCUUGGAUCACACACCAAGUUUUCUUGGAUCACUCAUUAGUAUUAUUGCUAUGCUGCUAUCACCUCUUUCUACUAACUAAUUAACCUACUUCUUUCAUUUUUCUCUUUCUCGCUAUAAACUAAAGGAUUAGGAUCUACCUAAUAAAAAAGUGUCUUGAUUUGUAAAUUAUUGGUUUUAUGUUCGAACCCUCAUGACACACAUGACAUGUUGAUAGUGUGUAUGAGAAAUCCCCCUAUCUUUUGUUGUUUAGACUAUUGCUUGUAAUUAAAAAAAAAAAAAACUAAAGAAUUUUGAGAAGGACAAUAAUCCGGUGACUUUCAACCAUUGAUACAAUGAGACCCACAUUUACAUCAAUGGCCACGGACGAGUGUCCCAAACACUGCUAUGGACUAAAACCACAUGCUAAAAGAACCUUGGGAUGAUGAAUAAGUUAAUACUAUUGUUAUUCUUCUUGAGUAGUAAGUGGGCAAUAAUUUUGGGAUCGUAUCAUUAAGUAUGAUGUGUUCUUUAUUCAACUUUUUGGAAGCAUGGAGCUGGUGGACUAUAAGUUUUAUAAUACGAAUUAUAUUUAAUGGCAAACUAAACAAUGAAGGAGAUACAAGGUUUGGUGCAGAGUCCUAGCUAAUUGAGGACAUGAAAUGAUGGGGAUUAUUUGCCAAACCCCACCAUUUAUAUGUAGGCUGAAACAUCAGCUUUCCAGGUGCAAAGUUGUUGUCAGUUUAAGAGGUCUGGGUUCAAUUUUUAUAAGCAUUUGCGUCAUGAGGCUUGACCUCCACCACUCCAAUAGGGAGUUUAUUAGUUUAGGCAUGCCUAAUUCAUGUGGUGAAAUCUGAUUUAGUACCAAAAAGUAAUUUAAUAUUAUCAGUGGCAUCAUCCAGAUGAUAUGACCACAAUUAGUUUAUCAACACUAGAUUCAUUUACAGAGAGAGAAGCAAGGUGAAUAUCUUGUUGCAAUUACAGAAGUACAUGAGGGAUUUUGAGGUAACCAUCCUAAAAACUCUCGUCAGGAGAAUGCAAGAUAUUCCCUAAUUACAAUGAGCUUAUUUGGUAUUUCACCCCAUAAAAUCUGAUUUAUUAAUGAAAAUUCUAUAAACUCCCAACUGCUUUCUGAAGAGCAUCCAAGCAGAGGCUCCAAGAUCAACCCCAACCCAAUUAUCUGUACAUGACACUAUCCUUUGCUGUAUUAACUUAAGACCACAGCAUAAAGUAGCCCCUAAUUACUGCUUGUAUAAAUUCUCAAUGGCGCAUCGCAUAAGUUAAAAAAGAAAAAAAAAAAACAUGUAUUUAGCAUGCAAGAUCAUGUGCUUCUCAAUGGCUCAUCUAACAGUUGUAAACAUUCAUGCGGAUUUGAGUAGAAAUAAUCUUCUUCCUUUGGUUUAUCUGCAAUAGAAACUCGUUUCUUCGGCCUCCCCAUCCGAUCAGCAUGAGCUUCCUUUACAAUAGAAGAGAACUCAUCCCAGCUCAAUGAUCCACUACUGAAUUGUUCUAUUAAACCAAUCAGAAGUCUUCUGUCCAAUAAAACAGUCUUUUUGAAACCUAAGAAUCUGAAAUAUGAAGAAGCCAAGGAGAAACAUUAUCUCAGAUCAAAAUAAUUCUAAGACCAAGCAAGGGGCAAUUAACAACAAACAUCUUAUCUGGCUAGAACACUAAAUACCAAAAGAAUAUUACCUCCGAUGGCCUUCAACAACUUUAGCCAUAUUUCCAUCGUAUGUAGGAAUAAAUAUAUCACUCUCUAGGGAGACAAGAUAGUCCAAUGCUGCCCUUUGAGAAGAGUGGUUUGGGAAAAGCCUCAAGUCCGAAGGCUCCAGCAGAGUCUCUUUUCUGACCUGUUCCAUAAAGUUCAGGCAAAUUGUAAUGGAAAAGCCCUAUGAUGUAUAAUUGUUGGAACGGUUGCUUCUUCUUCGUUCUACUUACCAAGUUAGGAAAAGCAGAUUUCAAACUUUCCAUCCUUCUGUUUCCACCAUAUAUUUCUCCAGCAGCAAUAUAAAUUUGGACAUUGUGGUCAAUACCAAGUGCAACCAAAACUAGAGCAGUUUCCUCUGGUGUUAGCGGGCACAAACCUUCUAGCCUUUUCAUUUCAGAAUUUAUGUCUUUUAUCUUCCACAAGGGGUUAGCAUAUCUAACAAUGUGUAAGAUCCCAUAAUUAAAAGAGGUUGAUAAGCAAAACAACUAAAGAUGCACAAAAGAACAAAACUAAAAAAGGACCUACCUCAUUCUUGUGAGUUCUUCUUCCUCAUCAUUGUUGCAACCAUGACUACAGCCAGAGAAUGCCAACAUAUCCAUUUCAUAUCUGAGAUGAAGGGCCAGAAAAGGGCCUUUUUCUCUCAAAAUUCUGAGAAGCUUUCUGCCAAUUUCCUCUAUCUGGGAAGUGAAUCUCAGAGCAUGGAAAUUAACUCGGCAGCGCAACUUCUGAACCUCAAGAGGGAGCCCAUUAUUAGCUAACCGAGCAUCGGUUUUAUUCAAAUGUACUACUUUAUACUUCUGCACCAGAGGUAGGAUCUGUUGGCAAACACCUCUAGAAUUAGUGAGAAUGGUCAUAAACCGAAAAAGAAAAAAUGAUGCUCAAAUACUUGUCUUUUGAACCAACCUGAUGAAAGUAGUAGGAAAUGUUGGACCAACUAAUAGGUGGCAACGAGUAUACAGCUCUUUUCCUGACCCUUGGCGGCAGUUCCUUUAAUAUCCGAACCUCAUCUCUCAAGGAUGCAAUGAAAUGAUCAACAUCAAAGAUGUCUUGAAACUCACUGCCACAAUAAGGGGAAAGCUUAGAACCUAGAUGUUCCCCAUUCUCAUUAGGGGCCUUUACAAUGAGAACAUCCUUUCCUUAAAAUUUUAAGGGAAAACUAAUUAACCUACCUUGCCGCCCAAAAAGAGUUUUUAUCCAGCUCUGGAACAAUAAGAGUCACAUUUAAGUAUCUGGCAAUUGCAACCAUAUCACAGAUCUGCAGCAAAGUGAGAAGUGAGAAAAAUAACAUGGUGGUGAAAUAGCAAUAAAACAUCCAUCUAAGAUAAGAAUGUUCAUAAUUGUGAUGAAGGAGCAAGCAACUCACGGCGGCUCGCAUUUGAUUCAGUCCUCCAUUGCAAGAAACCAUGAGAUAACCAUUAUUCUUGUAAACCCCUGAAAUAAAUAAAAGUAGUUCAGAACUAACAAACAACAUUCGAAUUCCGAACUUUUCAUUGAAAGAGAGUAUCUAUAAUGGAAUAAACCAAUUACCAAUGAGCCAAACAAAUUAAAAUCCACAUGAACAAUGGAAAUACAUAAAAGAGGUCAGCAUCUUCAAGAAGAUUAUCAUUCUACAUCAACUGUUUGGAAUGAUAUUAAAGUAUGAUUGUUACUUCGGUUGCCUGAAACAUGAGUUCUCUAAGUAGUAAAUUACACACAAAAGCGAUCAAGGUUUUUAUUAACAAGCUCAAAACUUACUUUUUGGUGGGAGAGCAAUUGGGAUUGGAAGCUUAACCAAUUCAGCAUGCGCAGGCAACUCUAAUUGAGUGCAGGGAGGACAAACCUUGAACAAACUUGGCCCCCUUAACAACCAUACUCCAACCAGCUGAACUGCAGAAGCCCACACCAAAGCUGUAACAAUCGCCCGAAUGAUCAACAACCAUGCGUUCGUCUUCAAUAUCGAACUCUUCAAUUUUUUAACUCUACCCAAGAACUUAAAUCCCAUCUUCCCCUCUGAUCUAUAAUCACACUUCUCAAAGUCCUCUGCUUUGCACAUUGUAAUUUGUAACAGAUCAAAACACCUUCACUAACUACUGACCAUCAGAAAACUGAACUCUUCAAACACCAAACUUAUUGCAAUUCAACACAAUCUUUGAUAGACAAAGGUGAUGGUGAUGCUCCAAUGCUAUCUGUGCACAAGACAAGGUGGUCCUCCAAGAGUUAAUAACAUAGUCGAAACGCCUCGAAAGAAUAAAGGAUUUAAACUUUCUUUAAUUCUGAUGAAGUUGGCACUAAAAUAAUCAAUAGACCAACUCUCAGAUAUUUACUUCGAACCACCCAAAACUUGUCACCUAUGACCCUCCACCAAUACUCAUCAAGACCCAGAAAGCAAAAAUAGAAAAUUUUAACUAAAGCUUCUCCAAAGAUUUCAAAGAAUGCAACUUUACGCUUAAUCUUUCCAAACCCAAUAAUCACUUUGAGUUGCUCUUAAUUUGCCGGUAAGAUUCCGGCCAAUAAUCCGGCGAGAGUCGCCGGAAAACUUGUAGAAUGUGGUUGGAGAAAGCAGAGAAGCACAGAGCGGAUGAGGAAAAUAGCGUAUAGUUUCAAUGAGAAACAGAAACACAAAAAAGUCUGCAAUCAAGGGUCAAGUGACCGCAUUUAUAGCAAGCCGGGCCAAACUAGGAUUUCACACCCUAGAGAAUUAGAACUCUGUUCACCGUCUCCCAUUAUAUUUUGUUUUUAUUUACAUAAUUAAACUUUUAUAAACACUGAUAUCACUAUCGUUUCUGCUUUAAACACCAGAAUACAUACAUACAUGGUAGUAAUGGAUAUAGAUGGACUCAAAUACAACUCACCCCAAGUUUUUUAUAUUUGGUUUUAGAUUAUUGUUUGUUGGGAGGAAGUGGAUUUGCAACCAAAAUCUAAUUACAAAUUUACAAGUCAGCAGACAUGAGAGAUAAUAAAGUGUAGUGGUAUAGAUAGACCACCAUACUUUAUUUAGUAAUUAUUUUCGCAGCAAAGUUGAUGGAUGCACUACACUGCAGUUGUUUUUGCCGUAGAACUAAAGUAAUUGUUUUGUUUUGUUUUUGUCAAAUGUGUUUUGACUCUUAUAAAAAAAAUAAUAAAAGAAAGAAAAAACCGUCAUUCUAGGUAAUCUUCCAUUGUGGUAAAAUGGAGGUACAACUUGAAAGAUUGAUUAUUUUACCUAACUACUAGAACUUUUUCAUUCACAUUGGUCAUUCAAAUGUGUAUAAUGUGUUGAAUAAGAAAACUGAAAUGUAUACCAUAUGAGAUUAUGGAAGCUUAUUCAAUAUACAAUCAUUGUGAGCACGAGUACACAUUUUUAACCAUCCAAAUAUAACUAACCAUGAGGUUGCUAUUUCUUGUAAAAUUUGUGCCAAAAAAGUCAUGCUAGGUUACCAUUUGGAUAGAAGGUACAGCAAAUCUUGAUUUGGGCCUUUUUAUUUGCUCAUGUCGUUGUGGUAAUGUUAUAGGUAGAUAGAAUCUAACAAUUCUUUACAGCUGACUCUGGUGUGAAAUUAAAAAGAAAAAAAGCAGAGUUUGCAUUGCUAUUUUAUUGUUCAGCAUUCCCUCAGUGAUGGGCAACUUGCAACUUUCUUUUAUUGAUUGGCAUGGGCAGAGUCCUACUGAUGUCCUCUCACCACAAGUGGACAUUAUACCAGUACAGCAAUUUACUCUUUUAUAUGAGAUGGAGAGAUCAAUUAUUCUAAAAUGAAUAAAAUACCAACAAAUAAAUUUAAGAAAACAGAGCAUCUGACACUUUUGGCCUUGUCAAAGCAAAGUCAUGCUCUGUUUUUUCUUUUUGUUUGGAGAAAGAUAUGCAGUCUUGGAGUUUGCAAUUGUGACAAAUCUCCCGUGAUUGAUUGUAUCUGUUAUUUGACAGAGCAAUUUGCUUCUUGCAUGAAUAUCACUUGAUUUUGGUCUCUCAAAUAAAAAAAUGCAAUAAAUAACAUUGUGUUCAUUAGAAACAGCGGCAUCUUUUGGCCAAAAGAGAAAUAAUCCUACAACUGUUUUCUUCAUAUUUGCUGUGCUACAACAAACAAAUGAGCGGUGCCCUCAUCUGAGUCUUGGGCAAACAAUAAACUUCACCAUAAAAUCAAGCAUAUAAAGUGUGUUUUUUUUUUUUUCUCCUUUGUGUCCACAUGAUGUAUUAAUAGUCACGGAGUGAAAGCUAUAAUAUUAUAAUUGCUCAUCAUCACAAUGAUUGGGUGAAAUAAUCAGUAGAGCAAUGAUGGGGUUAUUAUUAUAAUAUGAGGGUAGUGGUGGUCUUUUUAGUUCUAUACUUCCAUGAUUCUAUCUUCAUCAAAGAAAGAGAUAAGUAAAUGUGAGCUGAUUUUUCCACUUCUUUUUUCUUCAUUUACACUUUUUUUUACUUUUUAAUACUUUUAAAUUAAUUUUGUUCUUUUUUUUAUCUUUCUUUUUCAUAUUCUAUCCUUAUCCUACAUUAAUUUCUUUUUAUUUUACUUUUAUAUUAUUUCUUUUUCUUUAUACUUAAUUUUCCAACUUGCAUUUCAUUUUCUUUUCUUUAUAUUUUUUAUUUUUCUUUACGUCGUUAAAUGAAUAUGAUAAUAAAUUUUUAUUUAUUUAAGAAAACCCAUAAUGCGUAAUGAAGUUAAUAAAAAGUUGAAUUAAACAUUAGAGAAAAAGAAAAGAAAAGAAGGGCGUAGUAGGGGAGGGGACGAGCUGCACAACGAUUGUAGAAGUGGAAACAACCCAGCAACCCUGUCAAUCUAUAUCCCCAGCCAUUUUCCCCACUGACACCCAAAGGCCCCAACUCUCCAAGCCACACUUACCUCCCCAACUCCAAUCCACCCACCCACGUCUAAUAUAUAUAAUAAAAGCCCUUGUAGCCUUACCACUACACAAUGGUCAUUCCCACUUCUCCACCUUCUGAGUAGCUCCUUUCCUUCUCUACUAUACUACGCCCUUCUUUCCUUUUUCUUUUUAAGUUUUUAUUUUUAUUUUUUCUAAUGAUAUAUGAUUGAAUUUUUAAUGUAUUUUAAAAUUAAUUCCACUUUUUAUUAACUUCAAAAAGCUUUAUAGGUUUUCAAAAUGAAAUAAAAAAAGAUUAUCAUGUUCAUUUAGCGGCAACUUUAAUGGAACAAACCAAAUUGAUUAAUGAUCUUAAACAUAGGGAUUAAAUUGGCCAAAUUAAAAACACAUGGAUUAAAUUAGCCAAAGUGAUAAAACACAUGGACUAUUUUGACAUUAAAGCCAAAGAAAUAAUAUAAAAAUGAAGUAAAAAGAAAUUAAUAUAUGACAAUAAUAAAGUAGGAAAGAGAAAUAACGAAAAAGAAAAAGAGUAAUAAAAAAAUAUUAAAAAGCAAAAGAAUGUAUAAGUGGAAAAAAGAAAAGUGAGAAAAUCGACUCCAAAUAAAACUGUAAAAGGGCAGCUCAGUACAUUAAUUACCACAAUGUUUAUGUCAUUCAUAGAGAAUUUAGCAUAUGCUCAAAAUCCACUGAUGUCAAGUACUAAGAUGGCCUUCAUUAUUUUGGUGCAUUAUUUGUGCACUGAGAGAGUGGAAUUACUAUGUGUGUUUAUGGACAUGAGUUUCUACUCUCCAAUGAUGAGUGAUAGUCAGAUGGUCCAGGCAAAUUGACUUAGGAUCUGGUUGUUGAUCAGUAAAUGAUCUUUGCAGGGCCUCUCAGCUGCCAAAUAAAAUGGGCCUCAUAGUUUCUUUUGCAUUAAUUCUUACAGCUAUCAUCUUCACUAUGAUAAAUGUUUCUUUGGGCGAAUGGAGGUUAGACCAGUUAGUCAAACGAAGGCAGUAUGCCUGUCCUAUUAUAUUUGAAUUCGAACAAUCUUUUUCGCACAUUGGAGUAGUUUAGAAUUAUUGCUCUUGUCAAAAGAUAAAUAUUUAUUUAGAGUAAUUAUAAUUUGUAAUAAGUGAGGGGACAGGACCAAUUUGGUAUGGGCUUUGAUUUUUUUGGGCUUACUCAAAGUUAGGUCAGAAACAUAAAGCCCAAAUUCUAAGGCCUAAUCCAAAUUUUAAAUCUGAAAUUCAAAGUAGUUAAAUUUCAUGAGUCAUGGGAUUGUGGCCCAAUUUCUUUCUUCCCAAAUUAGGGUUUAGCAAGCUACUUUUUUCCUCAUCCUAGGGUUUUAGCACCUCUCUCUCUCUCUCUCUCUCUCUCUCUCUCUCUCUCUGCGCGGAAACAUGAGGAAGCUGAAGUUUCACGAGAAGAAGCUGUUGAAGAAAGUGAACUUCUUGGAUUGGAAGAGAGAAGGAGGUCACAGAGAAGCCCAGGUUCUGCAACGUUACCAUGUCACCGGUCGUGACGAUUAUAAAAAGUAUAUAAUAUUUGUAUAUUUUUUUUAAUUUAAUGUCAUUUUUAUGGUGUCAUUGGUCGCUCAAUCUUAGUUUUGUUUUUCCCGAUUGAAAAUUGGAAAAUAGAUAUUCGGGUUUAUGCCGGAUGGUGCAGAAGCUGGUGAACAUAUUGAAGCAGAUGAACCCAAACGACCCUUUUCGGAUUGAAAUGACCGAUAUGCUAUUGGAAAAGCUGUGAGUUAUUUGUUUAUUUACGUGCUACAGAAAUUGUUCUGUUAGGGAGUAUACUGCAAAUUUUGUUUUUGUUUUUUGAUGCUGAAUAAACUUGAAUUGGUAUGUUCACUUAGAAGUAUUAACCUUUCAAAGCUGCAUAGUAAAAACCCAUAACAAGUUAUCAGCUUUUUGUUAAUUAGCUCUAAAAGUAUUUUUCUGCUGGACAUUAUGUGUUAUGUGUAGGUGAUAGUAGUGUUGAUAUCGAAAAUGAGAAAUUUGAAGCAGUCAAAUGUAUUUCAUUGCUGUUUGAUAUGAAGAGAGAAGUCUUUGGGAUUAUUCUCUUGUGUAAUUUGUUGUGGAACUGAAACCAAAAGUGGUUCUAGUUGCAGAUGGCUUGACUUUUGCAUGAUCCAGAUUCAAUAGAUUUAUCUUUGUUUAGAUGCAUGGUACAAGAAUACUGCAGCGCCAAUGGUAGAUCUAGUAUCAUCUGUGGUUUUUAAAGUGUGAUUCAUAGUUAAAGGGUUUACGUUGAUGACAGGUACAAUAUCGGUGUGAUACCAUCCAGACAAAGCUUGGCAUUGUGUGAUCAUUUAUCCGUGUCAUCCUUUUGCAGGUAAUUUUCAAUUACUCCAUUACAGGACUUGCUUGUCAUACCUUGACGGGAAAAUGUGAGAGUGAAUUCUUAUAAACUAUUGACAAAAAGUUUGCAACAAAUUAAAAGGUGUCCUCUUUGCAAUUGCUAUUGGCACUACCUGGAGGGUAAUACUAAUUUGUUUGAGUAUAGUAUGAAAAUCCUUACAUCUUUCUUGUGAGUCAUGAUGGCUUACCACACACAAGGAGGAACAAGAACUCUCUUCCAAAUUUUUGCAUGCACCGCUCUUGUUACUUUACUGACGAUGUCUAUGUUUAUAGACGUAGGCUUUCAACUGUGGUGGUCCGAUUGAAGUUUGCUGAGCACCUGAAGGAGGCUGUCACAUACAUUGAGCAAGGGCACCUCCGAGUUGGUCCAGAGACUGUUACUGACCCAGCAUUCCUAGUGACAAGGAAUAUGGAAGACUUCGUUACAUGGGUGGAUUCAUCAAAGAUUAGGAGAAAGGUUCUGGAGUACAAUGACAAGUUGGACGAUUAUGAUGCAAUGAACUGAAAUUAAAAGGCUUGUGUGCUAAUUUUAAGGUUCCUUUGUCCCCUUCUGAAGAGAAGCGAAUUCUUAUCUUGCAUUGUAUAUCAUGUAUCGAACACCUCACAGAGUUUGCUGUUGAGCGCCAAAUGUGGCAUUUUUGUGGCUGAAUACUAUCAACGUUUUUUUAUCUUCAUGUUGAAAUGUAUUUUUUUUUUAAAUUUCCGUAUGAAAACUGUUUUUUAUUGUACAUGUAAAAUCCUUGAUGCUUUUUUUAUUACAAUGCGCUCCUAUCAUGAAGAUGCAAAAAGGCAGAAGUAGUUACUCAUAUAUUGUUUCUCGACAUGGAAGAUCCCAGCCACUGCUGGUGCUUGAUCAUAAGAAUUGCAGCCGUAUCAAUGUCAACAGGUAGGCCAAGUAUUACGUAUUAUUAAAAAUAUGUAUUUUAUAUAUUUAUUUGAACUAUAGAAAAAUUUGUGGGUUUCAGAUCAGCAAGCAACUUCUGACAUGGAACUCCCAAUUCAGGCAUGAUAAGAGGACGAAACUCGCAAUUCAGGCAUGAUAAGAGGACGAACAAGAACUAUAAUUGGAAAAUAACACAUUUUUGGGAGAAAAACAUUUCUAUACCAGGGAGUCAUAUGUAUUGAACAAACUCAGAAUAGAGAGUUGCGGAGUUUGAACCCCUUCAUACGUAUGGGGUAUGGGGUUAUGUAAUUCACAAGCAUCACUAUUUUUACAAAAAAAUUAAACCCCGUAGCCAAAUACAGCAAGCAACACAUACAACGCCCCUAGGUCUAACAAAAAAUCCUCAGCCUCUCCCUGCAUUGAUUGCAGCGCGCACAAAGUCCUCGCAGUUCGUAAUGCCGCCAGAAAGCACAUCAGCUAAUACACCAAUUAUAUCGAAUGCCUCCUGCAAAUCACUGGAAGAACUCAUCUCAUCGAGCCACGACAGCAACUCCUUAGAGAAAUCCACCAUCUCCUUUACAUUCAAAAGUCGCUCUUUCAUCACUACCUCCCAACCUUCCAAGCUUCCACUGUCAUCUUCCCCUUCUGAUGCAGUAGAAGUACCUUCUGUUCUGGUCAAUGACAGAUUUGCUGAUUUUUGUACCUUGAAGAAACGUUGCAGCUGUUCAAUUAAGCCAGUGUAGACGAGCAUUGGUCUAAUGACGGACAAAAGCUCAUCAGCACCCCCAAUUUCUGCACUUGGACUUUGGCUUGUAUUUCCCGACUCUAUCUUGACUAUAGGUGAUGAACUGGAUGAUGUGCGACCUGCUGAACGGCCAUGCGUGUGCUGCAUGUAGGCAUGGUAUAUUCCACGCUGCAAGAAGGCUCGGCGGUGUUGCACCCAGGAUUCAUGAGAUUCCGAGAGAAGUGAAUUCACCAUCAUAAAUUGGACAGUUUCUUCAGAUCCCAGAGACGGUUGUUUUUCAGGAGUAGAAGGUCUGGAAUCUAAGCUAGAAGAUGUCAAAUAUGUUGACACAGACUUGGCCAUUGUAUGACGCUGAGAUGGGCUUCCCUGAUCAAGAAGGUGACGCGCCAUUUGGAUCAUGAAAGGAAGAAAUCUGGAGUUGCUUUCCCUUCCACCACCUCUGCUUUCUGCACUAAAUGAUGCCCCAGUCGCAAAUCGAGCUAGCAUCUAUAUAACAAAGGUUCAUAGAUGUUAGGGUCAGAUUUAUGAUGCCCAAUCAAUCCAUAGUAGAAAGACAUGGAUGCGGUCACCUCAAGGAACUCAUUCAUACUCACGGUACUUGAAGCAUCACCACAAGUUAAUCAGUUCAUGUAAGAUAGUAAAUGAAAUUGCUCUUGUGAUAUCAUUAUCCUAUCCUAAAUUUAUAUUAUUCCUAACAUGCAAAAGGUUUAAUCAAGGAAACCAUCAGUAUACAUUAAUCAUUUUGUUAAUGCAAUCUUCUAAACAUAGAGAAAAUGCAAUGCACAAGGGAAGAACAAGACCAUCACAACAAAAAGGCAAAAUAACAAAAGAGAAGAAAAUGAAAGAAAGUGUUAUACCAGAACAAUGUCAUAUGUUAACAGCCGAAGACGACUUGCAUCAGCACGUCCUAGAGCAUUGAGGUUGUCCCAGUACUGGUCAACAUAGCGAAUAUACUGUGCUAAUGGAACAGAUGGACCUCUCACAGGGAACAAAGAAUUGCAAAGAGAUUCAUUGUUUCUGAGAGUUGCUCCUUCCCACUCUUUCUUUGGAUUUUUCAGAGCUGCGUCUGCUCUCUUCGCUUCCUGGUGGCACUGGAAAUGAAUAAUGUUGAAAUAACUAACAGUUGUAUAAACACACUCCCCACGAGCACUACCAGAAGGCCCUGCACCUAAAUUCACUCGUUUGCUAUAAGAGUAAACACCAAGCAAGUCAGUAGGCCUUAAACUGUAACCCUCUCGGCAAACCAUGCAUGCUAACCCAUCCUCCUCCUCCUCCUCCACAUCUUCUAAACCUUCAAGCAGUGGUCGAGCAACAAUAAUACGCUCACCACCAUCUGAAGCUAGCUCCUGUCGCAUUCCAAGCCCCUGAGUUUAUGAAGAAAGAGGUAACUAUCAGCUUACAGAUAAUAUUAAUGCUAACAGGGAGGUCAAAUAAGAAAAGAAAUGCAAACACGACUAAAUACUAUCCUAAUUCUAACAAAAUAAUCUUCAAACUAACCUUCUACCAUCUCUUACAACGUAUUAUAGCUUCCACUCACUGACUAUAAAGAAGAUUACACUCAAGUUUUAAGUUACGAAUAACAGGGCAGGAUACCCCAUUUCCCAACAUUGCAACGAAACUUUUUGAUGUAUAUUUAACUUAAGAAUUACUGUAAGCAACUAAACUAAUCGAUCUACUAAAACCUUUGAUUCAGUGGCACCUGCUUUCCUUUAAUUUAAAGAUAAGCUGGGUAAAAAAACCAAAGUCAAUGGUAAUUACCAGAAGUAAUUCCUCUCUCUUCCUUAAAGCUCUACGUCUCAUUUCAUCCCUGGUGGCAUGUCUCAACAUCAGCACCUUCUCCUCCAAAAAUCCAUCUCCUUUUCCCUCCUUAUUUGAAAGCGUGUCCAACAAGUUUUCAGCCCUCGCUCCUAUCUCAUUUUCCCCUGAGACCCCUUCUAAAGCAUGAAGCAAAGGUAAUAUCCCUCCCUGAUCAAUACACUUCUGAGUGGCCAAAUGUCCUGUUGACAAGCCCCUCAGCAUAGACAAUAUCAGUGGAACAGAUGGCAAUUUUAAGCCUAUUGCCCAUUCUGUAGUUGAUUUAAAACCAGCCUUCCCCGCUACUGAAAAACUAUCCCUCAGAUGUCCAACUGCAACACCAGUAAUACCCCUCUCAAGAAUAAUGUCUUUCAAUCUCUCUCCACAGGAGCUUGUUUUGAGAGACUCAGAGACCCUUACAAAAUUUUCUAGUGUGAAUCUUUGUUUUGCAGCUUGCUGGGCAAUGUUCUCAUCUUUUGGGUUAUCUUCAUGUUCUUUCUGCAGCCGAUCAUAUUCUCUCCAGUCUUGCAAGGGUGGGCUGAAGUGCAGGAUAAGAGCUUCCAUUGCAGCAGGUUCACCAUAUGUUAAGUAGGGCAAGAUUCUCGCAACCAUCUCAGUGUUCCUCUGCUGUUUGUUUGAUUUCUUAAGGCCCAAAGGAUGAGACAAUCUCUCCAGAAACAUGAGGACUAUUUUCUUGGCCUGUUCACCUGUCUCUUCACUAGUGACAGUAAGAGCACUCUGUGUGAUGUUAAUGUUGUCACUUUCAUUAGCUUCCAGUGUCAGACUCUCAACAAUCAGAAGUAUGCCUUCAGCCGGUUCCAUGGCAUCCACAGAAAAGGCAUGUCUUGCAGUUUCAAGAAGUAAACCUAAAGCUCCUAACCUCAGCAAGGCCCGCCUGUUCUCUCUUAUUUUGCAACAAUGCAUGAGGAGAUUUAGAACAGCUACCAAUUGCUCUUGGUUGGACUUGAAAUCAUCCCGCAAACGCUGUACAUUCAUAUUAUAAGUCAGAUAUUUCAACAAUAAGUGGCAAAAGGUUUCCCUUACAAAAACAAAGGAAUGAAAAACAAAAUAAAAGAAAGACGUGUAAAUCCUGGACAUGGAAAUCUAACUAAAGGAGUAUAACUAUACCCACAGAACAACUGAACAUCCAGACGGCCCUUUUCUUUAAAUAAUAAAAAAAUUGAGGAUGUGAGUAAUCUGACAACUGUAAGAUUUAGAAUCCAUAACCCCCAAUCCAAAAAGAAAAAGUAAAGAUUAGUAACGCAAAUGUCAGUGAUGGUUUAUAAAAGCUGUUUCCCAAGAAAUAAAUUUUUCAAUCCACAUGCUUAGGAGUUCAAUGUGUAUCUUACACAGUUAUGUUUUACUGCAACAUAAAUGGAAUACAUUUGACUUGAAAAAAUAAAAAGGAACUCUUCAAAAUCUGGGAAGGACAAUAAAUGCAAGAUGCAACACACCUGGAUCAUGCUCAAUAUAAUUUCCAGCCCAUCAUACUCACGAACAGCACCUGCAAUAGCAAACUCGACCUCUGGAUCUUGUGACUCCUCUCUAUCUUCUUCCAAUUCUUUUAUCAUAGGCUCAGUUGCUUCACCAUCUAAUCCCUGGCAAUUGUAGCCAAAAAGAUACAUCAAAAGACAUCAAGGUAGGAGAAAACAAAGUCAGUAGAAAAAACGUCACACUACAGAUACACCAUAGAUCCGUUAGGAAUGAAGGAUGUAAGGUUGCAUCUGGAAGAACAAAUUUAAAUAAGGGAUUUGAAUGUAAAAACCAAGAUUAAGUUGGCUGAAAUAUUAUGGAGAGUACCUAUCUUUAGAUGUUAGCUAAAGUCAUGGAUUAAUUCAAGACUUUAACUAGAAAAUGAAUUUGUAGGUGAAUUAUAUCAUCUCAAAUUUAUGCUUUAAAUGAUUUGACAGUGCAAGAACUUCUUUAGUUUUGUAUAGAAUUUUAUAUGUCACUGUUAGAAUUUGGUUUCUGCAAUCUGAUUGUAAGUUUAGGACCAAACUCCUAUAUAUCAAAGAUUGACAAAUGAGUGGAGCAAAAAGGUGUUUCCUUCGUCAUUUAGAAGCAUACAGUAAUCAGUGAACACACUUUUAUUUGGUAAGUAAUUAGAUAAGAAAAUAUGUAACAAACCUGAAGCCGAUACGUCACUGUCAUAGGUGGAGAGUCUCUAGCUGAUGGAACAGCAUUAGGGGAUAACAAUGUAGUAUUAGCCAUGGCGUUUGAAGAUUGAUUUGACUUCUUCCAGACUUGCUCAUAGACUUGAGCUAUGCUCAAAUCAAGAGAAAUAAUGUUUCCAGCAACUAGCAAUUCCAUCCCAUAGUCAUCUUCAAGAAGACCUAAUAGAUCCAACUGAUGGCAGAUUUUAUUCUUGACAUCCCGCAUCAGAGGACCAAUCUCAGAACUAGAAUAGGGAUUCUUUGUCAUAGACCCCCUAAUGAACUCUUCUUGCGUAUGUGCCUUGUUUAGAACCAGCAGAUACACCGGCUCUGGCUUUGAAGGGCAGAUGAGAUUGCAGAGCUGCUCCAGUAUAAACUGUACAUAUAAUUGAAAAUGAGUGCUGACACAUAGGUUGGUGAAAACAAAACUGAAUCCCAUGCUUACAAAUAAAAUAAAAGACAAAACAAGAUAAAUGUUAAAACACACAUGCAAAAAUGAGAAUGGGGAAAACUUGUAGAAGAAACUAUGCAGAACCCAAGAAGUAUGUGACUUUUAUCAAUAUAGAAGGAAAAAAAAAAAAACUAAUAUGAACUGGAUAAUUAAGACACUACAUUAGUACUUUCAUGGGUUAUAAAACGAUCUAAAAUCAUCAUUUGGAAAAUAGUACAUAAUGCACAACAAUAAAUUCGUCCAUACCAGGCAAGUUCGGCCCUUUCUCUCCUCUCCAUGGUUUUGCAAACCACAGAUACAGGCUCGAAUGAACUGCCGUUUAUUUUCACUGCUUUCAAGCAAAAGGCUAUCUAAAAGGUCUUUUAGAAGCCGAUUGCAAUCACUAAUUAACUUCGUCUUCUGCACUACCAAGCCACGAAUAACAAUAAGAGCCUCAAGAAUCUCCGACAGCAAAUUGUUUCGCAUGAAUCUGACAUCAAGAUGAAUUAAGUAAGAUAUCAAGAAUGAAAUCAGUUAAGCAAAAAAUUAGAAAAUAGUAAAGAAAUCAAUCGUACCUGGAUCUAAUAUUUGGAACCUCCAAAAAUUUACCAAGCAACUCUAUAAGCUUGUGGAGUAUAAAUCCCUGUGAAAUGUCAAUAUGCAUGCUCCUUUCUAGGGACUCGACAUUGCCCACUUCUUGAGUAAUUAGUUUACAAAUUGUGCCCAGGCAUCCACGCACAGUCAAAAACAGACGGGCAUCUUCUGAAUCUAUCAUCUUGAACAGUGACUCAAAAUAUUCCGCAGCACUUUCACCAGCAGAAAGAGUUGCUGGUAACAAGGACACUAGUAAGUUCAAUAACCGAAAUCGUCUUGAUGUACUUUGGGCACAGAGCAGACUUAUCAACAUGCACAUCUCCGACCUUAUAGAUUGAGAACAAGCACUAAGAACAAGUUCAGUAACCCAUGACCCCAGCUCAAAUGCUGAUAAGUCAUUCUUUGCUGUCUUACUAGUACGCCGCUUCCACCUGAGUGCAUAUUUAAGAGCAAGGAAAUCUUGUCUUUGAGGUCGAGGCCUCUGGCUACCACCUUUAGUUGACUGGGACACUUUGUAUUGCCUUCUAACAAAAUCAAGAUAUGAUGCCCCCUUCUCCCACUCAGCAUAGCUUAAUAAUUGAAUAUCCUGAGUCUUUUGUGAUGCAUCCCAGUUUUUAUCUAAUGAUUCUGGAGUAGGCUUGCCCCCACUGCCAAGUCCACCCAAAGAUCCAGAUAUAGAAUUACUUUCAUCCUUGAUCUGCGAACCAGUAGUAGCUUUUCCCAUGCUAGGCUCUUUAUCUGGUACAUCAGGUUUUGGAGGAGUACAUGCCUGAGAUAUAAUCCUCAGACAAGGAAGAAUAACGUGCUCAGAAAUGGCAGGAUGCUUAGCACCCAAUUUGAUAGAAGAAAAUAACAGCUGGAAAACAACACGCAAUCUCGAUUCCCAAAACUCAUCAGCAAGCGAACAUACUUCUGACAGCAAUGAUAACUCUUCACGGGUGGCCAGAGCAAUGUCCAUGGAGCGAUGAUGUUCAAGGCAGUACAUCACCUUUUUCUGUAUUAAGCUAUUCAACUCGGUCACUGCAUUUAUAUCACCCUCAGAAAAUGCACAAAGAACUGUUCUAGCUUGCACACGAGCCGUUUUAGGACCUUGAUGAAUGUUAUUUUCAAAUAGUUCUGUUAAGAUGCUAGCAGCAACAAGUUGUCUCUUGGAACUUGGAUGCUUUGACAGCACCUGUAAUACCUCUAGACACUGUGUCACAAACGUAGUAGCACAGCCGUAGCAAUUAUUUGGAGACCUGGAAACCACAAAUCUUGAAGCAGCAACUCCACUAUCUGCACGUUUCUGGUGCAAAUAAUUCAUCAAAACCCGGCGUAAUCCUUGCAGUGUCUGAACACUUUUGCUGACAGAAUCAAAAGCUGCUUUGCACUUCUCACCGUAUAGGACACCAAGAAGAGCUAUUUUUCGGUUAAUCUUACAUGCAGGCCCAGGUAAGGAGACCAUCAUUUGCUGAACAGAAUCCUUCUGUUGCGAAUCUAUUUCAUUCUCGCCAACACUUGAAACAAUCUUGAGGAGGGGCUUCUUGAAUCCUAAAAGUUGCUGAUAUCUCCUAUGAGCAUUUUCUGAUUCAGUUUCUAUAGCAGCCAACCCUCUCUUCAUAUCUUCAUCAUUUUCCAUGUCAUCAAAAGUAAAACUUGGCUUCGCCAUGAAAUUGAACUCAAAUCUACCAUAUUUACUAUAGCCACACUCGUUGCAGAGAAAGGAAUCCAGAUUUUCAUAAUUAAUGUUGCGGCAUUGCCUGCAUUGAUAUGCAUUCUCGUGGCAAUUGCCGCAUAUACCAUGCUUAUCAGUGACCGGUCGACUGCAACGUGGGCAUUGCAAUGGUUCAAGAGACAAAGCCUGAAGAUUUUCAUAAAAGGAAUCCAGCUCAAUCAUGAAGUUACAAGCUGUUAUUGGAAUGGGAAACUCCACUUUAAGUUCAGUCUGAUUGAAAGCAAGAUGACAACUCUUGGCCCGUUUCCACAGAGACCAAUUAUUCUUCAAUUCUGACAAGUCAGCCACAGGUCGAUUAUUGUAAUACAGGUUCAAAACUUUCACUGAUUUAGACUUCCGUGCAUCAUGAACAUUCAUGGUCACAGUCUGGAUGGUGUAACUCCCAGUACAUUUCACUAUGAUGCGGUUGUCAGUGAAUUUUGUUUCAGAUUUCAGACUUUCUAGCUUCAUCCUGCUGUAUGGUACCUCAGGAGAGCUGCAGGCAACACAAGGCUCACUCUCAAGAUAGUACCCAUCAAAUUCAACUAAUCCACUUAAAGUGUUGUAUAUGCGGGAAUUUGGAUGAUUUGCUAAAAGCUCAUUUUGUGAAUGAAGUGUUUCAAAGAGGCAUCUGAUUACAUCUGGGGUUAAGCAUCGAUCCACAAGUUCACUGCUCUGUUGCUUUGAGCUGAUAUCUGGAACUUUACCCAGCAACCAUGUGACAAGUUCAGUAUACUCAACAAUAUUUUGACCAUACAUUGGUAGACAUUUUACUUUCUGCAAGAGAGCCAUCAUCAUAGUUUCCUUGAAUGAUUGCUUAGCAUGAUGCCAAACACCAAAAAGAACACACUUGGCCUCUGCACGCACAGAGCUAGAAUUCCAUUCCAGCAAAAAGCAAUCAAUGAAUUGCUUCAAGACAUCUCCACCCUUGUCACUGAAGAUAUCUAUCACCGACUCCAUAUCCAAAUAGGACUUGUCCGAACCAGAUUCUGUUCCUUCUUCACCUUUCUUCUUCUUUUUGGGAUCCUGAGAUUGUGACCCUGAUUUGUUUGAAUUAAUACCUGAAUCCACAGCUUCAUUUUUCUGUAAUGAAUUACCAAUAUCCUUUCCUGCGUAGAAGGAAAGAUUCAACAGCUUCAAAAUCUGAAUAACUGACUCUUCUCCAAGAUAGAACACUCCGUUUAUCAAGAAUGGCAAAAAAUCUGAAUGCCUCAAACAGUACUUCUGCCAGUUCCGAGGUCGUGCCGCAGCUACUUCAGCCAUAGUAGAGAGACAUUUAACUAUCUUAACACUUCUCUCAUAUGACAAAGGAUUUUGAAACCCACCGGAUUUGUUCACAUGUUUGAAAAGUUUUUUCAUCUCACUUGAAAACUGCCAAGAGUCUCGCACACUAUAAUAAUGAGUUUUGCUUCCAGAGAGAUGGAGGAAAAGCCGCCUUGCAUAUCUUCUCACAAAAGUCGUGUGAGGAUUGUUAAUGUAACUGCACAGGACAUCCUGAUAUCCAUCUAGCUUCAGAUCCUUGCCAGAGGAGAUCUUUGACACCUUCUCUUUCUCUCCAGUCUUGUCUUGCUUUUCAGGUCUGACCAAAGUGUAUACCAGCCGAAAGGUAUUCUCCAACAACAACCUAUGGUAGUCCAUAAAAAUAUCUGUACGGUGGGCUUUUGCAUAUGAGUCUGAAAAGAAAGGAGAAAAAUUACCAGCCACAACAUCCCUUCGAACUGUUAACAGAGCUCCACAGCCAGAACCAGGUCCUGCAUUUUCAUAAUUAACAGAAGGGGACUUAAAAACAUGCAUUAGCUGCUGCAAUAUGUCCAUUAAGUAAUUGACAACAGACUGCUGCCUAAGGGAAUUGCAAGCUCGAAGCAGCUGGGAUGCAAAGUCAUUUUUCUCUUGAUCAUCCAAGGAAGAUGAAGCAGCAACUGAGGUGGAUGGCGAGAUCUGGAUGAUGGUUUUAUCAUGUGUUUCUGCUGUCCCACUAGGUUUUGGCAUGGAACUGUCACUGCCCGGCUGGUGCCAGUUUCGUAGCAUCAGGGUAAAGAACAUGAAUAUAAGUAUUGCAACUUCCCCAAAUGAACCGCGAGCUUUCGCAACCAAGGGUUGGUUAAGAUUAAGCUCAUCCAGAAACCACCGAAUUAAUUUCUCUAAAUCUAAGCUUUCAGGCUUUGAGAUGUCUAUAAACGGUCCACCAACAGCAGAAGAUAAUCUGUAGAAGAGCUGCAUAAUAGGAAUCGCCCGGACCCCUGAUGUUGACUGCAUCCAUCCCUUUAAUUGUUCAAGAAGCUCCGAGAGAAUCAAGGAAUUCAAAGCUCGUUUCGAAGCAGAAAUUGAAACCGGGUCAUUCACUGAAGCAGAAAACUCCCCAGACUCAUUGGGCUCAAGGACAUGAAUUGAUGGAGCAGAAUUCUGGGUCCUCGAAUCUGCAGUUACUGGCAAUAUGCUUGAAUCACUUACAUCAUCUGGUGUGAAGUGGAACUCAUUGCCAUCUCCCCCUAGUGAUUCCACUUCAAUGGGUAUUGCUGUCAUAGGAUGAUCUCUAGAGUGAGGUGGAGGGAGACGGUCUGCAUCCAAAACUUCAUAGCAUGCCUCACACAGAUCAAAAUCAGGACAAACAGUACAAUGCCAUCGCCGUCUAAGUAUAGGAACAGUGGUGCAACCAUCACAACAGUAUUGAACAGAUGAAGUGAUGGAAUCUUCUUCAAUCAUUACUUGGGCAUUUCUGCCAGUAGUGUCAGCAUGCACAGGGGCAGAUACUGCAUUUUCUGCAGCAUCAUCUGUGGCCAACAUAGUUUGCUUGGGAAAUGGAACCUGAAGCAACCUUGAUGAUAUAGCCAAGCUGGAAAGAAAAUGGUAGUACACGUGACUAACUGAAAAAAACUAAAAAACAAGUUGAACUCACCAUGAUGUAAUAAUAACAAUUACCUGGUUGAGGUCUGAACAGCCUCAUUGGGCGAAAAGAGAAGCUUUUUAAAUAAUACAACAGCAGGUCCAACAGAGUGUACCCCUGUAUCCUUUCCAUGCAAAGCCAGGCAUUCAGCAUAACAAUAAAUGAGUUCUACAGAAGAUAUGACAAUGUUGUUCAUUGUUUGUGUGUCAAGCUGCUCUAAGUCCAAAAUUCCCCACAGAACUUGAAUAAGCCCAUCCACAACUUCAGAACCUGCAUCAGGGAUGGGAAGAAAGAUCCUUUAAUUUAAAAUGAAGGACGCAGGAUGAGUGGAGCAAGCAACCCAAGAUAACAAAAUGGUUAAAGAAAAAUAAAAAAGGCAGUAAAUGAUCUGAAGAAAAGAAAAAACCAUUAUGUAUGUAUAAACUUGCAACACCACUUAAAGAAUUGUAUCUCUUCUUCCAGUAAGCACUUAAGGACACUUAAAGAAGAGUAAAGAAUUGUAUCUCUUCUUCCAGUAAGCACUUAAGGACACUUAAAGAAUUGUAUCUCUUCUUCCAGUAAGCACUUAAGGAGGUCAAGCUGUACAAGUUAACAAAAUGGCAGCAAUAUGGAUAAAAUCAUAAUACUUUAUAAAAGAUCAUCUCCUUUUUCCCCUUUUAAAUAACUACUUCAAAGACAACAACAAUCAACCCAUGUCUGUACAAAAAUUAACAAAGCUCAAGCCAUAGUAACAUUCCAACAAAACCCAGUCAGGCGUAGGAAAAAAUCAAAAUAUUAUUAACAUGGAAAAGAACUGCUGUUUUAGAAUGUCAGAAAAGUACCUCAUAAUACAGUGUAAAACCGAUAUAGGUAGGCAUUACAAUAGCACAUCAAAUAAGGUGAUUCAACUCUUUAUAUGAUGCAUGCAAAAGAAGAAACUACAAAUGAAAUAAUGCAAACUGUACUUGAUCAAAUCUUAUGGGAAGUAAUGUAUCAUAAAAUUUCAUACAAAUAACUAAAAGGAAAAACAAUAAUCUGUAUAUAAAUUGGAUAUUCAUACAUUAUAACUAGGCUGCAAGAAGAACAAAAAAUAAACUGUACCACCAAUGCCAUGAUAUGGCAUGAAUAAGCUACAGCUACUUAUCACCAAUCUCAAAGAAAUCAGUGAACAGGUAAGACACAUUUUAAGUUGAUAAGUUAAUAUACAGCAAGGAAAAGAACCUCAGCAUUAUCAAAGCUCGCUAAGUUGAGGAAUUUAGGCAGCGAGAUUCACUCAGUUUCUAUUCCCGUAAUAGGUUGAGGUACCAUCUACGACACAUACUUUUAUGAUGUGGUUACUACUUAAGGAACAUAUACUACAUCCACCACAAGAGAAUGUGAAGUCUUAAACAUGUAAACAACUUGGGGCAUCAGAGAAUGUGUGAAAUACCAUUUUUCUCUAAGAAUGUAGCCAGAUUUGAGCGACGGUGCAAUGCAAUCUUAGAUACUGCCCGCAUCUGGGCUGUAAACUCUUCAACUAUCCAUGCCCCUGCAGUACCACCAACCCCAAGCCUUGAAGAGAGUACAGAGGUCGACUUCACCACCCCAAGAAGCCGCAUGGUGUCCUUAACCUGAAGGAGAAGAUGUCAAUUACUGAUUAAACAACACAUUUCUUCAUUUACUAAUGCACAAAUAAGGACGAUCAUGCAUUGCAAGAAAAAAUGUUAAUGUAUCAUAUGGAUCAAAAGUGGGUAAUUACAUGAUAGUAGGUAUCUUUUUUGGGGAACACAGCCUGCAAGACAUGGCAAGCAGCAGCCUGCAACAAGGGCUCUCGGUCACUCUCAAAUAUUUUUUCUAAUAACUGCUUGCACCUCAGUUUCAUUAGCUCCGGAUUAACUUCCUCAGCUUUGGAGCAACCCUGAGACCUGCUCAAUGAAUAAAUGCUGGAUAGAAGCUUAAGACCAUCUGCUAUGACCUGCUCCUGUAUAGGAGCAGACUGCAUUGAUCGGCGUUUUUUCCCAGAUCCUGAAAGCAAGGAAUUACAACCAAGCACACGAGCUUCCAUAUCAAGUACAGCAUCCAUCUUUUCUUUCCAACCAAAUUCAUCUUUGGCUCUACCAUAUACUUCAAGGCAGUCAAUUCUAGGCAGAGCAGAUCCAUUGAAGGUUGGUCCAACAGAGAUUGUAAAUUCUUCAUCAGCAAGGAGCGACUCAGCAACUGUAAAUGGUAUAUCAUACCAAGACCGCAUGCCUUCAUCUAAUUUAAUGACCCGGUGGAAAAUAGUAAUGUCUGAAGGUAUAUGGUUUGCCGAUGUAUUACCAACAUGCACGCGAAACCCAACCAUGAUGAUAUCAGGGUUUGAAUUGAAGACAGAUAUCUGAGGCAGAAAAAGAAACAAUGUUAGAACCAUUGUAUUUUAAGUUAAACAUGAAAGCAAGUUCAUUAGAAUAGAUACAACCGAAAACAGAGUGGAUUUGGAACAAGCGGAAGAAAGGAGAUGAAACCAGAAACAAGAAAGGAGAUGAAUACCAGAAACUAGACUAAGCAUGCCAUGUAAGAAAGGAGAAAGGAGAUGAACACCAGAAAAUAGACUAAAUGCCAUGUACGCCAGGUCACUAGACCCUUUUGCAACAAUUACCUUAAAUCCCGCAGGGCUUGGACUUUCUAGAAAACCAUCCUCAGAUGCCAAGCUUUGCUUAGCCCCUUCAGAAUCACCAUUUCUGAUGGCAUCACCACCCAGUUUCACAUCUGCUGUUAUGCACACUGUUUUCUCAAAAAAAUCAAGUGGAAAUUCAGGGUUAACACCAGCAUAAGCCUUAUUACUGAGAAUGCCGGAACCCAAUUUUUUGACUUUCUCUGCUGUUACACUAGCACCAGCAUCAACUCCCAUUGGAACAUGUGAGUAUAUCUGAAGGCUACCAUCAUCGUGCAAAACAAGACAGUGAAUCUUAUCUUUGGAUAAAGGCUUAUAAGCAGUUGCUCCAACAAGAGGUGAAGUCGAACCCACUGCAUGUCUCAAGUUCUGUGCGAAUAACUCCUGUGAUCCCAUCGAUACAGCAAUGGCAGAAUUUAAUUUUAUACUUGAGAAGCAAACGAAUAACCCACUGCCUGCCAGCAAUUCCUUCCAACGAUGAAGUCCAGCAGACCGCAGUUUACCAUCUUGUUCCUCCUCGUAUAUAGUAGAUACCUCACUCAGAGAUGUGGCAUUGGGGCUUAGCCGACCAACCAAAGCAGUGCCAUCUUGAUAGGAUAGGAAAAGUAAUUUGUACACUGAUGAAAAGUACAAAGAUGAACCCUUCGCGUUUAUCUCUUUAUCCUGUAUCUGGAUUACUUCCUUCAAAGGUGUAGCCCCAACAUUACCGUCCACUGACAACUCUAGCCUGAAUAGCCUUCCAUUUUCUGAAAGAACAAUAAGAAACAUCCUCCCUAGAGUUGCCAAAAGAAGUGUUGCAUCCACAAUCAUAUCAUCUGGCAGUGUGAAGUAGUGUAUGGGACUGAUGUUGUCCUGAGAUAGAUCAUAUAUUUUGACAAACCUGUUGGUAACCACCAUUAAUUGAACCUGAGAACCUGGAACCCAAUCAACCCGUCUGAUAUAUGCACCUUGCAGUGCCAGUUCAAUGGCAAGACGAUCAGUCACUUCACCACGGGGAUUCAAGGUAAGGACCUGGCAAUCUUCAUAGCCUGCUACUGCAAGAUAAUUCUCCACCACUGGAUUGAAAGUAAGCUGCACAAUUUCAAAUCGAACAACAUUCUUGGAGAGGGGCUUAACAUUGGUUUUGUCUGCUGUCACUGGUGCAAUGGUGGCCUGUCCAAUCAACUGCCCAACAUCAAAUAUAGCAACUUUAUCACCUUCACCAACAGCAAGUCGCCCUCGAAUACUGACACUGAGCAAGGAUUUGACAAGAGAACCACUAGCUAAAUGUGAUUUAAGUUCCUUAGCAUUGGAAUAGUCUGCCUUUAUUUUCAGGUCUAAGGAGCCGCUUUUAUAUGCCUUCUUCAAUUGCAAGAGGUCAACACCAAAAGAAAGCACCUUGUCUUUACCAAGAAUGAUCUUAUUAUCUUUUGACAAGUUGGACUCUCUUCUACUAGUUAUAUAGGGGAACAAUGAGGAGCAAAGCUCGAGCACCUGACCUUCAACAUCAAGUUCUUCAAGCAACGGUGUGAUCCCAUCCUGAAGCUCUCUUGGGAUGGAUAGUCUGAGAGAGUUAUCUACAUCGGUACUAGUAUCCUCGUCAAGAUCUGAAUCACUUUCUGGCAGCUGCUCUCCAUCCUCCGUGAAAGGUAAAAAGGACUGGAAAUUACUAGUACUACGGAUGGGGGCGCUACUACUUCCUGUGUACUUGCGUGGCUUUAGGCAUUGACAAUUGCUGCCUCUAACACCCCCAGCUCCACAAUCACAAAAGAAACGACUAGAGCGAGAAUAAACAACACGAUGACCACGGUGACAAACUUUUGCACACACAGAGCAACAGCCUUUUGAGACAGUCAGAUCACAUGUAUAACAGAAGUACCAGUGUUGUUCCAUGAAAUUGCUACCGCUAGAAGUAAAUGUGCAAACUUUAGAAGCAAGGGCCCUUUCACUGUUAGUAUCGUCUUCGUCAUCCUUAUCCAGGCUAGCCACCUCACCAUCAGAAGUUCCAUCAUCCUCAUCCUCGUCUACAGAAGUUGCAUCACAAUCAAGAGCGAUGGACCCACCUUCUUCAUUAGUAGAAAGGACCAAUGUCUCGGAGUUCUUCCUUGAACCUAUGGGCCUUGAAGCCAUAGGUCCCAUACCAAAAGCAUUUCCAGGCAGAGAUUUUCCUGACAACUUUUCUGGGGUAUUCUUACCAGACCCACAAUCACUUAAGACACUACAGAAAAAGUCAAAAAGAAACUUCAGGCCUGGUAGCAGGCAAUCAUUGCCGGUCAGCUUCGGCAUCAGCAUUAUGGUCCUCUUUAAAAGUAAUUUCACUGAAGCAUCACCCUUUGAUAGCUGAACAACAAAAUGGAAAAAUGAUUUGGCAACAUGAAUAUCAAAUUUCAAAAAUGCAGGAUCAAGGGAGACCAGCACAGCUUCAAAAAUAUGACUCUGCAGUUCUGUUGAUUUCAAAUCAGAAGGUGGCGAUACAAUGCAUAAAAUAAAGUUCAUGGUCGACUCCCUCAGAGAGAGAGAACUUCCUUUUGCACUGUUAACUCCACCUGAAGCUUCCACAACACAACCUAAGAGCCUCUUCUCCAACCACUUGGAAAGCAAAAGUAAGUCCAUGCUGAGAAAUUUGUUUUGGAUCUUGUGUUUAAGAUCAGGACACAGCUCUCCAGUUAACAGAUCAACAAAAAAGCUAAGAACCUUUAUGUUAACUGUCUCAGAGUAACAAUUAUGUAGAGCGUCAAUUAGAACCAGUAAAUCACCACGCUGCACGCCGAAAAGCGCCUUCACCUGCUCUGGGACAUCUUCUACUCCAAGAUAGAACUUAAAAAUAUCAACCUUUGUAGGGUCUUUUCUAAGGCUAUCCAUCAUAUCAAUAGCCUUGGUGAUUAUGCACUCAUAAAUGCUGUUGUCGCUUACUCCUCUGGCAUUAAUGUCCCUUAGAAAACCCUCCAAGUGCUCUAAUAGAAUUAAAUUGGCAUAGUCUGACCCACCCAAGCCUGCACUCAAGCUUUCAUAAAUGGUUUCACAUUUCCCGUGAAUGCUUUCAAAGAUCCUAUCAAACUUGAUUGUCACAACAGUAUCAAGAAUUUGACGAAGUACCUCAAUCUCCACGCUGACAUUUCCUAUCACAUCUUUUAUUUUAAGCAAACCAACAAGAAUGGAAAUUAUCCCUCUUAUGUUAAAAAUGCAAGAAAGAAGAAUUCCACUAUGAGUCUGAAGAUUAAAUGGGAAACCAUGUAACAUACAUUCCCAGGAGACCCUGCACAAAAUUCCUGAAGCUCUUUUAUCAAUAAUAGCAUCAAACUUUACCAACAGGUCAAGAACAGACUCCAGACGAAAAGAAUAAGUGCCAGUCUUUCCAAGCUCAUCCUGAAGGCAUCUGUCAAAUCCUGAAUGUUUAAAGAGCAAGAGUGGUGAAAACCCAUCAGCAUCCUUCUGGCUAUUACCAAACGUAGCAACAAAAGCGUUCUGAUAAGCCUGUAAAUAUCUUUUCAACAAAGAUGAAAAUAUCUUAAACAACAUUGAAACAUGACCAGCAUCCAUCAAAGAAGAAAUCAUCCCUUCGGCAACAGCAAUAUACUCAUUGUCCUUAGACAUGUUCUCUAUCCAGUUUGAAACCACUCCUGUGACUCUAUUCUUCGCACCAUACCUCCAGAUGCCAACAUCAAGCAAGGAAAGUGCCAAAGACAACCACAUUGCAUUUCUCAAAAAACCCCAGCCUAAUUCCUCAAUGUAUUCAGGUACAAGUUCAGCGUCUAAGUGCUGAAGCAAAUGAACUAUAACUUCAGAAAAAUUGUUUUUCACACCAACACCAUGAUGACCUAGAAUUGAAUGGCUGAAGUAAAAGAAAUUUGCUAUUUCAGAAGUGUCAAGAGUCUGUGGAUCACUCCCUAAAGGAAGCUGAUGGUCUGUUGCAGUGCCAAUAGUUGGAAAGUCCCAACAAAGUACGAAAAUGUAUCUUUCAAUAAUGAGAUCCUCCACCACUGCAGCCUGUUUACCUUUCCAGAACCCCAGAAUUGAUGACAUGGUUGAACAGAUGUCAUCCCAACUCAAGCAUAAUCUGUCAAUAUUAAGACUGUCUGUGGACAGCGAAGCAGGGAGGGCAGAUAUAUCAAUCAGUUGAUGAAUUAAGGGACUGAUGUCAGGCUCUUCUUCACACCAUGUAGUCAUUACAUUUUUAAAUACAAUUGAGACCCAAGAUGACAAAUGAUCGUUCACCCCAGGCUGUGAACUGGAGUACGGAGCUUCCCUCAACUUGGAUCGUAGAUGUACAAGCAAAGAUGAAGGACAAGUCUGUGGGUAAAAUAUCAUAUGGCGAAGCACUAAAAUCAACCUUGAAACCAGUAAAGCCCAGCAAGACAAAUGUGUACUGUUGAAACCCGAAGCUGGAGCACCAAUUGUUCUGAGAGCAGAAAAUAUUAACUUUGCAUGUGAUGCCCUUUCCUCUUCAGACGAUAAGUGAAAUGCCACAAGAAGAAUCUCAAUAUGAAAAGGAGAUGGAAGGGCCUCAAGAAGCUCCUUAAAGCUAGGGCAUUUUAAAGAAAUAGCUUUUGUCUUCUCAGAAACAAAAUCCACAAACCCCCUGAAAAUUUGGUUUCUCAACCGGCUGCCAGCCAAACCCACCCUACAGAAAAGGGUGUGAGCUAGCAAGGUAAGGGUCUGAUUAUUGUAAACAAAAGUAUCAUUCUCAACAUUCAAAACUUUCUCAACAAAGUACUCUUCCAGUGAAUCAGAUAAAGCAUGGCGUGUGACAAGGUCCUGAAACAAAUCAAAACAAAGUUCAUGGGCAUGCCCAAUCUUUCUCUCUUCAUGUGAUAGAGAAUAGCCCUCAGCACUCCUCUCCUCAGCGCAUCCCUGACUGUGGAGUAAGGAUAAAAAAAUAUCAAUAUGGCUUUUGCUAAGCUUUGAGCAGCCAUCCGCAAAAACGGAUGGAUGCCAUUCAGGAGAGAAGAUGCACACUUUAAAAAAGCUCAACAGUUCUGUAGCAGCUUCCAUUGGCAUAUUACUCUGGCUAGAGCUAGAGUUAGCAACAACUGGUGGCUGAUCAUAUCCGUCAGUAGAUCCACGGCCACUUUCAGAGAAAAGGUCUCCAAAAAGGGCUUCUUCUUCAUGGCAAACCACAUUUUCCAAUUCAGAGCUGCAAGUAGUUUUUGCACAACUAGAAUAUGACCUCUCCACCUUUGGCCUCAGUUUCACUCCCUCCGAAUGAAGGAACAAGAUAAGAUGCAUUAGAUCAUCCAUCCAUUGUUUUGAGGAAGGGAAUAUCAUCUGUACUAGAUGUUCAAAUGUGAACCUGUGAAGUAAAGGAACUUUCUCAGAAUGAACAAUGCAUGAAGGGGAACCAAGAAAAUUGACACUACUGCCAACAAGUUCUGUGUCUAACUCCUUCCAAUUGACAGCCCGACUAGUCUGUCUCUUAAGGUCGUGAAUGAGCAUCAAUAUGUAAACAACAAUUCGUGGAGAAUAAGCUAGUGGGGGCUUCAGGUUAGCAGCAGACUUGUUAUAUCUCCAUACAGAAGAGUCUAAAUUAUCUAGUAUGGAAGCUACCACACACACUUGGACAUUCAAGAAAACACUGCUGUUGCAGAAAGUAACCCGGACGAGUUCAAGGAAGUCUUCCAGUAGCAACAGAGUGAGGCUCUCAAAACUACCAUCGGCUGCAACAUUGCUAUUUACAAACUCAAAUCCAGAUCUAAACAACACAGGCACUGCAUCAGCAAAAGUACCAACUGCUUGCACCAAUGAGGCAUCAUAUUCAAUAUAUGGGAUGUCCUUCGUGAGACUUCCAAGUAGCUUUAUAAUCCUCAAACUGAAAGACAGCCUCUUAUAGAAGUUUGUCCCAGCCAUCUUCUCAUCAAACAUAUCUGGGAGCACAAUGAGUUCCUUACAGAGCAAGAUCAAACGUUGAAUACACCCCACGUGAGCAACUGCCCAAUGUUGAGAUAGAAAAACCAAUUUGUUCAAAUCCUGGUGGACAGUAGGCCCACCAAACCCACUGGUCUGCCUAUCAGAUUGUAUGCACUCAGAAGCUAAAGACAUAAACAGACGAUCCACCGGUUUCUCUGACCUUGAGCAAUUGACACCUUCUCAUACACAUAAAAAGUAUAUAACAUCAGUACCAGUAAGACAUGAGGCAACAACACUAGAAGAAAUCAAGUCUUACAACCAAAACAAUCACCUUGAGGGCCACAUUUAAUGUGGUUAUCAAACUCAUUACCACAAGAACUACUGGUAACAGAUGGUAACAAUUCCACCAGACUAUCAACAGAGCAAGGUUGCAGUGUGUCAGGUGCUUUAUCCAUUUCAUCAACCAACGCUAUCUCCAAAAGCUGCACCAUCAUACUCUGCAAAACAACAAGAAUUGGACUAUCAAAACAAGAUAGAGCCACUACUCACCUCCCCAAACAUGUGUAAACAGGUAGCAAUGCAGAACACUAAAUACAUAAAAAUUAAAAUAAAAAAAUAAAAAAAAAUUUUAUUUUUUUUAAUUUUAAAGGGAUUUUUGGAAUAAUCAGAAACCAACCCAACAAAAGAGGACCUCAUCCAUAAAUCCAAAAAAAUAUGGGUACAGGGGGCAGAGAGAAAAUAAAAAUGAUCUCCCUCUCUCCCUCCUUCACACAAGACACAAGACAACAGAGCAAAUUGAUGUUUGCAAUUAAUGCGGCUAAGCAGAAGUAAAAUUCAAACUAAACUAGUCAUACCAUAUCGAAAGAAGAACUACUAACCUGAAUGCUCAUAUCUUCGCUGUUAAAUUCUGAUCUCUCCAAAUAACAUACAGCAAAUUCCAACGACAGUUGCACAAUGGCAACGAUUAUUGCUUCCGCUUGCCCCACUACAAAGAAAUUAAGUACAUUUAUUACCACUAGCAAAAAGUACAACCACUUACAUGUAAAAGCAAAAAAAGCUAGAAGCUACAGGCAUACAGAGAAAACUAGCAACAACCCACAAUCAAGUACUUGGAAUUUGAUAUACUCUACUUCUAUAUUCAAAAGAUAGCAAGAGAAACUCAAGCGGAAAGAGUAGGCCACUAAUUUCACGUAGAAGAAAAUGAAAUGAAGCCAAGUACCCAAUAGAGAUCGAGAGGAGGAAGCGAUGGCAUAGGCAAUCGAAUAAACUGCUUGAAUUUGAGAAUCGGCCCAUGAUUGGAACCCUAGCUUCCCGUCUCCGGCGGCCUCAACGCCGCGUUUAAGAAUCAGAAAAAGGUUCUCGAGGCCAGGUCUGAUGGAGUCGGAGGAGGAGCGCAGCCUCUGCAAGAGAUCAGCAGAGGAGAUGGGUUUGUUUUCCGAGUAGAGAGACUCGACGAGUUUGGGGAAGGCCUCGGCCAUGAGGAACGAGACGAUCGGGUGAAAGACAAGUGAGAAUUAGUGCAUCGGAGAAAAGGCAAGAAAGAGAGAAGAAGAAGAAGAAGAAGAAGAGUGUUUGGGUCGGUAGUGAGGUUGAAAAAUGAAAUGGGUCUAUGGAAUAAAAAUGUAAAUGUUUUAAGGCGGUCGAGAGGAAUUUAGUAAAAAGCAAAUUUGUGGUGAUUGAUGGGUUUAAGGAGACCUUUUUACUUUUACUAUUUACUUAUUAUGGAAAAGAGUUUGCUUUUUUCCCAAGCAAAUGUGAUUCUUGGGAAUAUUUUUUUUUAUAUUUGAUAUGCAAUGUAAUACAAAUGUUUGUCGUUUAGAUAGAGAAAGUGCAAUACCAAUGCGUUAUUGAUAUAGACUUGUAGUGAUACUUAUCUUCUCGAUAAAGAAAAGUAAUACCGACCAUAAACAGUAAAUCAGUAAAAUUACUAACUGAAUUUGUUUGUAACACAUGAUUGUAUGAGGAAAUUAACUAUUAGUUUUAGUUGAAGUCACAUGAGAUUAAUAAAUGGAUGAGAAUAAACAUAGUAUGUUCAAAUCAUUAUGUAAGAAGAAGAAGAAGAAAAAAAAAUUUUAAUCUAGUAUGGAUUGACGAAAAGAAAUCUCAAAGAAGAUGCAUGUCUUAUCAUCCAAGAAAGAUGAAUGAGACAAAAUAAACUUUUGACGAAGACCAUAAAAUUAAAAUAAAGUAAAUAGAUAACAUUCGAACACUCAUGACAAUUAUUAUCACUUUGAAUGAAUCGGGUGUAAAUAAACUCAACAAUAGGUGUUAUAAUAUGCGACAGAAAUUAGGCUUCUUCCUCAUUGUAAAUGUGCAGCACAAUUAGUAAUUAUAAGAGCAUGUCUAGUGGGGUGUUUAGCCCAGGCCAUGGCUGGUUUAAGCCUAAAAUAGUAAUAUUGGAUUGCUAAUGGGAGGAUUUGGCCUAGGUCAAGAAACCCGGGCUCCAUGGGGGAUCUAUAUUUGUGUAAAUGGUUUGGUCAAUUGAGAUUCUUACAACUUUGUUCCAUGGAGAUAUAUUCUAAUUAUGCAAAAUGAAAUUUGAUAUUGAUUGAAUAAUGAGUUUCUAUAUGUCAAUACAUAUAAAAGGGUUCUUUAUAAUUGGACACGAAAUAUACGGGAAGAGGAGUUCAAACGUUAUAUUUCGGUGUGGCAAAUAGCUUGUCAUGCACAUAAAUAUUUUACUCACCAUCGUUCAUCAGUGAAGAAAAGGAAGAAGAAGAAGAAUAAGGCUUAUUAUCACAAAACGUCCCUAAGGUUUACGAAAUUAUCAGAUUGCAUCCUUAAUGUUUUUUUUUUGUCACUCGUGGUCCUCAAGGUUAGUAUGUGCGAUCACAAAUGAUCCCUGCAUUAGGUUCCGUCAAAAACUCCGUUAGUGUGCUGACGUGGCAUAUAUAUAUAUCACAAAACAUCCCUGAAGUUCACGCACCUAAUGUUUCGAAUAUGGAGUUUAUUAAAUUCAUAUAUGGAAAACAACAUAGAAUCGUAAUUCAUGUGUGACUUUUAUACCCGCACAUGGAAAAGAAAUGAAAAGCUAGAGCUUAGAAGAUAAGAAGCAAGACCCAAAGAUCAAACACUUUAAACAAAUGAAAAUGAUCUCUUUUGUAGACGUACAAACCUUACACAGACUGACUUUGAUGCUGUACCCCAAAAAAACAAUAAAAGAAAGGAAGGAAAAACAGUUUAUCAAGGUUAAUGAGACGUUCUUGUUUUUUGUGGCGGUUUUUCAACUUUCAACGGCGGUUUUUAUAAUUUAGCUCCGGUUUUUGUACUUUUCGUUAAGAUUUACUGUUCAAAAUCAUGGCAGACAUCAAACUGAGCAUCCUACCCUUUCUAAUGACAACCAACAACAACUUUGGAACCCCCCUGCCUCUCCCUUUGUCAAAGUCAACGUGGAUGCAUCAUGGAAUCCAAACUCAAAGAGGGUUGGCAUUGGUAUCCUAAUUAGGAACACUCAUGGAGACUUUAUCAAGGGUUCAUCCAUCCCAUCUGUGGCGAACUCUGCUAUUGAGGCUGAGGCACAAGCUUGUCUUGAAGACUGUAAGCUCGCUGCUGAGAUGGGUUAUCGUCAAGUAACUUUUGAAUCUGAUUGCAAGGAAGUAAUCUCUCCUUUGAAGGGCCCCUUAUCCAAUGGAAGGUGGGAAAUCUAUCCUAUCCUAAGUACUGUUUGAGAUGUUUUGAACUGCUUCCAGACCUACGUUUGGACGUGGAUUCCUAGAACCGCCAACCAAGCGGCAGAUCAUUUGGCAAUGCUUGCCAUUUCGAGGAUGAGCCCGGAAGUAUGGGUCAACCGACCCCCAUCCUCUCUAAUGCAUAUCCUGAACAAAGAUGGUUUACCAUGCCCCCCAAGGAGUGCUUAAUGUUUGCGGAUGUGUGGGCUUCUCGACGUAUCCGGUUGUCUUAUGACUACGUCUUUUUAUUAGUCCUUCUUCUAUGCAGCUGUGAUGUUUUAUUUCUUGUUGUUCGUUGUGCCUAGCUCCUUUAUAGGUUGUGUACUUUCUCUUGGCUGUUUGCCUUUUUAUGAAAAUUCCAUAUUUCAGACCAAAAAAAAAAAAAAAAAAAAAACUCCAAAGUGACUUUAGCUGCGGAAAAAGCCGUCGCUAACUGCAGCUAUAGGAGCUUUUAUCUACGACUCGGAAAAUCGCCGCUAAAACGUAGAUUAAAAUUUCAACGAAAAUUUUUAUGCAAAAAAACAAAACACCUUCCUUUUUAAUCUCUUUUAUUGUUCAUACACAUAUUACAUGGCAUUUCUAUUUGAAGUCUCGUCCAAAUAACUACAAUUGGAUACAUGAAGCAGAUGAACAAUGUCUUCAAGAAAAUUAUUUUUCACAUCAACACCACGACGACCUUGAAUUGAAUGGCUGAAGUAAAAGAUAUUUGCUAUUUCAGAAGUGCCAAGAGUCUGCAGAUAGCUCCCUAAAGGAAGCUGAUUGUCCUUUGCAGUGCCAAUAGUUGGAAAGUCCCAACAAGGUACGAAAAUGUAUCUUUCAAUAACAAGAUCCUCCACAAUUACAGCCUGACAUGGUUGAACAGAUGUCAUCCCAACUCGAGCAUAAUCUGUCAAUAUUACAACCGUCUGUGGACAGCAAAGCAGGGAGGGCAGAUAUAUCAAUCAGUUGAUGAAUCAAGGACUGACGUCAGGCUUUUCUUCAAACAAUCCAGUCAUUACAUUUUGAAAUACAAUUGAGACUCAAGAUGACAAAUGAUCGUUCACCCCGAGCUGUGAAGUGGAGUACGGAGUGUCCCUCAACUUGGAUCGUAGGUGUACAAGCAAAGACGAAGGACAAGUCCGUGGGUAAAAUUUCAUAUGGCGACGCACUAAAAUCAAACUUCAAACCAGUAAAACCCAGCAAGACAAUGUGUACUGUUGGAAACCGAAGUUGGACCACCAAUUGUUCUGCGAACAGAAAAUAUUAACUUUGCAUGUAAUGCUUUUUCCUCUUCAGAGGAUAAGUGAAAUGACAUGAGAAGAAUCUCAAUAUGAAAACCAGAUGGAGCUAGAGUUAGAGUUAGCAACAAUUGCUGGCUGAUCGUAUCCAUUUGUAGUUCCACAACCACCUUCAUAGAGAAGGUCUCCAAAAAAGGCUUCAUCUUCAUGGCACGCAAUAUUUCUAAUUCAGAGCUGCAAGUAGUUUUUGCACAACUAGAAUAUCACCUUUCCACCUUUGGCCUCAGUUUCACUCAAGGAAAAAGAUAAGAUGCAUCAGAUCAUCCAUCCAUUCAUUGCUUUGAGGAAGGGAAUAUCAUUUGCACUCGAUGUUCAAAUGUGUGCCUGUGAAGUAAAGGAAUUUCUCAGAAUGAACAAGGCAUCUAGGGGAAUCAAGAAUAUUGACGCUAUUGCCAUCAAGUUCUGUGUCUAACUCCUUCCAAAUGACAGCCUGACUAAUCUGUCUCUUAAGGUCGUGAAUGAGCAUCAAUAUGGAAACAACCAAUCAUAGAAAAUAAGCUAGUGGGGGCUUCAGGUUAGCAACAGACUUUGUUUUAUCUCCAUAAAGAAGAGUCUAAAUUGUCUAGUGUGGAAGCUACCAUGCAAAACACAGUUGUUGCAGAAAGUACCCCAAAUGAGUUCAAGAAAGUCUUCCAGUAGCAACAGAAUGGGGUCUCAAAACUACCCUCGAUUGCCACAUUGAUAUUUACAAACUCCAAUACAGGUCUAAACAACCCAGGCACUACAUCAGCAAAAGAACCAACUGCUUGCACCAAUGAGGCUUCAUAUUCAAUAUCUAGAUUUCCUUUGAGAGACUUCGAAGUAGCUUUAUAAAUCCUCAAACUGAAGGACAGUCUCUUCAAGAAGUUUGUCCCAACCAUCUUCUCAUCAAACAUAUCUGGGAUCACAAUGAGUUUCUUACAGAACAAGAUCAAACAUCUACUGAACCACACAUGAGCAACUGCCCAGCCUGAGAAAAAUUUAUUUGUUCAAAUCCUGAUGGAUAGUAGGCCUGCCAAACCCACUGGUUUGCCGAUCAGAUUGUAUGCACUCAUAAGCUAAAGACAUAUCCAGACGAUCUAGCGGUAUCUCUGACCCUGAGCAAUUGACACCUUCUCAUACACAUAAAAAGUACAUCAUCAGUACCAGUAGGCCAUGAGGCAACAACAUAGAAGAAAUCAAAUCUUACGACCAAAACAAUUACCUUGUGGACCAAAUUUAGUGUGGUUAUCAAACUCAUUACCACAAGAACUACUGGUAACAGAUGGUAACAAGUCCACCAGACUAUCAACAGAGCAAGGUUGCAGUGUGUCAGGUGCCUUAUCCAUUUCAUCAACCAACGCUAUCUCCAAAAGCUGCACCGUAUUACUCUGCAAAACAAAACAAAAAUAGAGCAACUACUCACCCCCUCCCCAAGCAUGCACAAACAGGCAGCAACGCAGAACAGUGAAUACAUAAAAAUUACAAAUUAUAAAAAAGGAUUUGUGGACAAAUCAGAAACCAACACAACAAAAAAUGACUCAUCCACAAAUCCACAAAGUUCAGGGUACAGGGCACAGAGAAAAAGUAAAAAAAUUCACUCCCUCUUUCCUUCACACAAGAAACACUUAUUGUUAAUGUUGCUACUGAUUUGAAUCUAUUAAACAUGAAAGUUUCAGGCUUCUAAGCACAAGACAACAGAGCGUACAAUAAUAGAGCCACGGAGAGAGCCCUCAAAUUGAGUUGUUGAAGUUAAUUUUCAGAAAAUUUAAGGUGUUUUGAGGGUUAAGGAGGUUUCUAAGUUCAAUAAAAAUCAUUAAAAACUUUGAGUACAAAAGAAUCCAGUAUAGCCGGGCGGCUAUACUCUUUUUACACCGGCCAAGGCCUAUGCGCCACGUCGCAACCGGUUACAGCAGAGCGUCACAGCCAACUUAAAAAAAAUUGGGGAAAAUAAGUAUAGCCGCACGGCUAUACUAUUUCUAGAAGAAAAUUAAAAAAGAAUCCAGUAUAGCGGGGCGGCUAUACUCUUUUUACACCGGCCAAGGCCUAUGCGCCACAUGGCAAACGGUUACAGCGGAGCGGCUGUAUUAUAUUUUUAAUUACAAUUUUUGAAAAAAAGUAUAGCCGUGCGGCGAUACUAUUUGUAAUAAACAAUUAUGGAAAAACUGAAAUUUUUUUCAAAAAUAUAUUAUUUUUAUUCAAUAAUAUGUUAGAAUUAUGUGUAUAAUACGUGAAUUUUGCGUCUUACUAAAAUUUUUGUUAAAAUUAAGUGCACUCAACAUGAGAAAUAGUGUAUAAAACAUUAUUAAAUGUGAAAGUGCAAAAAUAUUUAUGCGGGUAAUAGCUUUGGAAAAGUAAAAAAUCAAAAAGGGACAGUAGAUACUCGAGCAAUGACCUAAUAAUAACAGAUAGGGCUCUUGGGCUAUGGAGAAAUUUAAUUAAGACACCCAAACGAGUUCACAAAAGACUUAAUAAAUAUAAAUGAAUUAUUUAUAUGGAGCAGAGUUAAAAUUAUCUAUUCAAUUCACAAACAAUCUAUUUAAAAAAAAAAUGGCUGUGUAUCUGUCUUUCUUGUUUGAUUAAGAAAAAAAAAAUUCACAUCUGAAAUUACUUGCCAAUUCUAGAAUGCACAUUUAGAGAGUAGUAAACCGGCAGUAAAAUGAUAUCCAACUCCUAGUAUUGUAACUAAACGCAAGAACAUGGAGCUCACCAACCAAAGAGUAGUCAAAUCCCUUAAAACUGCGAACUUUAUAUAAUUUUUCAAAAACUUCAAUAAAAAACGAAAAUUCAAGUGGAAAAGAGAAGGUCACUAAUUUCACGUUGAAAAAGAAAAGAAAUGAAGCCUAAUCAAGAGGGAGAAGAUGUGGCAUAGGCAAUCGAAUAAACUGCUUGAAUUUGAGAAUCGGCCCACGACUGGAGCCCUAGCUUUCCGUCUCCGACGACCCCAACGCAGCGUUUUGGUAUCAGAGAGGAGCGCAGCCUUUGCAAGAGAUCAAUUGACAAUUAGAUUAGGGGUGUCUAGCCCAAAAUGCUCAAAUUGGGGCCUUUUUUUCUUGUUUUUUUAACAACUGCACACGGGUGUACUAUUUUUUUUUUUAAUUUAAAAACCGGAUUAUACUAAUUUUUUUAAAAUCAGCAAAAACAAGUAUAGCCGACUGGCUAUACUAUUUCUUAAAAAAAUAAUUGAAGGAAUCUAGUAUAGCCGGGCGGAUAUACGAUUUAUAUAUAUAAAAAAGACCGGCCUAGGGCCGAGGCGCUACGAGUCAAAAUAGUAAAGCCAGGCGGCUAUACUAUUUUUUUAAAAAUUACUAAAAACAAGUAUAGCCGAGCGGCUAAACUGCUUCUUUAAAAAAAUAAAAAAAUCUAGAACUGUUUCUUUAAAAAAAUAAAAAAAUAAAAAAAAUAAAAAAAUCUUGUAUAGUCGAGCGGCUAUACGAUUUAUAUCUAUAUAUAUAAAGCAAAAUGCAGAGAAUUGUGAAACAUUCAAAAUAUCAGAAAAUGCCCUUGGUUAAUGCAAAUAUUAAGAAUUGAAAUUAUUAAUUAAAUGAGGAGAAUAUGCUAAAUUCACACUUUUUCAUAUUAAAAAAAUUAAAAUUAAAAGACAAAUUAAAUAAUGGAUCCCAUUUUUAUGGAAUACAACUACCCAUUAUUUUUAUGCCCAGCUUAGGCACUACGUGUCAAAAGAGUAAAGCCAAGCGGCUAAACUAUUUUAAAAAAAAUAUUAUUUUUAUACAAUAAUAUGUGAGAAUUAUGUGUAUAAUGUGUUAAUUUUGUGUGUCUUAUUGAAAUUUGUGUAAAAAAAUAUGUGUAUUAAACAUAAAAAAUACGUAUGUACCUAUAUAAUACAAGUAUUAUACGUUUGUCGAGUCUUUAAGACGUUUGCAGAACAUGACACGAAUAUAUUAUUGAAAAAUACGUACGUAUGUGUAUUAUAUAUUAUUAAACGUCAAAGUGUUAAAAUCUUUAUACGGGUAAUAACUUUGAAAAAGUAAAAAAUCAAAACAGUAAAGAUGUACGGCUAUACUAUUUUAAAAAAAAUUAGUAAAAAACGAGUAUCGCCGUUCGGCUAUACUAUAUCGUCCAACAAGUUAAAAAGAUCUAGUAUAGCCGCGCGGCGAUACUAUAUAUAUAUAAAGCAAAAGAUAUAGAAUGGUAAAACAUUCAAAAUACCAGAAAAUGUCUUUGGUUAAUGCAAACAUUAAGAAUUGAAAUUAUUAAUAAAUGGGGAUAAUAUGGUAAAUUCACACUUUUUCAUAUUUAAAAAAAAUUAAAAUUAAAAGAAAAAUAAGAUAAUAAAUCGUAUUUUUAUGGAACACAACUACCCAUUAAUUUUUUUAAUUCUAAAAUAAAUUUUUUAAAAUUUGUUUUUAAAAAAAAGGCCUCUCACAAGCACGGAAGUGCUUGCGGAGAGGCUAGUGUAUAUAUAUAUAUAUAUGAACCGCCCGCGCUGCUAUACGAUGUUUUAAAAAAUUAUUAAACACAAGUAUAGCCGUGCGGCUAUACUAUCUCUUUCAAAAAGUUAAAAAGAUCUAGUAUCGUUCACCCAUAAAUUUAAUAAAAUAUUUUAUUUAAGUAUAAAUGCUAAUAAUAGGCAAAUGCUCCUUUCCAUUGCCUAGGCAAGCGUCAAAAUAGUAAAGCCGCAUGGCUAUACUGGCUAUACUACGAGUAUAGCCAGUUUCUAAAAAAAAAAAAAAAAUCUAGUAUAGCCGUGCGACUAUACGAUAUAUAUAUGCACUUGGCUGGUGGUGGAGCCGGCAUGGAAGUGUUUAAAAAAAUGGUGAAUUGGAUAACGAAUAGAAAGUUGACACAUGGGAUAAACUACAGUAACAACACUUGUUAUUGUAGGAAAAUGUUCAAAUUAACAUAAGAAGUACCUUUGGUAACGGUAGGGAUAGAAAUUAGAAUUUGUUCUCUAUGAUAAACUCAUUGCUUCCAACUUUUUCUGUUUCUAAAAUCAAAUUUAAAUAUUCAUCAUUGAAGACAAUUAUUAUUUUUUUCUUCAUACAAACACAAAAAAGUUUAUUUUUGCCACACAAACAAAUACAUCACACAAUUUAUUUGAAAUCAAAUAAUUAUAAGUAAAUAAUAAAUUUUGAAUAAAUUUGCCUUAUUUAAUUAGUGAAAUUAGUAAUUAUAUUUUAAUUAUUAUUUAUUUAGUGAAUAAUUAGUAUUAAAUUUAUCAAUUAACUUCAUGAAUUAUAUUACUUAAUAAAUAGUAGGCUUAUUUUCACAAAACGUCCCUAAAGUUUACGAAACUAUCAGAUUGCAUCAUUAAUAUUUUUUUUUGUCACUUGUGGUCCUUAAGGUUAGUAUGUGCGAUCACAAAUGGUCUAUGCCGUUAGGUUCCGCCAAAAACUCUGUUAGUGUGCUGACAUGGCAUAUAUAUAUCAGUACUGAUCUCUUGGACUACAUGGGUCCAAGAGAUUUGUGGUCACUCACCGUUGGAUGUAAAUUCAAUGGUUCACUCACUUUUGCACUCAUUUUAAAAAACUUUUUAGAACCAUUGGAUUAAUAUCCAACGGUAGGUGACCACAAUCUCUUGGACUCCUGUGGUCCAAGAGAUCGGGACUGAUAUAUAUAUAUAUAUCACAAAACAUCCCUGAGGUUCACGCACCUAUCACAAAUGGUCCCUAUGAAAAUUGUUAAUUUUUUAAUUUAAAAUUCAUAAAAUUUUGAUUUUCUUUUUAAAAAUAUUUAUAAAUUAAAAAACCAUUUAUAUAAGGAUUUUAAUCAUGAGGACCACUUAUGAGCCCUAAACUCUUAGUUUUUUAAAUUUUAAAUUUUAUGAAUUUUAAAUUAUUUUUUAAAAACUCCAUUAGUUUGUUGAUGUGGCAUAUAUAUGGAGCCCACAUCUACAAUAAUAUAGUGUCACAUGUAUUUAAAAAAUAAUAUAUUUUUUAAAUAAUUUAAAAUUCAUAAAAUCUUAAAAAGAAAACCAAAAUUUUAUGAAUUUUAAAUUAAAAAAUUUCGCAGGGACCAUUGUGAUCACACAUACUAACCUUGAGGACCACGAAUGAUAAAAAAAAUAUUAAGGAUGCAAUCUGAUAGUUUCGUAAACCUUAGGGACGUUCUGUGAUAAUAAGCCUAAAUAGUAAUUCAAAUUUUCCCUUUUUCUUUUUCCCUUUAAUAUUCACCAAGUAAAACAUAACUACUAAUCAAAGUAAUUAAAAAGAGAGCUACUUAAAGGGUAUAGCUGCGUGGCUAGACUUUUAAAAUAUUAUAUUAUUCGGAGUACCGCCGCGCGGCUAUACUUCGAAGAUAUUCUUUUGAGGUGCCCUUUGUGAACACCCCACAUCGAAAAUCCACAAUCCUAUAAAGGUCUUUAUAAACAAAGCUCUAUGAUGGUUUGGUAAGUGUGGUUAACAUUAGAGAGUUGGGGUAAUGGCCACGGCUUUGGAUUUGGCGCUGAUUAAUAAUAAUUAUAUUAUAUUAAUCAAAGACUUGGGCCUUGGGGCUCUUGGGUUUUGGAGAAAUUUAAUUAAGACACCCAAACGAGAAUAAGCAAUUUAUUAUUUUCGUUUUUGACAUAUCCUUUCAAUUUAAAUUUGAAUAAAAUUAGGUUUGAAAAUUGCACAAAAUAAUUUAAAAUAAUUAAUUACUAUUUAUUGAGCAAUUUUUUAUUUCAUGCAUCUUUUCGAGAUCUAGAACGUCCCAAGUCACUUGAAGCAGCUUCAGUUCUCCAGACCCCCAAAAAACGAUGUUUUCUGCUGUAAAACUAGAUUACAUCUUCCCAAUGUAACAACACAUACAUAUUUUCCUUACAUUUUCUUAAUGUCAUGCAAACAAAACUUCAAUUUUGAACAUAGGAAUCAGUAAGUGAUGGGCGGACUCAUUUUUUAUGGGUCAAAAGCUGUAUUACAAUAGCAAUAUAGAAUGGAGAGUGGUGUUCAAGUACAUAUAACGAGCAACAGUUUUGAAAUGUUUCAUAUUAGAUGGGCUGGUUUUUGUUUUAAUUAUUAACUUCAGGGUCUAGGGUUCAAGUCACAGAGAAGGCACACCUGAGUUUUUAUUUAUUUAUAUUUUAUAAAUAUGUAUUUUUUUAAAUGUUUUCACUUGUUAAUUUUACUUUGAUGCUUUUGUCAUGCCACAUGUGUGCACCCUGUUCGACAAGCCUCCUAUAGCCAUGUUGAUGACAGAUGUCGAAGCAAGCUGCCUUGAGAAUUUCUUGGGCACGUCAUGGGCACUUCUAGGGAAUGCGUUGAAUGGACACUUCUUGGGCAUGCGUUGAAUAGCCAUGUUUCGGGCAUGCGUAGAAAAUUGCACAAAAUAAUUUAAAAUAAUUAAUUACUAUUUAUUGAGCAAUUUAUGAAAUAAGUAACAUAUUUAAAUAUUCACUAAAAAAUAAGAAUUAAAACACAAUUACUAAUUAAAGUAAUUCAAAAAGGAUAAGAUAUUACUUAAUUACAUAUAUUAAAUUAAGGAAGUUAGCCAAAAAAAAAAGUAAAGAAACUAAUUUUAUAUUUUUAAAAAUUAAAAUUUUCUUUUAAAAAAAAAACAUGAACACUUCUCUCGAUGAAAUUUCGUUGGCACAGAUCUAUGCCGGCAAAAUUUACCGGAUUAAGUUUCUCCCGACGAAAAUACCUGUGCCGACGAAAUUUUGUUGAGAGAGGUCUUUUAGUAUAUAUAUAUAUAUAAACUUAGGAUGUUUAGGUUAAUUAAUUUUUAAAAAUGUUAUCGUUAGUAAUUAAAUAAUAAAUUUGCCUUAUUUAAUUAGUAAAAUUAGUAAUUAUAUUAUAAUUAUUAUUUAUUUAGUGAAUAAUUAGUCUUAAAUUUAUCAAUUAACUUCAUGAGUUAUAUUACUUAAUAAAUAGUAAUUCAAUUUUUUCUUUUUCUUUUUCCCUUUAAUAUUCACCAAGUAAAACAUAACUACUAAUCAAAGUAAUUAAACAGAGAGCUACUUAAAGGGUAUAGCUGCGUUGCUGGACUUUUAAAAUAUUCUAUUAUUCGGAGUACAGCCGCGCGGCUAUACUUUGAAGAUAUUCUUUUGAGGUGCCCUUUGUGAGCACCCCACAUUGAAAAUCCACAAUCCUAUAAAGGUCUUUAUAAACAAAGCACUACGAUGGUUUGGUAAGUGUGGUUAACAUGGGAGAGUUGGGGUAAUGGGCUUGGCUAUAGGCUCGACUUUGGAUUUGGCGCUGAUUAAUAAUAAUUAUAUUAUAUUAAUCAAAGACUUGGGCCUUGGGGCUCUUGGGCUUUAGAGAAAUUUAAUUAAGACGUCCAAACGAGAAUAAGCAAUUUAUUUUUUUUCGUUUUUGACAUAUCAUUUAAAUUUAAAUUUAAAUGAAAUUAGGUUUGAAAAUUGCACAAAAUAAUUUAAAAUAAUUAAUUACUAUUUAUUGAGAAAUGAUAUUGGGCUUGACAAUCUUAUUCUUUGAGCUGAACCUGCAGUUUAGGCCGAGCCUACUAUGAUAUGGUCAUUGAUUUUGGGCCUUUCUUCCUUUUGAGCCCAAUCAUCACCCUAAUGUGUUAUUGUCACGUCAUUUUCCUUUUGUGGGUCCAAGAACGUUUCAGGUAUAAACACAGACCUUAAGGACGAAAAGUGAUAAUUUUAUGAAUCUCAUGGACAAUUUAUGAUAAAAAGCCUUAUUUUUAUGAUGUAUUCAGUAUUUUUUGCAUUAUGAUUUGAAUCCUUUUAGAAUUUAUGCUUCUAAUAUAAUGCUUUUAUUCAGAAGUAAGAAUUUUGAUUAUCACUAAGCUGUCGGAUAUGCAUUCACCAACUAGUUUUUUGAUUUCAUUGUUAUUUUUUGUUCUUAAUUUUGGAGGGCAUUUGAUUGUGAGCGAGGAUUACCAUCUCAUUCAUUGAUAUUAGAUGAGUGUGAUUUAAUAUACAGCACACAUCUCAAAAUCAAAUUCAUCUUUUGAUAAUGCUUAGGGGUGGUUAGCAAAAAUACUUGCUCCCUUAAUUUUUAAAGUGAUCACAGGUUUUGAAUCCCCUCAUCCCCUGAGAUAAAAAACAACGCUCUAUUGAGCGUUAAUAUUAGAUCAGAUGGUGUUGAACUCCAAGUAUUUUAAAUUUAAUUAAAAAUAUGUAAGAAAUUUGUAGCUUAAGUGAUUAAGUAGUUACCGACAUCUAAGGUCUUGUAUUCGAAUAUCCCUUUCCUAAUAGCGCAUGUGUAAAAAAUAAUAAUAUUAAAAAAAGUCAAGAAGAUGCUUCUCAGCAUGUUUUUCGGCCAAUUUCAAAAUUACAUAUAUGCCCUCUAUUAUCUCCAUGCAAAAAUGCAUUAAUGGGUAUAUAUUAUGGUAAUUGCCAUGGACACAGGUGGCUCUAGAUAGAGCUAUUUCUCCUUUUAUGAAAGGAAUCUCCUUAAGAAGGGGUGGACAUGGAUGACAACUCUGACAGAGCAACGACCUUGAAGAGAUACUCAACGUGGCUAAAUAUGCCUGUGAAAUUUUUAAAAAAGAACAAAAACAAGAAAAAGAAAAGAAAAGCGUUUCCCUUCAUGCAUUCAUGACUCAUGAUUCAUGAAUGAGAAGACUACCCAACCCAAUUUCCUCAACCCUAUUUUCAGUAAUGACAAAACAGAAAUUGCAAAACUCCAAUUUCUCCAAAUAUUAUAUAGUGGUAUCUACAUAUAUAAAGCAAAAGAUAAAGAAUGAUAAAACAUUCAAAAUAUCAAAAAAUGUCAUUGGGUAAUGCAAACAUUAAGAAUUGAAAGUAUUAAUUAAGAGUGCUACUACUUUCACCCACCUGCCUAUUUUCCCACCCACCUUAUCUUUAAACUUUUAAAGACAAAUUUAACCAUACUGUAAAAUGACUUAAAAGGACUUAAGGAAAAAAAAUAGAGAAAAAAAAAAAGACGUAGACUUUUCAAGUUCUCACGAACCCUAUCGUUUGAUAGAAAGAAAAAAAAACACAAGAAAGCUACGACUCCUUGCUCAUGAUUCCUCUUAUAACUUUUCAGUGCUCAGAACUUAAUUCUCAAAUAAUUUUCUUCUCUUUUCUAUUCAUUCAAUCAAAUUGUUUAUGAAGAAGAAAACGACAAGAGAAUCAAUGUUGAAGGGAACAGUUUUGGCGAAAAAAUAAGGAAAUCCUAUUUGAACAUAAUUUCUAAGAUCUUUACGAUUACUUAAAGCAUUGGGAGAUGAGUAUUUCUUGGACUCUGAUUUUUUUUCUUAAACUAAUUAAAAAUCUGAAAACUUGGGGAUGAAUCAACAAUUCUAUGAUUUAGGCUCUGUUGAUUACACAAAGAACGUUCCUUACAAAAUCAGUUUGGCUGAGAAUUUUUUUGAGGUAUGAGAAGGUGAAGAAGGCUUUUGGGGUUAAUGAGUCAUUGGUUUUUGAGGAAUGCAGUGAUUUGGUGGGGGAUAUUUUGCAUGAAGAUGUGAUGAAAAGUGUGAAAUACAUGGUGAAAUAUUUGAUGAAGAAGGACAAGUCUUGUUGUACCAGAGGAAGCUUGAUUUGAGAGAUGGUGUGGUUUUCAUUGAGGCAAAGAGAGGUGUAUAGUAAACAUGAGAGACAAAAAGAAAUAAAGUGUGAGAGAUGGAAAAUAAGAUACAGCAAAAAUGAGAGAGAUGUGUGGGCCGUCAGAGAGAGAGAAGACGUGAGUAGAGAGAGGAAAUGAGGUAAUAAUUAAACGGGCAUUUUAGGAAUAUUGGUGGGUGAAAAAAUAGGAUUGUGUUUUUUAAAAUUUAUAUGAUGGGUGGGAAGAUAAGGUGAGUGGAAAAAUAGGAUUGUGUUUUUUAAAAUUUAUAUCGUGGGUGUAAAGAUAAGGUGAGUAGAAAAAUAAGACAGAUGGGUGGAAAUAGCAGCACUUUUAAUUAAAUGAGGAUAAUAUGGUAAAUUCACACUUUUUCAUAUUAAAAAAAUUAAAAAAAAAAGAAAAAUCAGAUAAUAGACGGAACACAACUACCCAUUAUCUUUUCUAAUUCUAAAAUAAAUUAAAUUUUUUUAAAAAAAAACUUCUCCCAAGCACGGAAGCACAAAAGCGCGUGCGAAAAGGCUAGUAUAUAUGUAUUCGUUAAUUGCCAGAUAUUAGAUAUUAUUUAGCUCCUUCUUGGAAAAUGAUAUGGGAUCCAAUAUAAUUUAGGAAAAAUCUCCUGUCGAAUUUUUUCUAAAUUUAUAUAUCAAUAUAUAUGGACAUAAAUAUUCUUUUGGAAGAAAUGUGUAGAUAGAUGGUAAAUUGGCAACCAUUUUCCAAAUUAGAAUUUUUACCAAAUUAUUUCAUCGUAAUAAUUUUUAUUUUAUUUUAUCAAAACUCUCAAUAUACAAUACAUAAUUUUCAGACUGUUUAUGUUUGUCUGUACUUGCAACAACUUAGAAGACACAUGCAGAAUAUAGAGUUGAGGAAUUGGUUGGAAUUUAUGAAUUUUCUGGCUGACAUCAACAAAAGAAAGGUCAGCCAUGCAUGAUGAGAAUAUAAACUGUCAAAAUUAUGACAGAUUCUAGCAUCCAACAAAGAGACACUGAAAGCAUUAAGGCCAGUAUUUGCAGAUAAGAAUGGCCUCACCUCUCACACUGUAUUUAAUUUCUGGUUUUGGAAAUUUGGCCAAAAAGGAAAGAAAAAAAGAAAUAUAUAUGGACAGAUAAUACGCGGCGCCUAGACUCAGACUAUAUUCCUUUAAUUUAUUUUUAUUUAAUUUUUUUCUUUAAUAAUGCAUAAAAGAUAAUUGGAGCUUGGUUGUCAAAAAUCUGAGGGAGUGUAUGAGAGAAUCUGUAAUUAUGUAAUCUAAGUUGUCUUGUUGGGAUUUCUAUUCACACUCUUCUUUUUUUAUUUUUUUGUUAGAGCAUUCAAAUUGAAUUCUGUGGAUUCUGCUCUUCACUUUUCUCUCCUCCCUAUACUCUCACUCUCUCUUUAUAUACCAACCCUCACUGUCCUCUUGUCUCCACCAAACAACCAAGAUCUGAGAGAAAGAUACAAAGCUAGCUAGCUAAGCUUAGAGAGUGAGCCUUUAGAGAGACAAAAAUGGGUUCAACUUCAAAUCCUCUUGAGCUAAAUUCUCUUGAUCUUGCACUUAGUCUAAAGCCCUCUUAUGUCCCAAAAUCACUCAAUCACUUAUUCAGUGAUCUGGCAAGUAUAGAUAAUGUUCCACACAAAUUGUCUGUUUUGAAUGAGUAUCUUCUAAAACACCAAGAAGAGCUCCACAGAGUAGAGGAAUUUAAAAGAGACCUACCUCAGUGUGUUCUUCUGUUGUUGGAUGGUGAGCUAUAGCUACCCCCAUUUAUUUAUUUUUCUUUUUUCUCUCUAAGAAAAUUGUUGAAGGGUUUGAUCUAUGUUGAUUUACCUCUAAUGGUUUAUUUUAUUUUUUAUUUUUGACUGUUGUUUUUUCUUGGUUGUGAUAAUAUAUAGCUAUACAAACACUCAAUAACGAAAUUGAGAAGUUGAGUGGUCAAGAUCAGUUCGAUGCAUGUAAGAAUAGAGGCUCAUGUGAGGAUCCAGUAGAACGGCGGAGUGCGUUCCGAAAAUAUAAGAGCUCAUCACCUCCGUUUAACCCUAGGCCUCGCAACCAAGAUCAUACAAGUCAAGACCAUAAGGUAGGUGGCAUAGACAUGCAAAAAUUCAGUUUCUCUUAUUUUUUAAAAAUAUUUUUCCCUCUUGUGUUUUGAUAAAUAAUUAUUUGAUGUGAUUUGACACAUUUUGGUGAUCUUAUUGAAGGUGAAGGGAAAGGAGCCGAUCCUCAUGGAGCCAAGUCCCAGGAGGCCUUUCCCAUGUGAUCUCAACAUGGAGGCAAGCGGUUCAGAACUGGAGCUAGAGCCAGAACCAGAUCCACAGCCACAGCCAGAGGUACCUCCGCCUAUGUGGAAACACAGCAGGUUAAGCUGGACGCAAGAGCUCCACACAAAGUUUGUGGAGGUCUUGAGCAUGCUGGGAGGUCCUGCAGGUGAGAAUAUUUGAAUCAUUUUGGGUGGGAUCUAGGUUUUUGGGUAUAUAUUUUCAACAUAUUCCGAAUAUAAUAUUAUUUAAGGCUUGAUGCCAAUAUAUUGUUUGUUUAUUACAUUUGCCCUUUUGAGCAGAAGCAACUCCAAAACAAAUUAGGGAGGCCAUGCAGGUCGAGGGGCUUACGAACGACCAAGUGAAGAGUCACCUGCAGGUUGGCUUUGAAUUGUAAUUUGUGAAUCAUAAGAAUAUUACCUUACAAAGACAGACUUGUUAUUAUCCGAACUGAUGAGAAUCUAUACAUUUGGUUGGCUGCUUUAUUCCGAACUGUACAUAUUUUUAUGAGAUUAAUUAUCAAUUGUGAUUCUCCUUAACUAGCAUAUUUAUAUUAAGGGAAAGGCGAUAAACUCAUGUUAGUCUUUAGUUGUUAAUUUUUUGUCAUUGCGUGCAUAACAGAAUCUUUAGAUUGGAUCAAUUUAGUUGCAAUGACAUCUUAAUGAUAGAUCCUUCUAUGUACACAUUAAAAAUGAGAUAUUUCUCAUGCGUUGGAUCGCUUGAGUAGCAAUGAUGUCUUAAUAUACAGGGGAUCUUUCUCAAGCGCACAAGAAAAUCUAUUCAUUGGAUCAUUUUAAAAGCAAUGAUAUCUUAAUAGUAGAUUUUCUAAUGUUGAAGUUAUAUUUUUCUCAUUGAUCAUUUUAGUAGCAUUGAUAACUACUUAAUAGCAGAUUUUCCAAUGCUCAAAUUCUAUACAAGAUAUUUAUGCUCAACAUACAUGGGAGAUCUUUCUCAAGCGCAUGAGAAAAUCUAUUCAAUCGGAUCAUUUUAGUAGCAAUAUCUUAAUAGUAGAUCUUCCAAUGCUCAAGUUACAUACAUGGUAUUUUUCUCAUGGGUCAUUUUAGUAGCAGUGAUAACUUAAUAGUAUGUUUUCCAAUGCUCAAAUUUUAUACAUGAGAUUUAUGCUCAACAUAUACAGGGGAUCUUUCUCAAGCGCAUGAGACAAUCUAUUCAUUGGAUAUCAUUUUAGUAGCAAUGAUAUCUUAAUAUAGUAUAUCUUCCAAUACUCAAGUUAUAUACAAGGUAUAUAUAUAUAUAUAUAUUUUUUCUCAUGGGUCAUUUUAGUAGCAGUGAUAAUUAGUAUGUCUUCCAUUGCUCAAAUUAUAUACAGGGAGUUAUGCUCAACAUAUACAGGGGAUCUUUCUCAAGCUCAUGAGAAAAUCUAUUCAUUGGAUCAUUUUAGUGGCAAUGAUAUCUUAAUAGUACAUCUUCCAAUGCUCAAGUUACAUAUAGGGUAUUUGUCUCAUGGGUGGGUCAUUUUAGUAGCAAUAAUAACUUAAUAGUAUGUCUUUCAAUGCUCAAAUUAUAUACAGGGGAUUUAUACUCAACAUAUACAGGGGACCUUUCUCAAGUGCAUGAGAAAAUCUAUUCAUUGGAUCACUUUAGUAGCAAUGAUAUCUUAAUAGUAGAUCUUCCAUUGCUCAAGUUACAUACAAGGUAUAUUUUUUCUCAUGGGUCAUUUUAGUAGCAGUAAUAACUUAAUAGUACGUCUUCCAAUGCUAAAUUAUAUACAGGGGAUCUUUCUCAAGCACAUGAGAAAUCUAGUUAUUGGAUCAUUUUAGUAGCAAUGAUAUCUUAAUAGUAGAUCUUUCAGCUCAAGUUACAUACAUGGCAUUUUUCUCAUUGGUCAUUUCCAAUGCUGAAAUUAGAUACAGGAUUUGUGCUCAACAUAUACAGGGGAUUUUUCUCAAGCGCAUGAGAAAAUCUAGUCAUUGGAUCAUUUUAGUAACAAUAAAUCUUAAUAGUAGAUCUUCCAAUGCUCAAAUUAUAUACAGGGGAUUUUUCUCAUACGCACAUACGCAUGAGAGAUUUUAGGCAUCAUAUUAGUUUAGUGACAAUGAUAUCUUGAUUGAACAUCCUCACAUGUGCAAUUUAUGUGCAUUUUCUCAGGCUCAUGAAAGAUUCUGGUGAUUAAAUUACUUAAUGGGCCAAUGAUCUUAUGAUAAAUUUAGCCAUGCGUAUACAUGCGCGCAUGAGGGUAUUGUCAUAGUAUCCAUAUACAUGCCCCAUUCUGAUAAUCUUCCCUAUCUAAAAUGUUGGUAUAGCUUCAUAGGGAUGAUAUUUGUUCCAAAUGCUAUAGGUAUAGCAAUUCUGAAUUGAUGCUAAGCUUAAUGAGUGUACGUAAUAUAUUUGCUAAAUAUAUAUGCGCUCGAGAAACUUGAAAUUAUGGUGCCGCACCAAAUACCUUUAGAAUAUUACAAAAGGGACCAACAAAACUUAACGGGCCUCAAGAAACAGUGUGACUGCAAAACAAACCAACAGGGUCAUUUAGGCCCAAUCCCCAAACAAAGUUCUUUCCCUGCUGCUCUUUAUGAAUGAAAGUUGAAACCACUCAUUUAUUUCACAUGCAAUUUAAUUUGAGCUCUCAUAUUAAUUAUUUAAGCACUAAUUUUAAGAGUAUUUGCUAGAAUUUGAUGUUUGAUGUUGAUGAUUUAGUGGUGCUGAUGGACAAGUCUCAACUGUGUGUGUGUUUUGCAGAAGUACAGGCUCAACAGCUUGGGCGUCAAACCAGCAGCUUCUGCCAAAAGUUAUAAGAGGAAAGUCCCGUUUUACUUCAGGGACUUUUGGAACCCUAGCGCUUCUCAGCAGCAGCUCGAAAGUGCAGGGAAUGGUGGAGGUGGCUCUAGCAGCAGGGGAAAUGCAGAGCCAGAAAUGAGAAAAUCAAAGAGAACCUGGUUAGGUGAUGCUUAGUUAUGCAUCUAUGAUGGCAUGUAUAGCAUGAUUAGGAUUCAGGAAAUAAUAAGAGCUUCAAAGUUGUUUAUAAUUUCUUCUUCUAAUUUUUCUUUUUGGGUCUCAAAAGUUGUUUAAUUUCAUGUGCAUUGUAGCUGUAUAAUUCUACAAAGGGAGCUCAUAAUUAAUGCAAACAGUUGCACAAAAUCUCAUAAUACAUCGGGAUUUUUUACAAGUAAUGAAGUUUGUCAGAUGAUGAGAACCAUAGCUUUAUUCCAAGUACAAUAUUUCUGUGUCGACUACAUGCUCCUUACGAAGUAUAAACUUACAAGCCCUACUACAUAUGCUUCUGAUAAUUGCACAACCCAUACAAGAAUUUAUACAUACAAACUUAACCAACAUGUGAAAGACAUUAUUUGAGAGUUAAUUAAACAUGAUUUAUAUAGUUAAAUCACUUCUGUUUAAUAUCAAGGAGAAGUAGUUUGCUUUGAAGAAGAAGAAAAAGCAGGUGGGAUUCCAGGGAUGCGAGGUAUAGGUGGGAGUGGGAAUGGUAAUGGAGGGAGGAGUGGGAAAGAUGGUGGUGGUGGUGAUGGUGAUGCAGUAAAACCAGGUAUAGGUGGCAAGUUGGGAAUCAAUGGUGUUGGGCCUGCUGGUGGAGUAAAACCUGGUAUUGGGGGUAAAUUGGGAAUUAAUGGUGCUGGUUGAGGCUGAAAUGGAUUGGGGAUAAGUGGAGUUGGCUGUGGCACAAGUGGAUUUGGAGGCAAAAUUGAUGGUGGCUGAAAUGGGUUUGGUGGGAAGAAAGUAUCUGGGUGGGCUACUUUUUUAUCAGUUAGUUGCCCCGCCUCUGUAGUUUUACCAGGAAUGGGGGGUAAAACUGGAAUUCCUGGAAUUCCUGGAAGGGGAGGGAGAGGAGGAAGUUGUGGCAAUGGUGGAAGAAAAGGGACUGUAGGAAGAGGAGAAAGAUCAGGUAUUGUGGAGUUUUGAGUUAGUUGCCCUGCCUCUGUAGUUUUACCAGGAAUGGGGGGUAAAACUGGAAUUCCUGGAAUUCCUGGAAGUCCUGGAAGGGGAGGGAGAGGAGGAAGUUGUGGCAAUGGUGGAAGAAAAGGGACUGUAGGAAGAGGAGAAAGAUCAGGUAUUGUGGAGGUUUGAGUUAGUUGCCCUGCCUCUGUAGUUUUACCAGGAAUGGGGGGUAAAACUGGAAUUCCUGGAAUUCCUGGAAGUCCUGGAAGGGGAGGGAGAGGAGGAAGUAGUGGCAAUGGUGGAAGAUAAGGGAGUGUAGGAAGAGAUGGAAGAUCAGGUAUUGUGGGGUUUUGAGUUGGUGGUGGAAAUGUGAGCUCAUCAGUUGGAGGAAAUGAGAAUUUCCGAGAACUGAAUUCCUUGGAGUUUUGAAUGCUUGGUUUUUGGUUACAUAGGCUUGGCUGCUUUAGAGGCUUAAAGGUGAAGAACCCAGCUGAGAAAAUGUGUGUUCCUUGCUUUCUUGACUUGAGAUGCAGUGAAGAUGAAGUGGCUAUUGAGGCCACAGCACAAUAUGGUUCACUGCUGCUGAUUAAUUUCACAGAACACCCUUCAAUUUUCUUGACAUGCUUGCUCACAGAGAAAGGCAGAUGAACUCUGAACACUCCAUGGCUAUCUGUUUUCACUUCUGUCUGGAAACUUGGUUUUGAACUCCCAUCUUUGCAUUCAACACCAACAGAAGCCCCUGCAGAAAAAAUAAGUUGAAAAAUAAGUCAACUGAACGCAAAAUUCACAGUAUAAAAAGCACUUUUUAAUUGAGUUGUUGUUGGAAAAUUUGAAAUGAACCUGAAAUGAAGUGGCUGGCAUGUGAGAAUUCUGCUUGGAAACAUGUGUCACAGUAGACAGUGCCUACAACAACUGCAGAUGGGGUCUUCUUCUCAUGGCUAGCUUCUGAGGGAGUACUUAGUGAGAGAGUACUGAUCAAAAAGAGUACUGUAAAAAACCAAGACAUUUUAGAGCAUCUAUUGCCUCUGAGCAACUCUAACUCUAAGAAUGAGUAGAUGUAGGUUGCCUUUUUAUAUAAAUUCCUGAGGCUUAUAGCUGAUAUAAAUAUUCUCUACAGCAUUCAUUAUACACUUUUUUUGUUUCUUUCUGGUUGUUUCGAGGCAUAAAAAAUGAACUUUUUUCUUCAAAUUUUAUAGCCUGCUGGGCCAUCAAGGUAAUUUAUUUCACUCAUGCAAAAACCAGUCAACUGCAAACUAGAAGAAGUGAAUGUAGGUUCAUUUCCUACCACCAAACAACCCAAAAAAGAAGGUUAAUACUGUGAUUGUGAGGUAGAUAUAAAGAGGCCCCUAACUUUUGCUUUGUUUGCUUACAUUUAUUGAGUUUGUUUCUUUGUUUGGUGUAAGAAUUCUAAAGAGAAUAGUUGGGUCCCCGUUGGUUCACGAGACAAGUGGAGUAACCACAAAUUUCAUGAGUCCGAAGCUGUACACUAUCAACAACACAGGUUGAAGAUGUUGUUGGGUUUAUUUAUGUAUGUUCUUCACACAGAAACAAAAUGAUGGGCGCCUACUAUGAGCUGCUCUCAGUAAUAUAUAUCUGUGCAAAUUGAAAAACUCCCCAAGUACCAAACAAAGUUUACAACUCAAUGUAUGGAUCAGAAUCUUAUUAAUAAGGCUUUUUGGUUCAGAAUGUUAUGAUAAUCAUUAGAUUCAUUUAUUACAAUUUGCUUUAAAUUUUCUAAUUGUUUUUAACAAGUCUUUUCAGUGCAGGUGAUCCAUAAAUAGGUAAAGUAAACAGUCAAGUGAUUGCAACCGAAGAGUCUUUUCCUCAGUCUUUUGACACAAAGUUUUCUGACAAAAAAUAAAUAAAUAAAAUUUAGAUUUUAGCAACAAAAAAAUUUUCACUUUUGAAAAAAUCUAAAAAAAUUUCGAAAAAGACAUAAAAACUCCUUAACUUUCAAACCAAAAGACAUGCAAAUAUAAAUGAUUCCUUUGGAAAUCCAAAAAUAAUAAGGGCAUUUUUGUCUAUUUUUGCUUAUUUUCAAAAUAUUUCUCUCUAUUUUGGCAUUUUCCAAAAUAUCCCCAAAAAAAAACGACAAAGUUUAGACAUCAUCAGCAAUUAUAAGUCACUUGAGCACAGAUGUAUAUUCAAUAAUUGGUUUGGUUCAAAAACUACCAAUCUACAUAGUACAAUGAUUGUGGGACUGAUUAUUGGGAAUUUGUGAGACUUAUUUUAGCAGAAAAUGGACAAUGCAUAUGGCAUGCAAUGAUCCAAACUCAAAACAAAGAAGCUACGACUUCCAAGUAUUUGAGCAAUUUCAAGCCAACUCAGAAAUCUCUGUACUCUGUAGGCUUAUAAGACACUCUCCCAUGUGUUGAUGUUGCAUACAGAUUCCCUUUGCAUCAAUAUCCUUCCAUUCCAACAGUCUGUUUUUUUUUUUUUCUUUUUUAAAUUCAAUUUUCCACAUUUUUUACUGUCCGUCAAAUGCAUAGCAUUUUGGGUGAAAAAGAAAAACAAGAACUUCUACUACUGACAAAAGAGACACCAGUCACACCACAGAGGCACAAACUCCAGAAUUAUGAUAAUUACAUCCUGCAUUGGAAAUUGACAGAUUGUCUUCACGUUCCCCACAGUUUUGCAUUGAGCUGCUAACAAUCCCACAAACUUGCACCGUUUCAUUCUUUGUCCGUGGGCCACAAUUUUUGACAAAUUUGACAAUCUAAUAAGGCGGUUCCUGACAAUCCAAGGUUAUCUCCAUGACAACCACAAGCCACUGUUUCACUGUUAUCUUGUGAGGAAAUUGAAAUGUAACACCAAAUUUUCUUUUACACAGUGCAAGAGAUAAUGCAUGUUAAAAGUUAAAAAAACAAAAGGGGGAUGUUUUUGUCUAAUUCUAUGAUGUACAAAACAUCUCUUUGUCCUUCACGGGUUCCAAAACACAAUGUCACCUCUUCACUUCACGGGCGACCUUAAGCCUGUGGGCUGAGGGCCUUCGUGUCUGCUUGUUGAAUGUGGAGUUUUUCAGCCGAUGGAUACCAUUCCCAAAUGGAUACGUCAAGCUUGAAACAUACGAUGAGAUUCUUGAUUAGAUCCUUGAUGGCUUGUCCAUUAUUAUUGAAUUGAAACAACAAAGUUUGAUUGGUAACAAGGUUUGCCAACUCGAAGGGUAAGAUUGUAGCCAAUCAACUAAACUUUUUAGUGUCAGGUGCAUCCACUGAAUGUAAGGUCUCAUAUUUGAUUUACAUAAAUACAAAGAUGAUAUUUAUUUGUGACGGGUGUAUAGCUUUGUUGUGGGUACGCUUCUCAUUGUAAAAGUAUAUUUGUAAUAACAUCAGUAAUUUUUUCUUUUGUAUUAAAUAACAUUAGACACCUCAUUCAUGCAGGGAAGUUCUUUUAUCACAUUGAAUGUAUAAUGUAUAGCAGCAAUUUUCAUCCGUACAAUAAUGUAAUCAUCAGCAUGUGAUAUUUCUGUUUGUUCUUCUAUCUGAGUUUGUAUUUAUUCCAGUCUGAAUGCUUGAUAUGGAGAAAGAAAGUACUUGAUGAGCCAUCUGUCCAUGAAAUCAUUGGUUUCUAAAACAGCAUAAUAUUUGUAGAACAAAACCAUAGAUUAAAUUGUUAGAUUUCUUUAUGCACAAACAAGAUCUUUCACACAAAACUGUAAUACGUAUAAAGACAUGAAGACAUAUCUGGAGCCAUUUUCCUUGAGUACACAGCUUCUAAACUCAUCCAAUCCGUAGCAGCAGCAAUCCUAGCAAGAAUAGGAAUGGCUCAAGACUUCUGCUCUCUCUCAGAAUCUGUUUCAGCUCUCUCUUUAUAAUGAGAAUAGGUUUAAAGAACGUGUCUGAUGAGAGCAGGGCCUUAAGCUUAUAUAGGGCUAGGUCAAGUCGUCUCUAUUCAUCACCUAGGGCUGACUUGACUAAUCUUCCAAGUCCACCAGAUUGGUUCACGCAUAAAUGGAAAUAAAUAGGACCCCUUAAUAGGCCUCAAAACCCUUCCUUAUUUCACUAAGUUUUGGGCCUCAAUGUACAACUUAAUUUAAACUUUUAUUAAAAUAUAAUAUAACUUAGUAUCUAGUACACCGAUCUAAAUAGGAAAACAUAACAUAAAUAAACCCAGCUGCAAGUUUGUAUAUUGGACUGGAGUGGUACCAUUUGCAGAACAAAACAAUGUGAUACAGCGCAAACUAUAUUGGCCAGUUUGCAGAUUCGAAGAAAUAAUGCAAAAUAAUCACAACCAUCAUCUGUAUGCAAAAACAAAAAAACAAAAACAAAAAAAAAACAAAAACAAAAAAAACAAAAAAAAAAAAAAAAAAGAAGAAGAAAGAAAGAACAAUCAACGAUGCUUGUCAUAAAAAACAACUGCAGAUGGGUGCUUCUUCUCAUGGCUAGCUUCAUGAGGGAGUACUUAGUGAGAGAGUACUGAUAAAAAAGAGAACUGUAAAAAACCAAGACAUUUUAAAGCUUCUAUUGCCUCUGAGCAACUCUAACUCUAAGAAUGGGUUGAUGUAGGUUGCCUUUUAUAUCAAUUGCUGAGGCUUAUAACUAAAAACUAAUAUAAAUAUUCUCCACAGCAAUCAUUAUAAUUUUGUUUCUUUCUGGUUGUUUUGAGGAAUGAAAAAUGAACUUUUAGUUUUUUUUUUUCUUUCAAAUUUUAUAGCCUUGCCCAUCAAUAGUUUCUUUAUUUCACUCAUGCAAAAACCAGUCAACUGCAAACUAGAAGAAGUGAAUGUAGGUUCAUUUCCUACCACCAAACAAUCCAAAAAUAAGGUAAAUAUUGUGAUUGUGACUGUGAGGUAGAUAAAAAGAGGCCCCUUAAUUUUUGCUUUGCUGGUUAUUUGUCUACUUAAAUUUAUUGAGUUUGUUUCUUUGUUGGCGUAAAUACUAAAGAGAAUAGUUGGUUCACAAGACAAGUGGGGUAACCACAAAAUUUCAUGAGUCUGAAGCGUUACACUAUCAACAACGUUGAAGAUGUUGUGUUUAUUUAUGUAUGUGCUUCACACAGAACCAAAAUGAUGGGGGCCUAUUAUAUUGGUUAGAAGUACAAAUAUAUAUCAUCUCUAUAAAAAAAUCACUUGAAUCCGAUAUCAUUUGACCACUCAAUUAAAUUAUUGAAAUUUAAGUACUUUCUUGAAGCACCAUGUUCAUUGAUUUUCUUGGUCUCAAUUAGAUGUCUUAAUGAUUUUCAAUUUGCGUGAUUUUUUGCAAGGAUGAUCUCUGAAUGAAGAUGUGAAAAAUAGAUCGUUUGGAUCGUUGAAAAAAAUUUCGCAGAGAAUCCUACACCCUCAAAAUAAAAUUAUUUGAGAAAUCCCUCAAUAGAAGGGGACUAUAUAAUCUGUGAAAAUUGAAAAACUCCCAAGUCCGAAACAAAGUUUACAACUUUCCAUGGUGUCAGAAUAUGUGGUUUGAGCAGAGCACGGGAUCUUCUCGUGACCUAAUGUGGCAUAUUAAUAGGGUUUUUGCUUGGAUUAAAAUAAUAGCAAUGUGAGACCUCCAAAUCUCAUGGAGGUUUUCUACUUCUAUGAGCAUAGAACAACCCCUGAAUCAUUAGAUUCAUCUAUUGCAAUUUGCUCUAAAAUUUCUAACUGUUUUUAACUGCAUAAAAAACAAGACUUUUUGUGCAGGUAGUCCAUAAAUAGGUAAAGUAAUUCCGGCCAAAUUAAAAGUGUCAUGUGAUUACAACCAAAGAGCCUUUUCGUCAGUUAUUUGGCACAAAGUUUAGAACCUUGUAUCACCACUAUCAGUAAUUAUGAGUAAUUUGAGCACAGCUGGGACAACAAUAAAACAAUGUAUAUUCAAUAAUGCAUCAGUGACAAUUGACUGCUAUGGAUAAUGGGUUUGGUGAAAUAAAAAACUACCAAUAUACUACAUACAACAAUGAUUUUGGGAUUUGAUUAUUUGGAAUUUGAGAGACUUACAUUUAGCAGAAAAUGCACAAGCAUAUGUGCGUUUACCCUAAACAUGUUCAAACCUCAGAGAUAGGCUUUAGAUUGUGUGAAUUGUGAACGUGCCACUAUUAGUGGUGUAAAACCCUAAUAGACUUGAAAGAGAAUUAAGUAACUUGCGCACCAAGAAAACUCACUGAAAUCAAAUAAUUGUGAAUUGAAAUGGUAAACUAAAUCAAAGUUUCUUUUCCAUGCCUCAAGACAAAUGACAACUUUAUAAUUUCUCUAAAACAAUAAGGGUAAUAAACAACAAAUAAACAAGUAAACAAAAGGGAUCCAGAUCAAGGGAUCUUAUUAGAUAAUAAAUUGCCACCACCUUGGAUCACUUCUGAUUGAAUUCAGAGGUUAAGGGUCUAGUGGCAAUAGCAGUAGUAUAUCACAUCACCUUCAAUUGAUGAAGAUCAAUUGGAAAUCGAUACCAGAGACAGAUCUGGCAGAGCAAUUAUCAAGAAAGAUAUAGCAUUUGAGAAGGAAUUAGGGUUUGUACUGAAUUUAUUGUUGAAAAGUUGUGUUUGUUAUCGUGAGCUAUCUAUUCCCUUUUAUAUGAAUUUUGACUUGGUGGAGAGAGAUUACAACCUAUGUCAUGCCAUCAUGAGGAUCAAAUCAUAAUCCAUUGGAAUUAAUUAUUUAGUUGAUUGCCUUAAUCGUCAAGUAAUAUCAUGAUUUCUCCUUGAUUUUCUAGGUAAUUAUCAAUUAAUAGAUAAUUCCCUUUCCCAGCCACUUAAACUGGCCCAAGGAAUCUUAACCGGAUUGCAAUACUAAAAUCCCCCCCAAAUUGGCUUAAAUCUCAUCUGUAUAAAAACUAGGCCUAAACAUUACCCCAUAAGCCCAAUAGACUUGAUUAGAGGGAUUUGGGGUUACAUGCAUGAGCGUGACACCAUGCGUCGUUUUCAUUUCAAUCACUUCAAUCGCGCCAUUUUGACUUCUACUUUAGUCUUUCGAACCUUUCUAUCUUCUUCUCACUACGAAGCCUAGAGAUUCUUAGCGAUUAUCGAUACCUUCAACUUUUCCAAACUUUUGUUACCGAAAGUCUCAAGUUUCACCACCCCCUAACCAAUUCUCGUUUCAGAAACCAUUUCUUUGUCUCAAUGGCCACCUCUGACUCCAACGUCCCAAAGCCUAUCUCUGAAAAAUAUGCUAUUAUAUAUGCAUGCCCAAGACAUUUGUGCAUAAUUGGGUAAAGUUGCUGAUGAUGGUCCAACGCUCGUACAAUUUAACUGAGCGUCCAGACUUCAACACUGGGUCCAUAAAGAACAGUCUACUGCAAAGGUUUGAGUGGAUUGGCGAUCUUCAUGACCAGUAUCCGGAGCUUUGGGAAAAGCAUCGCAUUUACGAUGCCAUUAUGCUUUUUCGUUUUGACACUUCGAGGGGUAUUUGUUCUCAACAUAUGCAGGGGAUCUUUCUCAAGCACAUGAGAAAGUCUACUCAUUAGAUCAUUUUAGUAGCAAUAAUAUUGUAGGGCUUUUUCGUUCUGGCAGCUAUAGAUUAGUCUGGGCUACUGUAAAGAGUAAAUUGGAGAAAACUCCCCAUGUGUCUAAGUUCAAGAAUAAGACCCCAAAAGUGCUUCGAAAGGGUAGCUAAGCCUUAGAAAACACCUUGGUCUUCUUCACCAAUGAAACCAACAGUUGCUUACAAAUAAAUGCUUGGCUUGGCUUGAGAAGCUUGUGGCAUGGAAGCUAAGCAUUCAUGAGUUUAGCAAGAGAGAGAGAGAGAGAGAGAGAGAGAGACCAUAUUUUCUACGAGAAACACAGGUUUAAAGCAAAGGAUUUCAUGAGAAUUUGCUGAGGAGACAAGAUUUUUGGGAGCUCAAAAGUCUUCUUGCAACUGUUCCAGUGGUAACCUCUCAUCUAUGGUUAUCACUUCUCCUUCUUUCCUCCCAUAUUUCAUGGCAAGAGCUGAUAAAGGAAGAAAAUAGAUAGCAACGUUGGUCUGAAGGAUGUCUUUUCUCCUAGCAACCUGCUGGCGCUAAUACCCUUUGGUCAUUUGAAUGGUUUGUCUUGAGGUUUGCACCUGGUCACGUGCUAGAGCCUCACAGCAGCCUACAUAUGUGAGUCAUUCCUUGGCUUUUUGUUGUGGUUUUGUCUCCAACCAUGUGCUGGAGACUUUCAAAUAUUUUUUUUGAUCAUUUGGGCCUUCCUAAGGUAAUGGGUUUGUCUACUAGGGAAUGGGCCAACUUCACAAAGUGAUAGACUACUUUUAUUAAGGUGAUGGGUCAAUUUUCUAAAGUGGUGGGCUCUCUUUUUCUCUCAUUUAUGCUUACCCAGAUAUUUGGACUCAAGAAAUGGGCUCGAGUUUUGGGGCUCCCAAGCAAUCUAAAACUUCAAUUUCUCGGCUCAUCAAUGGGCCUCAUGAAUGCUCGUUACCAUCCAUACUACAACCCACUCAGCAAGCCCCGAACAUUUGCAUGGCUUGGGCCUACUUAAGCUUAUAGCAUGGCUAUGUGUAAUAAUGAUUUUCUGCUUGGCAUUGCAUGUUGAUUGGCGUGCCUGAAUUUUAUCGUCUUUGAAAAGGGAUAUGAUGCUUGACGGGAGAAUUAGCAUGGGCUUGUAGAGCUAGUGCCUUUUAUGGGCUCAUUUCAAUUCUUAGCGUGACGGAUUGCAUAUUUAUUUCGCAUGGCACGUGGAUCGUGGCUCUUGCAAGCAUGCAUGACGAAUUUCGCAUACUCCAAACCGAGUCUCUUCUUAAUUAGGUGUCGCACUGGACCAGGAAUUUAUUUGGACCUCAAGUUACAUACACGAUUUUUUUUUUCUUCACAUGGGUCAUUUUAGUAGUUGUGAUAACUUAAUAGUAUAUCUUCCUAUGUUAAAAUUAUAUACAUGGGAUUUUUCUCAUGCGCGUGAGAGAUUUAGGUCCCAUAUCAUUUUAUUGUGAACUCUUUAUUGAAUAUCCUCCCAUUCGCAAUUUAUGCGCAUUUUCUCAAGCUCAUGAAAGAUUCUGGUGAUUAGAUUACUUAAUGGAACAAUGAACUUAUGAUAACAUUUGUCAUGCAUAUACAUGCGCGCAUGAGAGUAUUGUCAUAGUAUCUAUACAUGCCCCAUUCUUAUCAUCUUCUCUGCUUGAUCUGGAAAUAUUAUCUAUGAUUCGCUAACACGACACGAAUUCACAAGAAAAAAUCAAUAUUUGGGUUUAGCUUGGACUCGUUAGCCACCCAUUAAGCUAAUAGGUCAUAUCAGUAUCAUUCACGAAUAUUCGCUAACGGGUUGUGUUGGUCAUUCACGAAUUUAAACAGGUCAUGUCCGUGUUUGGUAUUUUCCACCCGUUAACUUAACGGGUCGUGUUCAUAUCAACUCGUUAAGAAAGUGGGUCAACACAAACACAACAAUAUAUUUGGUCCAAGUGCUAUGGGUAUAGCAAUGCUGCAUUGAUCCUAAGCUUUUUUAUUUUUUGUUUGGACGGAUGAUGCUAAGCUUAAUGAGUGCAAUAUAUUUUGCUAAAUAUAUAUGAGCUCAAGAAACUCCGAAUUAUGGUGCAGCACCCAACACCUUUAGAACAUUACAAAAGGGACCAACAAAGCUUAACAAGCCUCAUGAAACACUGUGACUGCAAACAAAUCAACUGGGUCAUUUAGGCCCAGUCCCCAAACAAAGUUCUUUCCCUAAUCAUAUUUACGAAUGGAAGUUGAAAGUUGAAGCCACUCAUUUAUUUCACAUGCAAUUUAAUUUGUGCUCUCAUAUUAAUUAUUUAAGCACUAAUUUUAUGCGCAUUUGGUAUUUGAGGUUGAUAAUUUAGUGGUGCUGAUGGACAAGUCUUAACUGUGUGUGUGUUUUGCAGAAGUACAGGCUCAACAGCAGGGGCGCCCAACCAGCAGCUUCUGCCAACAGUUCGCAGAGGGCAGCCCUGUUUUACUACAGGGACAUGUGGAACCCUAGCGCUUCUGAGCAGUCAAACUCUCGGCAGCAGCAGCUCGAAAGUGCAAGGAAUGGUGGAGAUGGCUCUUCAGUUGGUGGCUCUAGCAGAACCAGAAUUGAAAAAAUCAAAGAGUUAGGUUAGAUGAUGUUUAGUUAUGCAUCUGCUGAGAUUUUGCAUAUGUGUAUAUGAGGGCAUGUAUAGCAAAAGAUUAGGAUUCAGGAAAUAAUCAGAACCUGAAAGUUGUUUAUAAUUUCUUCUUUCUUUUUUGGGUCUCAAAAGUUGUUUAAUUUCAUGUUGAAUUGUAGCUGUGAUGCAUUUUUUGUUUUUGUUUUUGCUUUUUGGGUUUCAAUUUCUGCCCAAAUUGGUGCAGUUUAAGUUCUAAAAUUUCCAUUUUCAUGGACUUGUGUUUCCCAAGCAAACUGGUCUAAGAAGAACAAUUCAAUUUUAGCAUGAAGAAGCAAUUUUUUCUUCUUCUUCUCGAAGGGUCUUUUUGAUUGGACAAUGUUGAAAUGCAGCUCCAAAUUCAGCAAUUCAGGUAUAAUUCUACAGAGGGAGUUCAUAAUUAAUGCAAACAGUGGCACAAAAUCUCAGAAUAUAUUGGGAUUUUUUACUAAGUAAAUGAAGUCUGUCAGAUGAUGAGAGAACCAUAGCUUUAUUCCAAGUACAAUAACUUACAUACUCCUUACAAAGUACAAACUUACAAGCCCUACUACAUAUGCUUCUGAUAAUUGCACACCCCAUACAAACUUAACAUGAUUUAUUUAGUUAAUGAUUUCAGUUUAAUAUCAAGGAGAAGUAGUUUGCUUUGAAGAAGCCCGUGGGAUUCCAGGAAUGCGAGAUGUUGGUGGUGAUGGAUUUGGAGGCAAACUUGUUUUUGGAAUUUGUGGUGUUGUGAAGGAAGUAUCUGGGCGAGCUACUUUUUUAUCAUUUAGUUGCCCUGCCUUUCCUAGUCCUGGAAGUCCAGGAAGUCCUGGGAGUCCUGGAAGUCCCGGAAGUCCUGGAAGUCCCGGAAGUCCUGGAAGUCCCGGCAGUCCCGGAAGUCCUGGCAGUCCCGGAAGUCCUAAUAAUUUUUUGUCAGUUAGUUGCCCUCCCUUUGUAUUUUUACCAGUAAAGGGGGUUAAUUGUGGAAUUCCUGGAAGUCCUGGGAGUCCUGGAAGUCCUGUUCCUGGGAGUCCUGGAAGUCCUACUUUUUUAUCAGUUAGUUGCCCUGCCUUCGUAGUUUUACCAGGAAAGGGGGAUGUAACUGGAAUUCCUGGAAAUGAAGAUUUCUGAGAACUGAAUUCCUUGGAGUUUGGAAUGCUUGGUUUUUGGUUACAGAGGCUUGGCUGCUUUAGAGGCUUGAAGGUGAAGAAACCAGCUGAGAAUAUAUAUGUUCCUUGCUCACUUGACUUGAGAUGCAGUGAAGAUGAAGUGGCUGUUGAGGACACAGCACAAUAUGGUUCACUGCUGCUGAUUAAUUUCACAGAACACCCUUCAAUUUUCUUGACACGCUUGCUCACAGAGAAAGGCAAAUGGACUCUGAACACUCCAUGGCUAUCUGUUUUCACUUCUGUCUGGAAACUUGGUUUUGAACUCCCAUCUUUGCAUUCUACACCAACAGAAGCCCCUGCAGAAAAAUAAGUUGAAAUUAAGUUAACUGAACCCAAAAUUCACAAUAUAAAAAGCACUUUUGAUUGAGUUGUAGGAAAUUUGAAAUGAACCUGAAAUGAAGUGGCUGGCAUGUGAGAAUUCGGCUUGGAAACAUGUGUCACAGUAGACAGUGCCUACAACAACUGCAGAUGGGGGCUUCUUCUCAUGGCUAGCUUCUGAGGGAGUAGUCAAUGAGAGAGAACUGAUCAAAAAGAGUAGUGUAAAAAACCAAGACAUGUUAGAGCCUCUAUUGCCUCUGAGCAACUCUAAUAUUCUUGACUCUGAGAAUGAGUUGAUCUAGGCUGCCUUUUAUAUCAAUUGCUGAGGCUUAUAACGAAUAUAAAUACUCUCUACAGUAUUCACUAUACACUUUCUGAAAAAUGAAACUUUUUCUUCAAAUUUUACGACAUGACGCAUUAAGCUUCUUUAUUUCACCCAUGCAAAAAGCCAGUCAACCGCAAACUAGAAGAAGUGAAUGUAGGUUCAUAUCCUACCACCAAACAAUCCAAAAAGAAGGUUAAUAUUGUGAUGGAGAGGUAGAUAAGAAGAAAUAUUUGCUUUGCUGGUUCUUUGUUUACUUACAUUUAUUGAGUUUGUUUCUUUGUUAGUGGUGUUGAGUUGUGGAGAUACAAUUCAACUAGGAAAAGGAUGUGUUUCCUUUUGUUUGGUUUUCUUCUUGGUUUUAGAUUGGCAAAGAGUCACUUUUGGUUCAUGUGGUUUAUCACUUUAUCACUAAAAUCCCUGUGGUUUCAAUUUGAUCACUUUUGCCCGUGUGCUUUCAAUUUGAAACAAUUCAAGGACAAUUCUCAACUUAUGUCAAGUUUUCGUUAACUUCAGAUAUUUGUGGAGGGGCAAUUUGGUCUACAAAUUAUUUAAAAAAUUCAUUCCUUUUAAAAAUAAAAUAUUAAAAACCAAUAAAUAAAUAAAACAAGAAGAACAGCCAAAUACAUAGUAUGGUAACCCAAAUACGCCCUCGAAUACAUGGUGAGCACAGCCAAAGCCCAAGGCAAAAAAUUCACAGCCAACUUGUUCUUUGUGUCCCAGAGUCCAAUCCCUUUAUACGUUAAGAGGGUGAAGUAGAUAUAUAGCAAAGAAGAACAUGUACUGAGAGUGGCUCGAAGGCCAUCCAUGCAAAAUCACACAAGCUCAAGAAACACUGAGUUUCUUUAUUUGGGAAGAAACCUAAAGGCAUGGAACAAAAGGAAUGAGAUGAAGACAACUGUUGAAUUGAUGGCAACUCUAUCCAGGAUGUAUGAGAAGCCAUGUGCGAUGCGACAAUUGUAUUUGAUGAAGUGCUCAUUUAAACUGAAGAUUUGACCGAGUCAUUUGAGAAGAUUUGACCCUUAAAAUUGAUUUUUUUUUGCAUUUAUCUCGAGUUUUAUGUCUCAUUACGACUCAAACAAGCUCGUCAUUACAACUUAAAGGAUCUUAUAGUAAUUGGUUGAUCCUAUUUCAAAAUAAAACUAAGUUAUUUGAUAAGAUUUGACCCCUAAAAUUGAUGCUUAGCAAAGGCAAUUGAAAAAUAGAUAAUUUUUUUUUUGUUAGAAAUAUAUAUAUGUGAAAAUUGAAAAACUCCCAAGCCCAAACAAAGUUUACAACUUUCCAUGGUGUCAGAAUAUAUAUGUUGUUUGAGCAGAGCAUGGCAUCUUCUCAAGACCUAAUGUGGCAUAUUAAUACCCUAAUAAGGGUUUAUUUUAAUUUAAUAUCCCAAAUUUUUACUCUUAAGGCAUGUUUGUUCCUACACUCUUAAUUUUAAUGAUUACAUACCCUAAGCUUUUGAAUUUUGCAAUCUAGUUCCGACAUUAACUUCCCUAUCAAAAUUUUUGUUAAUUGCUUGCAUGGCAAGCGUGGAUCUCACCUAUUCGCUUAUUUCGAUGUCAGUUGAAGAGUGUUUUCGGGUAAUUGGUGUCUUCCCGCCCAUGAAGAACACAUUACAUGCACUAAUACCAAACCAUUUUUGAACAAAUACUGGAAAAUACCCUUCAACUAACAUUCAAAUGAGUGAAUAGGUGGAACCUAGGAUUGCCACGCAAGCAAUUAACGAAAAUUUUGACGGUGAAGUUAACGACGGAUCUAGAUUGCAAAAAAUUGAAAAACUUAGAGUAUGUAAUUGUUAAAAUUGAGAGUGCAUGAGUAAACGUAGCUUUAGGAUAAAAGUUCAGAGUAGUAAAUUGAAAUUAACCAUAUUAAUAAGGCUUGUGUUAAAGUAAUAGCAAUGUGAGACCUCCAAAUCUCAGGGAGGUCUUCUAGUUCUAUGAGGACACUCCCCUGAAUCCAUGAAUAGGUAAAGUAAUUCCGGCCAAAUUAAAGAGUCAUGUGACUGCAACCAAAGAGUCUUUUCCUCAGUUGUUGACAGUCUAGAAAAUUUGCAUCAUCUCAUCAGCAAACAGAUGAACAUUCAAUAAUUCAUCAGUGAAAAUUGGGAGCUAUAAUAAUGCGUUUGGUUCAAAAAGUACCAAUCUACAUAGAACAAUGAUCUUGGGAUUUGAUAUUUGGAAUUUGGAAGACUUAUUUUAGCUGAAAAUGGACAAGCAUACGCAUCCAAUGAUCCAGACCUGAAACAAAAAGAAGCUACAACUUCCAAGUAUUUGAGCGCUUUCCAGCCAACUAAGGAAUCUCUGUACUCUGUACGCUCAUAAGAUAAGACACUCCCAUGUGUUGAUGUUGCAUCCAGAUUCCUUUUGCAGCAAUGUAUAUGUCCUUCCAUCCCAACAGUCUGUUUUUUUUUUUUUUCCUUUCUUUCUUUAAUUCAAUUUUCAACAGUUUUUACUGUCCAGCUGCAUAGCAUCUUGGGUGAAAAAGAGAAAAUAAAAUUAACUUCUACUGACAAAAGAUACACCAGUCACACCACAAAACAAAGGCACAAACUCCAGAUUAAGAUAAUUAGAUCUUGACAGAUUGCCUUCACCAAUUGAUUACCUUGUGACCAAGGCAAUCCCACAAACUUACACCGUUUCAUUCUUUGUCCGUGGGCCACAAUUUUUGACAAAUUUGACAAUCUAAUAAGGUGGUUACUGACGGUUCAAGGUUAUCUUGUGAGGGAAUUGAAAUGUAACACCAAAUUUUCUUUUACGCAGUGCAAGAGAUAAUGCAUGUUAAAAGUUAAAAAAAAAUGAUUGUUUUUUCGAAUUCUAUGAUGUAGGUUUUGCCCUAGGGUUUAGGGUUCCAAAAAACCUGUCAUGUCUACACUUCACGGGCGAGCUUAAGCCUGACGAGUGUCGACAGGACUUUCAUGGCUGCUUGUUGAAUGUUCUAUAGUGGAGUUUGCCAGCUGAUGGAUACCAAUUCCCAAAGCUUGAAACAUAAGAUAACAUUGUUUAUUAGAUUUUAUUUUUAAUAUCUGGUUCAUUAUUAUUGAAACAAUAAUAAUCCUUAGUUUAGAUAGGUAAAUUAUCCCAAACAAGGUUGCCGACUCAAACGUUAAAAUUGUAGCCGAUGAACUAGACUUUAGUUUAGCGUUAGGUGUAUCUCUUGAGUGUGAGGUGGACAUUAAUUUGACCGAACUAAUGAAAUCGACUAAAUCAAACUGUAAUAUUGGUUUGGUUUUAAUUAAGAAAAAGUUAAAUUGUUUAAAAAUCAAACCAGAUCGUGUAUGGUUUGAUUUUGUUUGAUUUUGAACUCUUAUAAACCGACCUAAAUCAAAUCAGACUGUUUAUGUGUAUAUUUAUUUACUUAGAUUUUACAUGUGUAAACUCUAAUUAGAUAAUACCUAUAUAGUUAUUGAAAUUUGAAGUUUUAUGUCAUCUGUCCAUCAAGUACUUUCUUUCUCCAUAUGAGCGUUAUGAUUACAUAUGAAUUGAGUUAUAUUAGUUAUUAAAAUUUGAAGUUUUAUGGCAUUGAAAUUCCCAAAUGGAUAUGCCAAGCUUGAAACAUAAGAUAACAUUGUUUAUUAGAUUUUAUCUUUGAUGUCUAGUCCAUUAUUAUUGAAACAAUAAUAAUCCUUUGUUUAGAUAUGUAAACUAUCCCAAACAAGGUUGCUGACUCAAUCGUUAAGAUUGUAGCCGAUGAACUAGACUUUGGUUUAGUGUUAGGUGUAUCCAUUGAGGUAAGGUGAGCAUCAAUCCAGCCGAACUGAUAAAACCGACUGAAUCAAACUGUAAUUAGCCAUUUGGUUUUGUUUUGAUCAAGAAAAAGUUAAAUGAAAUCAAACCGAAUCGUAUAUGGUUUGUUUGGUUUUGUUUUGAACUUUUGUAAACUGACAUAAACCAAACCGAGCUGUUUAUGUGUAUAUUUAUUUACUUAUAUUUUACAUGUGUAAUACUCUAAUUAGGUAAUACCUAUAGUUAUUGAAAUUUGUUGUAUUAGUUAUUGAAAUGUGAAGUUUUAUGUCAUCUGUCCAUCAAGUACUUUCUUUCUCCAUAUGAGCAUUAUGAUUACAUGUGAAUUGAGUUAUAUUAGUUAUUAAAAUUCGAAAUUUUGAUGGCAUUGAAAUUCCCAAAUGGAUAUGCCAAGCUUGAAACAUAAGAUAACAUUGUUUAUUAGAUUUUAUCUUUGAUGUCUGGUCCAUUAUUAUAGAAACAAUAAUAAUCCAUAGUUUAGAUAUGUAAACUAUCUCAAACAAGGUUGCUGACUCAAUCGUUAAGAUUGUAGCCGAUGAACUAGACUUUGGUUUAGUGUUAGGUGUAUCUAUUGAGGUAAGGUGAGCAUCAAUCCAGCCGAACUGAUAAAACCGACUGAAUCAAACUGUAAUUAGCCAUUUUGUUUUGUUUUGAUCAAGAAAAAGUUAAAUGAAAUCAAACCGAAUCGUAUAUGGUUUGAUUUGGUUUUGUUUUGAACUUUUGUAAACUGACAUAAACCAAAUUGAGCUGUUUAUGUGUAUAUUUAUUUACUUAUAUUUUACAUGUGUAAUACUCUAAUUAGGUGAUACCUAUAGUUAUUGAAAUUUGUUAUAUUAGUUAUUGAAAUUUGAAGUUUUAUGUCAUCUGUCCAUCAAGUACUUUAUUUCUCCGUAUGAGCAUUAUGAUUACAUGUGAAUUGAGCUAUAUUAGUUAUUAAAAUUCGAAAUUUUAUGGCAUUGAAAUUCCCAAAUGGAUAUGCCAAGCUUGAAACAUAAGAUAACAUUGUUUAUUAGAUUUUAUCUUUGACGUCUGGUCCAUUAUUAUUGAAACAAUAAUAACCAAUAGUUUAGAUAGGUAAACUAUCCCAAACAAGGAUGCCGACUCAAACGUUAAGAUUAUAGCUGAUGAACUAGACUUUGGUUUAGUGUUUGGUGUAUUCAUUGACUGUAGGUGUGCAUCAGUCCUGCCGAACUAAUAAAACCAAUUGAAUCAAAUUGUAAUUAUCAGUUUAGUGUGUUUUUCAUUAAGAAAAAAGUAAUUUUAAAAAAAUCAAACCGGAUCAUAUAUGGUUUGAUUUGGUUUGGUUUCGAACUUUUGUAAACCAACUUAAACCAAACCAAACUGUUUAUUUGUAUUUUUAUUUACUUAUAUUUUACAUGUGUAAUACUCUAAUUAGGUAAUACCUAUAUAGUUAUUGAAAUUUGUUAUAUUAGUUAUUAAAAUUUGAAGUUUUAUGUCAUAUAUCCAUCAAGUACUUUCUUUCUCCAUAUUAGCAAUAUGAUUACAUGUGAAUUGAGUUAUAUUAGUUAUUGAAGUUUGAAGUUUUAUGGCAUGUUGAGCUUUAGGACGGUUUCGUACUCUAGAAAAUGAUUUAAAUAUGGAGCAAGUUGUGAAUUUAUUGGCUGUAAUUGGACUAACAAUAUUGAAAAAAUGCAAAAAAAAAAAGAGAUUUGGGCUUAGGCCCAAACUGGCCGAACCGUCUUAAAUUGGUUUGGAUUGAUUUAAUUUUCUUCAUGACUUUUGUCAAAAUCAAACCAAAACAAACCAUUAUAUUGUAAUUGGUUCAGUCGUGAUUUUGAGGUGAAACCGAUUUAAUCCAGAUCGUGCCCACCUUAAGUGUAAAGUCUCAUACGUGACUUACAUAAACACGAGGAUGAUAUAUAUUUGUGAUGAGUGCAUAGCUUCGUUGUGGGUAAAUUACCUGUCGUAAAAGUAUAUUUGUAAACAACAUUUUUAUUACACCCCAUUCAUGCAGGAAACAUUUUGAUCACAUUGAAUGUAUAAUGUACAUCAGCAAUUUUCAUAUAAUGUAAUCAUCAGCAUGUGAUAUUUCUGUUUGUUCUUCCAUCUGAUCUGAGUUUGUAUUUAUUCUAGUCUGCAUGCUCAUAUGGAGAAAGAAAGUACUUGAUGAGUCAUCUGUCCAUGCAAUUAUUGGUUUCUUGACCAGCAUAAUAAUAGUACCAAACAAUAGAUUAAACCCAACUGCAAGUUUGUAUAUUGCACUGGAGUGGCACCAUUUGCAGAACAAAACAAUGUGAUACAGCGCAAAAUAUAUUGAGAGAUCAGUUGCAAAUUCGAAGAAACAAUGCAAAAUAAUCACAAGCACCAUCUGCAUAUGCAUCUGUAUGAAAAAAGAAAAGAAAAAAAGAAAAAAAAAAGAACAGAAAGAACCAUCAACGAUGCUCGUCAUCAAGCUGCCCUUUCAUUCAAUAAGACCAAGUCACAUUCGGACUACAAAUGAAAUCUCUACAGUUCAAAUCACUCUUCCAUUUUCGGGGAUCAAUCAAUCCUCGAGGGAAUACCCACCAAAAAACCAAGCUACAAAGUUUAUGAUACAACACAUCCUUGCUAUUCUGUACAAAAAGUUAUUUGGAAAAGUUAAAAAAAUCUGGUCUUCCGGUAUAACAAACUUAAAAGCAACUAAAAUCAGGACCAGAUCCUUCCUGCCUGGCUACCCUCCUCUCUUCUCUUCUCCUCAAACCGUAAUAUAGAAGUGAUAUCCUCAGUAUAUGCUUCCAUUUGCUAACUGUACCCCGUACACGUAUUGCCUGCCGGUUAUGUUGGUUAUUUAUAUGGUCAUUGAAAUGGCAAAUGACAUGGGAAAACCAGGGAGAUCCCAAGAAAAUCUUGCUUCCCGAGUACUCGAAUAAUAUUCACAAGUGCUCUUGAUCAUAAAAUGCAAGGAGCUGCUUCACAUGAUUAUGCCAAGCAGCAACAUUUAAUCCAUCAACUAGGACCCAGUCAACAACAGUUGCUGCUGGUUGCUCCCACCAUUCAUCAAGCUGCAGAAACAUAUUGCAGUUCAGACAAUUAAAGAGUGCAAAGGCAAAACAAAACUAUUAAGAAUUUAUACAGCUAAAGUAGAAAGAUGAUGGUGGUCACUCACCAAUCCCCUAACAUAGUUGCAAUCCUCCAAGCACUUCUGAGCACUCAAAAUUGCAACCUUAAGUUCGGGCAACCAUUUCUCCAUGACAGUUUUCUCUUGCUCCGCAGCCAAAUUUAAGCAAUAACUUGUUGUCCUGCAAGGAGUAAAUAAAAAUUAAGAAAAGCACAUUCAUUACGAACAUUAACAUUUAAAAACAGAAAGUAGCAGAGCUAUGAGAGGCUUGAGUAUUGGCAGGAGAUUAGAAGAAAGAAAAAAAAAUGUAAAUGUAUUUAGAAUUUGGAUGAAAAAAAAAAAUUCAUAACAUCUAACAAAACAUAUGAAUCUCAAAAGAAAAAAGAAAAAAUCGCUCCAAUAGAAAGGCAUGGUUCUGUAGUCAAAGAAACUUUGUCAGUUACCCAUCGGACACAGAUAUUGGAAUUUUCCUCAUCUCUUGCUCAAAAUGGAAUUCCAGUUCAUAUUGUUUGACUAGGGUCUACUUACUGAAACUUUGGAGUUUGGAGGAUUACAUAAUCUAGAUUCCUGUUAAAACAAGGCCAAGAGAGGUUAUACCUUUCAUAUUCUUGUUGAGCUCUAUACGCAUGGUUCAACAACACAUGACCACUUUCAACAAGAUCCUGCCGUGUAUGGACCAAAUUGAUUGCCUUUGCUAAGUCCUCCAACACACUAGCCUCAGAACCACGAAGUUUCAAGCAGAACUCCAGGGACUCUAGGAUUGAUGCUAAAGCAGUAUCUGAACCCUCCAAACCUGUUCAUGUUAAAUAAGAUAUAAAAAAAGAAUUGAAAACACCCAUUAAGCGGGCACAAAAUGGCAUCCACAUAAUCCAAAAGUAAACAAUGAGAUAAUUAAAAAUACCAUAUGAAAAAAAACGCAUAUGGGAGCAUUUGUUAAACUCAAGCUAGACAAACUUGAAAUUAUGAAGCAAAUGUAGAAAGACAAACCGAUAGCUUUACAUUAUGGAGUUACAAGUGACAUGUAUGGAUAAUGAGAGAGCACAAUUUCAUGAUUCAUUAGACGCCAAUUUAAUUAGAGUUCUAUUUUCAUUCUCAAACCCAAACUCCUUCAUACCAGGAAAGAGUGGCUACAAAAGAUGAUUUCUUAUCAUGACACGCUAUUUCACCCACCACAGGGAAGAGAGAUCAAUUUUCAGUGUCCUACUUGGGAUUAAAAUUAAACAGAACAAAAAUCUUCCAGGCCAUCAUGUAACAGCAUCUCCACCCCAGCAGAAAAUCUAACCCUUCGGUGGACUUGUCCAAUUAAUUGCUAUACUGACGUUUUUUGUUUUUCUUGUAAGUGUAAUUGACAAACCAUUACAUACACAACUAAAAAAUGAAGGCAAAAGAGAUCUUCUGUUGCCAAUAGAGAGAAGCUUUCUGGCAGAAACUGGCCAGAUGGAGAGGAUCUAGUUCUCCCAAAACCAAGCCUCAAAUGGAGGCAGUGGCAUCUAAUCUUACACAUGCUUCUAAUGUUGUACCAGAUGACCGAAGACUCACCAGCAGGAUACUGAAGGGCAGCAGAUAUUCGACAUAUGGACGGUAUUGCUGAUGGAUCCCUGGCACCUGCUUUUGCAGUUAAUAUAGCAGCAUUCUUUUCUGCAGCUGCAACAGCUUCAGGUCCAGUAGACCCACUUGCACCCAUGGACUCCAGUAGUGCCUGAUAAAAAAUUCAUUAACAGUUAUAUACACAGAAGAAUGCAAAUGGGAUAACAAAAUCAAGGGUGGGAGUGCACUGAGGAUAAUUAAAUCAAGGGUACUUAGGUAGCUCCCCAGUGAAAGCAGUAUUUCCCUGGUGGUCUAAUCCUACUUUACCACCAGACUAGUCCAGUUCUGCUCAACAUAAAGCACCUCUUAAUUUGUUUUCCUUUAUGAGUAUACAAUUCGAAAUAUAGUGUAGGUUUAUUUUUACUUCUUUUUACUUCAUUAACAGUUAUAUACACAGAAGAGUGCAAAUGGGAUAACAAAAUCAAGGGUGGGAGUGCACUGAGGAUAAUUAAAUCAAGGGUACUUAGGUAGCUCCCCAGUGAAAGCAGUAUUUCCCUGGUGGUCUAAUCCUACUUUACCACCAGACUAGUCCAGUUCUGCUCAACAUAAAGCACCUCUUAAUUUGUUUUCCUUUAUGAGUAUACAAUUCGAAAUAUAGUGUAGGUUUCUUUUUACUUCUUUUGGGGCAAGCCCAAGCUUGACAUUCAAACUUCAAGAUCUCUCUCUCUCUCUCUCUCUCUCUCUCUCUCUCUCUCCAUUAUGUUCCAACGCCUUUCCCCACCAUACACAGUGUCCAGAAAACAGAUCCAGAAGGCGAACAUGAAAAGAUAUAAUGUAUUUUCAAGCCAAAGAACAUUCAAAAAAACUUCUGAAUAACCGAGACCUUAAACAUAUUACAGCAGUCAUAUAUGUUGAAUAUCAUAGUCAAAUUAACUAAUUAAAACUUGAUAAUGGAAAGAAACAGAUUUAUUAACUUUUACUUCUUUUUUUUUUAGAACCAAACAUAUUGAUCAGUAGAACGAUCAAUAACCAAGAAUAUUUAAUAACGAUAAAGCCACAAAUUGUAGUAGACAAACCUGUGGAGUUGCUGGAAGCAUGUAGAGGCUAUUAUCAGGACUUUGAUCAAAAGCAGAAACUUCUCUUUCAAUAAGAUCUUUUGCACUAUUUGAAAGAUCCAUAACUAUUGUGCAUGCUGGAAUAAUAGUGGUUGAUGCAUACUCCCGUGCGGCUAAUGGCUGCUGAUUCCAGAACGCAGCGGCAUCCUGCCAAGUUUACAAUAUAAUAUUAGAAAGUAUCUAUGACAAAAGGUGAUGGAGAAGUAGUAUCCUAGCUGCCUUUAUUGAAGUAUAUAUGAAUACCAACUGAAAACUAUGCCACUGGUGAUAUCAUUUGUGUAUCAGUUCCAAGGAAAUUGAAGUGCCUCAUGGUGAGCUAAAAGCCCAGACCUAUAGGCAUAAAUAGGAUCUUUGGGCAUCAUGAUAAAUAUGGCACAAAAGUGGGUACUGAAAUUUUAUUAAAUAAAAAAAAAGUCCAUCAACUCGUUGGGGUGACAUAAAAAAAUUUCUUCGAUAUUUUAUAUGAUAUAUAUGAACUUUCAUAUGGAACUCAAAACAGAAUGAGCCGACAAUUUCAUGGAAUGACCAGAAAUGGACAAUACAGUACCAUUAUAUGAAGUGACUUGCAGUUUUACAGGCAUUAAUGAAGCUGAGAUAGCUUACCAUGUUUACUUUUAGUAGAGCACUGUAUAUGAUUUCAAGUUCCGAUCUGCGGGAAUCAAAUUCUUCAAUCUUUUUCCACUUCUUUUUCAAUGAAUCUUCAGCUUCUUUCCUUUCUGCACAUAAUUUAUUUAAGCGUUGUAUUUCAGACAUCAGCGUAUUCAAGCUAGCCCUCAAGCCAGCAACUUCUCUUUCCUUGGUCCAAACCUCCAGCUACAAAAAUAAUAGGGAAAAAUGGUAAAAACAACACACCAAAUGAUAAUUAACUACAUACCAGAAAUAAGCUACCAUAGAGUACCCAAAUGACUUUUUAUGACAUUCAAAUCAACAAGGAUCAAAAUACUGAAACUAAUCACACCUCUCAUCAUUGGCACUAUUUGCACCUAAAGUAUUGCUAAUUUAGCCAUUUAAUAUCCAAGAAAGAUUUACCUCAAGUUGCCUAAGACUGCCCACAUUUUGUGAUGUGCCUGAAGAAACUGCGUCACUAUUUCCAUGCAAGCGUUUUAUAAGUUUUUGACACAGAUCCCUAGCUUCUGCAGCUUUGUUCAGUGCAUCUUCAGUAGCCAAAAAUUGCUGAACAUGUGCUUUCUGUGAACAACAUAUGCAAAAUAACAAUUUUAAACUCCUGAAACAAUGCAUGAUUCGUAAGACAAAACAAAAGCAGAAAAUGUAAGGUGAAAAUAGAACCCAACUAUGAUUUCGUUUAUUGACCAAAAAAUCUAUGCUUCAGUAUAAAAAAAGAAUGGUCUUAAUGGAAUUAGGGUUUCGGCGGACUAUUCUUUAUAGGGGAAAACACAUUAAAGAAAAAGUAAGAGUAAUGUAUAUCCAUGUAGUGAAAAAAUGAGAAUAUUAAGAUGAAUGGCAUAAGUGACUAGAUCAUAAUUAAAAAUCAAUGUCAAGGCUACUAUCUAGAAAAGAACAUAACCUGUCGUUCAAGAAGUUGAGUUCCUCUAGAAGGUGCAUCAACUCCUAUCUUUCCAUUACCAUAAAGUUGAUAGUGUAACGGUGAACUCACAUCAGGAGAAGAAACAUCGAUAACUCGGUUGUUCUCAUACUUGUACCUGAUUAAGGAAUUGAAGAAACGUGAAUCAAGGAUAUGGAGAAGAUAUGAGAAUUCAAAUACAAGAAUGAUCAAAUUUGAAAAUACAGCAUGCAAUUAUUAUUUAAUCAAGCACUGCAACUAUUCCUGAUAAGAGAGGGAGGGGAGACCAUAUUAUCCACAAGUAUUGACUCAGGAAAUAUUAAAUUAAAAAACCAAGAAGGAAUAUCGUAGUUGAAUAGCCUUGCCUGUAGAAGCUUAGGGAAACAUUGACAGCACAUAAGAAAUGUGAAGGACAAAAUGAAAUAAGCUUUAUGUCCCCAACAGAAGUGACAAGAAAGUGUUUACCUUAAAGUUUCUGCAUCAGCUCUAACAUCAAUUUUCUCUAUUUCUCUGGAAAUUAGAGAUUUCAACCGUGACGUGUAUGAAGUAAUUGCCUGAAGCAAUUGAGGAGGACUCUUUAACCCAUUCACAAUCGCAGCUCUAACCUCAUCAGGUAAUUCCCCAUCAAAAUCAAAGCCUAACUUGGCUGUUUCUAAUUGAGGAUUCAAAUGAACACCACUUCCUUCAUAUGCAGGAAAAGAAUUGCGAAUCUUUUCAAUCAUAUGUGCUGCAAGAGAUUCACAGGCCUUCCGGAUGUUUCUUUCCCGAGUGGUUUCAAUAAGAAGUACAUCAUCUGCUGCUUUACUGCCCUUAAGAGUUGAAUAAACAGCUUCCUUUUCACUGCUUGAACUAAAGCUGUUAACCAAUUCAAGAGAUGAAUCAACACCUGACCUUUGAGCAUCCCUUGCUUGAUUAACAUAAUAACGAAGACGUUUAUGAUACUCUGCAAAUAUCUUUUCCGCUUCAUCACACUGUUGAUAGUAAGCAUCCAACAUUACCUGCUUAUGCCUGCAUUAUGAUCAAGCAUAUAUCAAUAGAGUCCACCUUGAAUGACUCGGAACAAGUGUUAGUCUCAUCAGAACAUGCUUCACAUCAUUUUUAGCUUAUGAAACUAUUCUCAAACAAACCUUGCAAAGAGGAAUAACAUAGCGCCGACACUCUAAACCAGUCAUAUAGUUCAUGUCUUUCUGAUAACGAUGUUGAUCACAUAUAAGAAUUUUGCAAACUUUCUUUCAGAAUUUCAGAAAGAAAACAAAACAAGUUUUCAACUGAAUUAAAUUAUAUACUCAGGAUUAUGCCAAUGAUCCACAAAAGCCCAAACCUUUUUUUAGAGCGUUCAUCAAGCAUCCUCUUCCGUUCGGCCUCUGCCCUUGAAACCUCCAACAUUCUGGCCUUCAAAUCCUUCCUUUGUCUCUUCACAAUGUUCCUCAACUUCUCCACUUCCUUUGACGCCAAGUCCCUCUCUUGCAGCGCAGCCUCCCUAGUCUCUGCCGCACUCGAACCCUCCCCAAGCUUCUCCUUUCUCCUACCUCCUUUACUCCUUACGCCCUCCUCCUUCCCCGAUUUUACCAAUGCACCACUAUCGCCGCCACCGCUGCCGCCGCCAUGAACAGUUAUAUUCCUCCGGAUAUUCUUCACCGUAUUCUCCGACUUCACGCGGGUAAUCAAGAAAUUCCAAAUGGGUAUCAUAUUCCCCCGGCAAAUCUUCCUCAGCGAGUCGAUUGAGGGCAAUUGAGAUUUGCUAGCAGCACUGUACGGACCCAAGGGCCGGUACCCCAUUUCCUUCUGAAGCCAUUGCAAUAUGGCUUCCGGCUGAGCCACAGAGCUCUGCGACGAGCCCUGCAUUCUUUUAGGCUUUUAGGUCUCUUCAGAAAAAGAAGAGUUUUGGGAACUAAAUCACCAUCCUGCGGUGAAUAAUAAAAACCCUAAUUUCUGCACACUAACGGACUGAGAUUGGAGCUCAAACUACUUCAAAAGCCUAACACUGACACUGAGGUCUGCUCCGAGUGUGAGAAUUUAGGGUUUCGAAUUGCGAAAAUUGGAGAGGAACAACUAGAUCUGAGGGGUCGCCGGCGAAGAAAUAUAUUCAAAUUGAGAAAUGCAAUGCAAAGUAAUACAACGGUAAUUUGACCUUAAGAGGCAAGCAAGGCAACGAGAAAAAGUCUGUCGUUUAUUCAAAUCGGCACUACAAUUUAUUAACCGGUUUAAUGCUUCAAAACGACAUGCGGUGAUGUGUGAAGUUUUUGGUCAUAGAUUAAUUAAGCUGGGACACUUAACCAAAAAUAUUAAAAAAUAAAUGUUUGGUGUUUGGUGUUUGGUGCUUGUCAGGGGUAGUUUUGUGUUUGUCCAUUUCUAUUUCCUGUGAAUAUUUCUGGUUGAAACUAUCAUUUGUAUAAUUAUGAACUUUGAAGCAAUAUGACCAAUUUUGCAGUGGGUUUGUUGUAUGAAACAUAAAUUAAAGAUUUCGUAAUAACUUGUAGCUCAAGCGAUUAAAAUUAAUUUUUAAUUUACACUUCAUUUAAUAUCUUUUGCACGAAAAUUUUAUAUUUUUUUCUUCCUUUUAAGCUCUGUCGGCAGCAUACUAAUUGUAGGAAGAAUGCCAUACAAGGCCGACGUGAGAAGCAAGUCUGAUCUUUUAUAGACCAUCACAAUAGUUUCCACUAUGGUCAUCAAGAACUAUUGCCCCAACCCUACUAAAAAGGGAAAUUGCCAAAAUUGGCACUGUAGCAUUCUUCAUACCAUUGUCGUUUUUGUUGGUUUUCAAUGAGUUUUUAUAUUUAUUUUUGUCAAAAUUAAGAAAGAGAGAGAGAAACUCACACACACCGUUAUUAUGGAAGUUGUUAUAUUUAUUUUUAUACAAGAAAUAUUGAAUGAAUAAAACUAAACACAAGAUUUACCACAACUAAUAAAAAUGAUGAUUUGAUAUCUCAGGUUUGAAUCCUCAUGACAUCAUAAUUGUGUGUGUGUGAGAAAUCCCCUUCCUCCUAGACUUUUUUAAAAGAAAGUGAUCGAAUUGCAUUCAAGUAGAAUAAUGAAUUAUACGGCAUAUGCAUGCCUAAGGUAGCCUCAUUAAAACCUUCUCAGGAAAAACCCCAAAGGACAAAACUCCGGAAUAAAAAAGAGUACCACACAUACCAAAGAUAUAGCAAAACCACAAGAUCAAAUAGAAUCCUGAAUAAGAGUAUCAAGGAGCCAAAAAAGAGGAGACUCCAUCCAGCUAAACGGUCAGCCACACUAUUCGCCUCUCGAAAAACAUGCACAACACAGACAAGUACAUUAUCAUGCAAAAGCAGUUUACAGUCUUCGAUCAAGCAACCAAGGGAGGAGAGAUCCACAUCACGAUAGAGAACAGAAAGAACCAUCCCUUGUGCGUCGCUCUCAAGACCAAGAAAAAAAAUAUAUAUGAUAAUUGUACUAAGAACCCUCCCUCUAAUUUAGACUAUGACUUGUACUAAAAAAAGUUUAUAUAUGAUAAUAGUAUCAUUAAGAAUUUCUUUUUAAAAAUAUAGAAUUAUUAACAUCCUUAAUUAAGGUUUGUCCAAUAAAAAACCAACAUCAAUAUAGAAUUUAUAUUUUAUAUUUUGUUGGGGAUUGGGUUGCGACAUCAUCUUUCUCUUCUUUUUUUUUGGUCGAGGUUGCGACAUCAUCAUUAAAGUUAAAUUCGAUUGUUUAUGGAAUUAAAAUAGGAUAGAUUCUUCCACCCACUGUCAGGAGAAAGAUUAAGGUGUGACUUUAAAAUUCCGCGCAUUCAUAGCUUUUAUCACCGCAAAAUCCAAGAGCUAAUUUGCAAAUUCGAAAUCCCCCAUAUUUAGUAUCCGAUUUUCGAAGCAUAUAUUUAUUCAAACAUCCAAUCCAAAAUUCUACUCAGUUUCCGAUUCCUCGGCGUCCCUGUCUUUGUCCACCCACCAAGAUCAAUCUCUAUCUCUCUCUCCUUCCAGUUUUGUCCCACCUAUCUCAGGUACUUUUUCUUUUCUUUCUCUUUCUUAUGUGAUUGUUUAAAUUAUUGGUCUUUUGCAGUAUUUUGAAUCUUCUGAUUGCAUCAGAAUUGAAUUGAUAUCUGCAAAGGGGUUAGAUUUUAUUUAUUUGUUUUUGCUGAUGAUGGUUUUUAUUCUUUGAACAUUCUGGUUGUAGCAAAAUUUGAUAUUUGCAACAGGGUUUUGUUUUGUGAACCUUCUGAUGAUCCAAAAUUUGAUAUAUUCAAAAGGGUCUGUUUUAUUACAUUGAUUUAUGUGUUUUUCUAGAUUGAUCUAUUACUUUUGAUCUUUAAAAUUGGGAUAAUUGCAUGUUUUCCUUUCCCUAUUCUGUUAUUUUAUUUUCUGGAAAUUUUGAAUGGACUGACUUGACCUUCAAUCUCUGGGCAGCUUGUCAACAAAGUAGCAUAUUACGAUAACCACCUGUAAUUUCUAUGGAUUUUAUGCUGGUUGAUAUGCCUUUCUUCCUCACCACCAUUCGGGAGGAAGGGCGAGAAUAAGGGGAAAUUUAAAUUUACUGGCUUUUAUAACAGAUGAGGGGAAAUUGUAUCUUAAAACAUCCCUGUUGUGAAACUUCAUAAUCACAACUAUUUUCUCAAAUUUUUCAUGUUUCUCCGAAUAUUUUGAAGACAUAUUCAACUCCAUAGGAGUCAUGGUAUUACAGCUGCAACUAGUGAGGUGCCUGCAUAUUUCCCAGGGAGUAUGACAAUGAUAAAUUGAAUCGCUUCAAAACUAUGAUCUCUCUGUACCAUUAAAGUAGUUGACACGCAUUGCAUGUGUGCAUGUGUUUUCUGCUUUAGUUCUAGUAGAUCUGUUUAGAGGACAACUCUCUUGAGUAUUAGCCUUUUCCCUUGUCAAUAUUGUUGUUUGAAACUUACACAUGACUGUCUUCUAUUUCACAGGUGAAGAAUAUAACCCUAAGUUAUAUCAGAGCCACAAAGGCGUCCAACAUUGUUAGAUAAAAGAGGGAGGGUACUGGUCCGCGGAGGCAGUGGGACUUCUGCGAGCUUUGUGUCCUCUCUCGUACUUGUCAAAGUACAAUAAUUGCUCCUAGAGAUCUUUUGCUUAAUGCACAAGUGGAGCUUGAUUGGUUUCGGCUGAUGAGAGUGGGGAACUGUUGUGGAGGUUUAUUUUUAAGCUGACGUAAUGGGUUCUGUUUGUUGUUGUUUGAAUGCUGAGGAUUUUGAAGACUAUGUGAAUCCAAACAGUUCUGCAUAUAGGAACUGUAUCUGUCUUAGUUGCUUUAUUGAGAACUUUCUAAAUGUGGUAUGCCUUCAUCAUCCUUGCUACUGAACUAGUUAAUUUUUUUAUGCAUUACUAUUAGUUGUUAUGAUGUGGGACAUAAUUCUAUGUUUCCUGUUUGGUAGAUGAUCUUGAUGUUCUGCUUCUCUUGUCACACUGUCAAGCUGAUUGCUUUUAUGUAUGAAAUUGAAUUUUCUUUUCAACCUCAUUACCAAUAUCUUAUGGAACUGUAUGCCAAAGAGCAUUAUUAUUGGUAAUUUUGCUGGAGACAGUGCUGCUUUUGUGCCCUCACUGAUCUGCUAUUGUCUUGUAAGUCUUCACUGAGAGCAUCUUAUAUAGAUUGUGAGACAAUGAGAGAGAAGAAUUUCUUGUUUUUUUUGAUUUUAAGAGAAGAGUUUUCAUUAUUAAGCUUGACUGUUAGAACUUUAAAAAGUGUUUGCAUGAUUGGGGUUUGUGUGUGGGCACUUAUGAGUCUUCCUUUAAAGGUUAGUGAUUUGGUUAUAUUCUUCUGGAAAGCAAAGGUUUAUGCAGUUGCUUUGAGUAAGAGAUUUGGCCUGUAAAACAGUUCAGCAAGAGAUUGAGUUAAUUCCAUAAAUUACAAUUUUAAUAUUAAUCGUGAAAACUUAAACUUUACGAUGGAAGAAUAACCCUUUAUCUUCUCGUAUUUUGUAGUAUACAUCAUUAUUCAGAAGAGGAGAAGUGCAUUCAAUCCCAUCAUCCAUUCAGGGGGCUGCAUCAAUGACGUCCUCAGCAUCACUAGACAACUCUAUAUCUGACAUGUAUCGUUCUCCUCCAAGGCCCUUGCCUUAUGAUGCUGACCCCAGAUACAUCCGCUUGCAACGGGAUGGGUUGAUUUCUAGGCGUGAGAAAGGCUCAAGUCAUUCUCAUGAGGAGGCCGAACCUCUAAGAAGUGAUACUGAUGCAGAUUCUGAAUGUUUGAGUACAGGAGAAAAAUGGAAUGGGUCUGCUUGUGAAGAUGGAGUAAAAGAACAUCGUUCCAAGUCCUCAAUGAAGUUCUCAUCAGCAAAAGCUACAACCAUAGUUGGGAACUUUUAUAUAUCAUCAGAAGACGAGGAUGUCUGUCCAACAUGUCUUGAAGGUAUUUUUAUUUGGGUUUUUUUUAUUGGUGUUUCUUCUUCUUUCUCACCUUGUGCGUCUGAUGGUCAUUUCCACUUCAUACUACUUAACAUGAAUGAUGACCCAGUCCUGUUUUCAUUCUGUUAAUUGCAAAUGUUUGUUUGCUGAAUUGAAUCAACUGUCCUGUUCAUGUUAUCUUUGCUUUGCUCCCCCAAAAAUAUUGUGCCCCUUCAGUAAACUGGACCUGAAGCUAGAAGGGAAGGGUCGGGUAGUGAGAUGCAGCAUUCACGCCAAAUGCUAGCUUUGUUAGGAAAUAAGACUUGAACACUUACGUCAAUUUGUAACGUUUGUGGCAACUUUGAUUGGUUUAUGAUUCUGAAAAUGUACCCUGAUGGUUUAUAACGUCUGAAAUAUGAAUUCUCAUGUUUUUUUCGUUGCCCUUGUGUGCAGAAUAUACUCCAGAAAAUCCCAAAAUAAUGACAAAAUGCUCUCAUCAUUUUCACCUUGGUUGUAUAUAUGAGUGGAUGGAGAGAAGUGAAAGCUGCCCUGUUUGUGGCAAGGUAACAAUAAUUCUCUUACUUUUUAUGUUUUCUUAGUUAAUAUUUCGUUUAUAGUGAUGAUAAUCUUUAGGUAGGCUCAGCUUUUAGUUUUAUGUCCCAAUAUUUCUGAAAUUUUAGAUUAGUGUUAUUUUGUUAUUAUUAUUAUUAGAAUAGUUCUUCCUUUGUCUUUACUAUAGUCCUAUACAUGUUUGGUAUUUUACAACUAAUGGAUUGAUAAUUUUUCUGAUCUACAUUCAAGUGAAGAUUAGUUUAAUUUAAAGCAAGACUCUUUUUUACUGCAAUGUGGAUUUUGACUCUGGAUUUUAUUUGUUUGGCUUUUGUAGGUGAUGGUAUUCGAUGAAACGACUUAAUCACGAUUGAAAGGUUUGUGUCGUUGAUGAAGCCAACAACAGCUGAAGAGAGAGCAUACUAAAGAAGUGAUGCCAUUGUGAAUACCACAUGUCAAAAAGUGUCAUUGAUCAUAGUACAUAUAAACUUCGUUUCUGAUGACCAUUGUUGUAAGUUCAUUUUAUUCCAUAUAAUUUUUCUAUGAAAAGAAAUUUAUGUGGUAGUUCUUGCCUUGCUAUGUUCUCUGAACAGUAAUUGCCUUUUGUGAUGUAGAAAAGUGAUUUAUAGUUAAUUUUUCACUUCCCUCAGAACCCAUCAAACUCUCACACCUCUCAUCUCUUCUUUGCACAUUCUCUCCCUUCAUGGUCUCUCUUAAACACCAGUCUUCAUCUUUCCAUUCAACAAAGAUUUGCUAUAAGCCCAACUUUUACAACGUUAUAAAUCUCGUAUUAGAAAGGAAAGACUGAACAACAUUGUCCUAAUUAUUUGUCUCAAUAACACAAGGAUUGAGAUAUGUCUGCGUAUUUGCCCAUACAAUAUAUGUAAAAGCAGGAUAAAAAGUUAUACACAUUAGGAUAGUUGUAUCGAGAUGAAUGUUCUCUUGCCGGAUAUCUAAUAUGUCACUAGACCGUGAAUCAAGAUCGCAUAUUCAAAUAUGAUCUCACUUAAUCAAUGAUUCCGAUUACGCUCUAAUAACACAACAUACAAAAUUGUUUAACAAAAGGAAAUUACUCAGCAUUUAAAACAUAUUUCCAAGGUUUGCAUUCUUAUUGGAGCUAGAGAGUGAAUGCUGAUGUGAAGUAUCAUUUUGUAGCUGCUUCAAAAGCAGCUAGGAAGACCUCAGUUGGUUGGGCACCAGCAAAUUCUUCCUUUCCAUUGAUCUGCCAAAAGAACCAAAUGAUUAGUAGUGAUGGAUCUAUUUGGCUAAUCAAACAAAACCCAAAUUUUGAAAAGAAAAAAAGAAGUGAAUUUUCAUCACCCACCACAAAGUAUGGGAUUCCUUUUACUUCUGAGUACUUCUUAAGCUCUUCCUUGACCUUCAUUGUAUCAUGAUGAGCUAGAUCAGUUCCAUUCAAAAAUAUACAGAAAAAAGUUUGGGGUUUGGUUUAUUUCUGAGAAAGGAAUGGCUGUUGCAGGAUUCUAGUUUUAAUUUGGCCUGUUUUGGAACCAAAGGAUCAUAACAAAAAUUCCACAAUCCUCUAUCUGGUUUUUGCUGUCCUUCAACAUGUUAGCUUGGCUUGCAAAAUAAUAGGAACAUGAAGGAAUUGGUGAAGAACAGACCUCAGUGAGCCCAUUGUUGGGGUCAUCAAGAAACUCUGCUGCCCCUUCUAUUUCAAUCUUUUCAGCACAUUUCAGAAGAUAAUCCCUGCACCCAAAUUGCAAAUGUUUGUGCCUCUUUCAAGUUUUACAUCAGAUUAAGGAUGUAGAAGUACUUAACCUAGAACAUAUCUUUGCAUCCAUAGCCAUUGCUUGAAAAUUAAGAAUAGAUUAAUGAAUCCUCCCCAUAUGCAAUCUUACCUGUCCCCAAUGAAUCUCCCAUCUGUGAAAUAUCCAAGACAGAUCUCAUCCACAAGAUCAUGUUGCUUAUCACGAUCCUGCAGCCCAGCAAAAUAUAUAAGCCUGUGACUCUCAAUAGUAUUUCCCCUGCACAUGUUUUACACAAUAUUUGUUAACACAUUAAACCACCACCGAAAAAAUCCUUGUUUCCAUGCUUUCACUCUAUGUGAAAUUGUUUGUUUACACACGCACAAACACACAAUCAGCCUGAAAAAUGAAAGAAAGAAAAAUCAAUGUCUGCACUUACGUGAGUCCAUCGAUCUUAUAAGUCAUGUCAUGGUUUGAAAAGAUCUGCAAAUUGUGAAAAGGAAACAUAAGAAUGAAUACCACUUAAAACUAGCAACCAAAUAAGGAGAAAAACUUCCCUAUCCCCGGUUCAUUGCCCCGAUCUCUCUAUUUCUCUCCUCAUAUCGCCUAUCAGAUGAGGAGAGAGAUAGAAAGAG
This 123992-nucleotide long non-coding RNA is filed under the name Prunus persica (peach). RNAcentral describes it as "long non-coding RNA (PPER_LNC003861)". Lineage: Eukaryota; Viridiplantae; Streptophyta; Magnoliopsida; Rosales; Rosaceae. The record is from RNAcentral.